UUCAUGUGCAGUGCCUUGAAGAACAGGACCUCCUGCUUCUCCACGAGAUAAUCCGCCGACUUGCUCACAAAGAGAGCAAUAAUCGCCAUGCCUGUGAAGACGAACACACAAGCGAGCAGCUUUGCCGUGUCGCUGUUAGGGACAAGGUCUCCGUAACCAACCGAUGUCAUCGUGACAAUGCAGAAGUACAGGGCGUCAAGCACCCUGUUGGUUCUCUUGCCAGAUAACUGAUCCAUGACAAGAUAAAAGACGACGACGCCCGCUAGCAGGUAGAGAAAUAGGAGGAGCCCUGCUAGUCUAAAGCUCGGCCGUAUCACGCUGAGCAACUCCUUGGCUGGAGGCGACGAGCCGUUUUCUUCUGGUUUCUGAUCGGUCUCUGAUCUGGGAGCCGACCUGCUUCUUCGGAACCGUUUAGCUCCUUCUAACGGCUUCCUUUGGAGCACGUCGGCGUUGUGGUUAUCAGGUACCAAUGCUCGUUGAAUACUGUUGUCAGACAUUGGUUUAGGUUGCGAAUUGCCGUCAGAAUCAAAAACCUAUUAUUCAGAGAAUGUCACACGUUACAGAUAAGCGAGAAGGAAGUUUAGAAGCUCAUCAAAUAUCAGGUAAAAAUUAAGGCAAGACGGUGGAUAUGCACUGAAUUGCAUGGACAACUGAGAGACAUUUUUUUUCCUAUCACCAUCAUUCUAAGCAUUGAAUUUUUUAACUGCAGGUCAAAGAGAGGCAGACAAAGUAAGAACAUCUUAGCAGACUAUGUACAAAUCGACCCUUAAAAACGCGUAUAAGGGGCAUUGUUGACCAUUUUUACGGUACGAAAUUGUCCCGGACAGAACAGACCCUGUAAAUGGAACUGUAUUCCACUAUAGUUUUUCUUUUUCUUUUUUCCUUACGUCCCGGCGAGCCGUCUCCUGCCACGGCGUGCCUCGCCCGCCUCGCCUCCGUCUCAUCUUGGCGCCGCCCGUUCCUGGUCAUGCAUGCAGUGAAGGAGGCCUGCGUCGUCUGCCCCCGAUUGAGCUCGGCACUGCCCGCCGCCGCGCGUACGUUUCCCCGUCGUGGCCGUGCGAGCUCCCCCACCCUGCUCCGCCCUUCUUCGGUGCCGCCCACCCUGAUUCAGGCCGCCGGUAGCCUGCUUCAUCCUGCCCGUGGACGGCCGCGUCUUGGCAGUGAAGGUCGAGCUGGCCGUAAUUCGGAUCGACGGCGACAAAUUUCGGCGUGCGGCGGCUUCUUUUGACAUGCAGUGACGGAUUCCGGUGAGUUUCAGAUAGAUUCCGGCCAGUUCCGCGGCGACGCGUUUGCUCCGACGAGGUUUGACCAGUUUACGGGUUGAACUGUAUACUGCUUUCAAAAGUGCACAUAUAAGGUUUUCACCGAUGGAUUUAGCGUGGCCUUUAAAAAGUUUACAGGUCGAACAAGUUUUACGGGGUCUGAUCCACGCCGUUUUUCCGAUCGAAACUGUAAACAUUUCAUUUUUUUACGGGUUUAACCAGUUUAUGGGGUCUGCUAGAAGGCCAAUACUUACUAGUAGAUGUUAUCUUGAAUUCCUGAUGUUGACUUUCUGGGCCUUUAGGCACAGAAUUCUCCUCUUAUCCAGUAUAAAAAUAAGGGCCGAUUCCUAUUUACCUAUUCUGUCGCUUUCUCUCUGGACAAAGUCGCACUGCUACUGGCUCAGAUCGGAUCUCUACAGCUAGCUUAAUCUGCAACCCAAGGAACUGAGAAGCUAAGUGCUGGAAAGUUAACCUUGAUGAGAGACGAAAAGGGGAAGCGAGACGAGCAGGGGAAGCAUUUCCCACUCUGCUAUACAACAGUAGCAUCUACUCGUGUUGAAGCUACAUACAGAAUCAAAGCCAUUCGCACGAAGCAAGCAGAGCACAGUUCAGAAGGCAGAGAGAUUAUCAUCCCUUACCUCCCUCCGGCCGACGGAAGCUGGGCGACGCUUUGGGGUGUCGAGGCGCCUUUCUUACUCCUUUUCUUCUUCUUCUUCUUCCCUCGAGCUCUACUGCUUUGCUCAGCUGAUCGAUCUCCUCCCGCUCCGCGUUGGCUCGCUUUUUGUCGACCCGAGCUGCGACCUGAGGCCUGGGCUGAGAGGCACGGAGAUGGGGACGCACGCACGCGCCACGACGGCCGCGCCGGAUCUCUCUACGUGUUGGCGCCGCGUGGGUUGAGCUGUAGAGGUCCCGCCGCUUUGACGUGGCCGGCCCCACCGUGCCGGCGCAAGUUGGAACCCUUCGCCUCGCCGUUUUGUUGACCUUCCUGACCCGGAGGGGGCGCGGCGCGAACCGAUCUGGCGGGUCCAGGUCGGUUGGCCGCAGGCAAAAUUCAGCAGGACUGCUGCUCCGUUUCUCAGAUCAAGAUCCAACUGAGAUCGGAUCCGAGCUCGGCAUGUUUAGCUGAACGAAAUGCAACCGUGCAAGGAGGUGGGGUGCGGGCGUCCAGCGAAUCGGGAUAAGAAAGGGCCUACAUGUCACUCUCUCCCCUCGUGCCUCGUGCCCUUCAUGAAAGCUCCACCCACCGGCCACCGCCCCCAUCACUCUCUGGUAUCGUUGCUCAUUCAAGAACGAUGUUUCUAGCUUGCUUUGCGACGCGGUAGGAACAUUUAAUAAAGAUGUCAAUCAGCCAAUGGGUUGGUUUUUGCACGGGUUGACCAAUCCCAUUGUUAGAUUCUGGAGGCCUCUCAGGGCGCUUGCAAUUUCGGCCGUCGGAUUGCGUUUUCAAACGAAUUCGGUCCGUCGGAUCUUCCUGGCCAUAAUGUGUGUGCUCUUCUCUAAUUACUAGCAAAAUGACCCGUGCGUUGCAACGGAAGAAAAAAACAUAAUCUUCAAUGAUGAUGACCACAUUAUGUUCACACAUAAUCGCUUGAUUUCGAAAUUUUGUGCACAAAUGCAAGAAAAUGUUUCUUCUUUUAAAUUUAUUCACAAGUUGAAGCAAUCUUUGCAUUUUCAAAAAAAAUAUAUAUAUCAUGGUUGUCAAAAAUCUUGGUAACUCAAAGAAUUAUUCUUAAUUUCAAGAUUUUUUUUUAGAAACACAUACAAUAAUAAUUCGAUCCAUCCAACAAUUAAUUCUUCAAAAAUCACACGGGUAUAUUUUCACAAAGACUUAGAAGCAUUAAUGUUUAACUACAUACAUUAGAUCUUUCAUGAACAAUUUUACAAAUAUGAGAACAAUUUUAAAAUUAAGAACUUUUUUUACAAUUUACAAACAUUUACUAAAAAUUGUGAAUAUUUUUUAUAUUUCAAACGGGUUUAAAUAUUUUCUUUUGAAUUGGCGACCAAUUCUAGAAAAGACGAACAUAAGUUUUUAUGUUGCAGGAUUUUACUUUAAAUUCACAAACAUUUUUGAAACGCAUGAAGUUUUGCUGAAUAAACAAACAUUUUUAUAAGUCAGUAAUAUAUUUAUUAAAUUCAUGACAUUGUUUUUGAAUUUGCAAAAUUUUUUAUAAAAAUCCGGCGCCUUUUUUGAAUCCACAAACAUUUUAUGUUUUCGUCAACAUUUAAUUCGAAAUUCCUAUUUUUUAAUAUGCAAAUGCUUUUGUAAUUCUAAAUUAUUUAAAUUAGAAGUAAACAAAAAUGGAACGGACAAAAUUAAAUAAAAAAGAAACUAUCAAAACAGGCAUUAGCUAUUUUUAAAUGCAUUAACAUAUUUUGAAUUAGAAAGCAUUUUGUUAAAUGCUUUUAAUAAUUUUUAAUACAUGGAAUUUGAUUUGAAAUCAUGGACUUUUCUUAUUGUAUAAACAUUUUUUCAAACUUGCAAACAUUUUAUUGUAUAUGCGAGCAUUUUUUAUAAAGACUCCGAGCAGUUUUUGAAGUCACAAACAUUUUAUUUUUUAAAAUAUGUUGAUUUAAAAUUUUAAGUUUAUUAAAAGUUUAAAGGUUAUUUGAAGUUCUAAAUUAUUUAAAAUAGAAAAAUAAAAUGGAACUGAAGAUAAAUAAAUAAUUGGAACUAAAAAAACUGAUGCCUGUGCAUGGGCCGGCCAAUACGGUGUGCUGGAUAUUCUCUCGGGGUGCAGAGCGGAGGUUUUUACAUGGGCCGGCCCAGUCUGAGAUUUUUCGUUUUGUGAAACGUUUUCUAUUACAUACCGGUGACAUGGUGGGUAAUUUAUGCAAACUUUAUGGGCAAUUUUCAUGACGUACCACAUAAGCAAUAGGUGCUUUAUUAAUAUCUCUAAUCUCUAACUAGACCAUGAUGGCGCGUGUUGCCGCGCCCGUCCAUUUGGUAAAUGGUAGAAAUUUAGUGAAAUAAAUUAAGACGUGAAACAUGGAAAUCAAAUUUUCAUCACGAACAAUGAUGCACUAAAGGUCAUGCCAAGAUGAAAAAUAUGAAAAUAAUCUAUUGGUGUAGUGGGCUUACAAUAUGUGUUCGUGGCCAUGCAAAUGUAUGAAAUAAAGAGUACAUGUCGAGGGCUACACUUGGCAUCACAAAUUCAAAUACAAGGAAUGAUAUCCAGAAGGUACCUUUAUAGCACAUCAAUAACACACCAUCCUCUAUUUUUGUACGUCCGUGUGUGUUCCUUCCAUCAAGCAGUUGAAGAAAAUUAUGUGCGGAAAUUGUGCUACCGCAAGAAAAAUAAUUGUAAUGCUCGGUGCACAUAUUCUGCAAUAACUUGGCUUGUGCUAAGCAAUUAGUUAACUAUUCAUGUCCCUUUCUAUACCGAACCACCGUCUAUCUAUCAUGCCAUCAUUUUUGUUUGUCGUCAUAAACGAUAUGGAUUCAUAUGAAACAAUAGAUAUAGUCUAAUAAAUUGCACUUGAAACCAGUUACCUCUUGCCUGAUGUCCUCGUGACCACCAUAAUAAUUUCUUAAAUCACCCUUCAGCCUUCCAUUCAUUUGAAGCUACAAAAAGAACACACUGGAAGAAAAAAAUACUAAGAGAUGAUCAAGGUAAACACACACAUAAUGGGAUCCAACCAUGGAAAAAAUGGUGCGGGAUUCAAUAAAGAAGAAAAAAGAGGAGGAUCCAUUGCUCCAGCCCGAUCUCAUGAAUGAGAAGAUCAUGAAGACAGGAAGCCUCAAAGAAAUAGGAGGUGCAAGGAUCAUGCUCGUCAUUAAUUUGCCCAUAAUCCCAGUGUUUAUUCUGUCAUCAGUCAACAUAAACAAUGAAAUAAUUUUGGAAAAAAUCACAUUUUUUAUGUAGAAGCAGCAAUUAGAUUAUUAACAAUUGAUAAAUAUGGUAUUGCAUUUAACUGAAUGUAAAAUGGAGUACCGGGCUAAUCUUGCAAAGACACACCCCUGCAGUAGUAAAGUUUCAUCUGCUGCGCCUUCGGUGAGAGAUUCUAAUGUCUGUAUCAAGGGUUCAGAGAAAGGUAGUCAGCCAUGAGAAAAUCAAACACGAACUAAUCAAUCUUACAACUUGUCAUGACGUCCAUGUAGUUCUCAGUAGGAAGAAGGUCACACCAACGAGGAUCAGGUGUGCUUGUUCGUCGGCCCCAUCAUGCUUUUCUCCACCAUCUGUUUGCUUUCUAUCUCUCUAACCAAUCGAUCAAGAACCAUCGUGAUAGAUUGGAGAUCGGAGUGAAAAUAUUAUACUUGUUCUUGAUUCAGUCACAGCAUACUUUGUCGAGUACGUGAGGUCCAUCCACAAAAUCAUUUAGGAGAGCACAAACACAACACCCAGAAUUCAAAACCGAGAGAGAUCAGGUGAGGAGUAGAGGAGGAAAUCCGCGAACUUACGAAGUGGCCCAGGAACGGUGGCGGCAGCUCCAUCCCAAUCGUCCAUGUUGCUACACGAGGAGGCUGGGGCGAAGGGGGUCGUCGUGGGGUUCCGAUUGUUUGUGCCGCCGUCGCCGUAGAUGGGGAGAAUAGGGGAGUUGCUCUAGAACCGUCGCCUUCGCACCUGCACGGAAUCGCACAAACGCUCGUCAUCCGUCGGUGCUUAAUGGGCUGGUCGCUUGGGCCUAAUCAACGAGGAUACUGCGUUUCGGCCACGAGAGUAGCCUCCCCUUAGGACAGCCAGCCCACGAAACACAAACAUGACACACAGAUCAGACCGAACGGCUAGAAAUGGUUUGAUCAGAAAAAUUAACGGUCCAAACAUCUCAUGGCGUGAGAAGAUAGGGAUUAGGCUCAGUUUUACUGUCCUAAAUUUGUUAACCCCAGUUCACUUUGGGUCCAUAAGGUGUGUGUUCUUCUCCAAUCCAUACUCUUGAUGCUUCGUGUGAUUACUUUUGCAGCAGUUUCAGUUUGUUGUAAUGAGAUUGCUCAUAUUCUGUUGAACUCAAACUCUGUAGGGCUCCCAACAUUUUGAAGACAUAUUAUCUACUCCCUCCGUUUCUAAAUAUAAGACCUUUUAGAGAUUAUAUUAUAAACUACAUAUGGAUGUACAUAGACAUAUUUUAGAGUAUAGAUUCACUCAUUUUGCUUUGUAUAUAGUCUUCUAGUGAAAUACCUAAAAUGUCUUAUAUUUUGGAACGGAGGGAGUAGUUAUUUUACUAGCUUGGUCUCAGCUAAGGAACUGUUGGAGCUUCCUUGCCACUUGAGAAGAGCUUGCAUUGCAUAUGCUGGCAAGCUCGCUCCUUUGUAGUGGUAUAUUCCUCGAAUGAGAGACUAUGAUGUAAGUCUCUGUGUGUGUGUGCGCGCGCGCGCCUGAAUAGAAACUCUGGGUGUUCACUUAGUUCUCCCAGGUCAUCAUCUCAUGGAAGCAAACUCCUAUUUGCCUGAGACCUCAUUAGAUAGAUUGCCGUUUGCCUUGCAAUUCUGGACCCAGGAGCAACAAAUCCAAGAAAAAAAUACAUCUACACAGGCUACCAUAUUGGAAGCUGGAAAUAUUUCAUGACUGGAAAACAAUAGCUUAACAAACUUCAUUUACACAGGUACACAAGCUUAUCAAAGCAUCACCAAAUACCUCUUUCUUACACAUGUCCAGGUGCAUAUGAGCAGAUCCAUUGUGUUAAAUACAUGUAGGAGCUCAACAAGGUCAUAUCUUUUGACACUUUACAAGAUUACAGAACUAAUUAACAGCAUUAACCGACCAUUCAACUAUAGUAUUUAAGCUGUAGAAUUAAGUACAAGCCCAUAUGUUCAUCACCGACCGGAUUGUGCAUGAGUAAGGUCAUAGGUGGAGAGCGUGCCGGACUGGUCAACGUCGAGUUUCUCAAACUCCUCUAGAAAAGAAGAUAUGUCUUCUUGGCUGAUCUUCCCCAGUUCUUUGAGCUUGUACACGACAAAUUCAGCAGCACUGCACAUAUCAAAGUUCACAAAUCAACACCGAUGCUCAUUACCUGCAAAAUCUUAAGGGAUAUGAUGGCGAGGAAGAAUACUAAAAAUGCUUUAUGCGCUUACCCCACUUUUCGAUCAUUAUCCAGAUCAGCUGCUUCAAGAUCCAUGUUUGUUAUUCUCCGUGUGAGAACCCAUUUGGCCAGCAUUUUCUGCCGUCGCUCGGUGUAGAUCUCAGCAAGGUACAUGAAGAACAGCGCCAGGAUUAUGGUGCUCGUAAUUAUCCAAAAUACCGCGAAAGUGCGCCCCAAUUUGGACGAGAAGCUUUUAUCCCCAUAGCCCAGGGCAGUUAUUGUGGCACAGACACAAUAAAAGGAAUCAACAAGGCUCAGCUUCUCAACCUUCCAGAGAAAAACAGUCCCCACAACAAUGGUUGUCACAAGAAGUAGGGCAGCAGUGUAGAAUUUGUACUUUGUCUUGUUUGUCUCAAUUUGCCUGAGCAUUUUGGCCUCGCUAAACUUCAUGUUCAUGUGCAGUGCCUUGAAGAACAGCACCUCCUGCUUCUCGACGAGAUAAUCUGCCGACUUGCUCACAAAGAGAGCAAUAAACGCCAUGCCGGUGAAGACGAAAACACAGGCGAGGAGCUUCGCCGUGUCACUGUGAGGGACAAGGUCUCCAUAACCAACCGAUGUCAUCGUGACAAUACAGAAGUAGAGUGCGUCAAGCACCCUGUUGGUUCUCUUGCCAGAUAACUGAUCCAUGACAAGGUAAAAGACGACGACGCCCGCUAGCAGGUAGAGAAAUAGGAGGAGCCCUGCUAGUCUAAAGCUCGGUCGUAUCACGCUGAACAACUCCUUGUCUGGAAGCGGCGAGCCAUUUUCUUCUGGUUUCUGAUCGGCCUCUGAUCUGGGAGCCGACCUGCUUCUUCGGAACCGUUUAGCUCCUUCUGACGGCUUCCUUUGGAGCACGUCGGCGUUGUGGUUAUCAGGUAGCAAUGCUCGUUGAAUACUGUUGUCAGACAUUGGUUUAGGUUGCGAAUUGCCGUCACAAUCAAAAACCUAUUAUUCAGAGAAUGUCACACGUUACAGUAUUGGUGUUACAGAUAAGCGAGAAAGAAGUUUAGAAGCUCAUUAAAUAUCAGGUAAAAAUUAAGGCAAGACGGUGGAUAUGCACUGAAUUGCAUGGACAAUUGAGAGACAAUUUUUUUCCUAUCACCAUCAUUCUAAGCAUUGAAUUUUUAACUGCAGGUCAAAGAGAGGCAGACAAAGUAACUUGGGUCAAAAAUAAGGGCCAAUUCUUACUAGAUGUUAUCCUGAAUUCCUGAUUUUGACUUUGUGGGCCUUUAGGCACAGAAUUCUCCUCUUAUCUAGUAUCAAAAUAAGGACCGAUUCCUAUUACACUUACAUAUUCUGUCGCUUUCUCUCUGGACAAAGUCGCACUGCUACUGUUUCAGAUCGGAUCUCUACAGCUAGCUUAAUCUGCAACCCAAGGGAUCAUGAAACUGACAAGCAAAGUGCUGGAAAGUUAACCUUGAUCAGAGACGAAAAGGGGAAGCGAGACGAGCAGGGGAAGCAUUUCCCACUCUGCUAUAUAACAGCAGCAUCUACUCGCAAUGAACAGAGCACAGUUCAGAAGGCAGAGAGAUUAUCCUCCCUUACCUCCCUCCGGCCGACGGAAGCUGGGCGACGCUUUGGGGUGUCCAGGCGCCUUUCUUACUCCUCCUCUUCUUCUUCUUCCCUCGAGCUCUCCUGCUUUGCUCAGCUGAUCUCCUCCCGCUCCGCGUUUGCUCGCUUUUUGUCGACCCGAGCUGAGACCUGAGGCCUGGGCUGAGAGGCACGGAGAUGGGGACGCACGCACGCGCCACGCCGGCCGAGCCGGAUCUCUACGUGUUGGCGUCGCGUGGGUUGAGCUGUGGAGGCUUUGACGUGGCCGGCCCCACCGUGCCGGUGCAAGUUGGAACCCUUCGCCUCGCCGGUUUGUUGACCUUCCUGACCCGGAGGGGGCGCGGCGCGAACCGAUCUGGCGGGUCCAGGUCGGUUGGCAGCAGGCAAAAUUCAGCAGGGCUGCUGCUUCGUUUCUCCGAUCAAGAUCCAACUGAGAUCAGAUCCGAGCUCGCCAUGUUAGGCCAACUCCACCGUGCGAUCCCAUCCUGUUCGCGCGCAUUCGUUACAGAUUAAGCAGACGGUCCAACACACGGGAGCAAACGAACUUUUGUCCGUUUUAUGUCCGCUUUCGAUCCAUCCCCGACCCAACUUUGCGUCGAUUUUGGGCGAAACGAACAACGCGCGGACGGACGGGACGCGCGCUUGUCCGUCCCUGGCCCGCGUGUCGGUGACACAAAGGAAAACCCACCCAUGUCCCCUUUGGCGCCAUUCCCCCCAAACCCUCCCAUGUCCCGCCGUCCCCCUCUCUCCCACGUCCAUGGCCGUCGUCCGAUCGGCCGUGGCCGUUCUUUUUUGGAGGUUGGCAUGGGUGUCGCCCGCUAGGCCGCUGGCUGUGUGUCGGCGAGAAACAGAUUCAUUUAGAAGGCUGGUUGUGUUGCCGCCCGCUGGCUGUGCUGCCAACGAACAAAACUAUUCACUUUGUAGGCUGGCUGUGUUGCCGGAUGCUGGCUUUGUUGCCGACGAGGAUGUGUAGGCCGCUGGCUGUGUUGCCGGCGUGAACUAGGGCCGCUGGCGUGAACUAGGCCGCUGGUAUUUGAAGCGUUGUUCUUUUGGAGGCGGACAAGAUGGGGCCAAAGGAUGCGGUGGCCGUGCGCUGAGCGCACGGCCACCGCAUCCCCGGACACGACCCCAUUGCCCUACCCAUACGGACAGAAUCCGGGCAAAACAGACGUCCGUUUGGUGUCGCGCGGUGGAGUUGGCCUUAGCUGAAUGAAAUGCAAUUGUGCAAGGAGGUGUGGUGCGGGCGUCCAACGAAUCGGGAUAAGAAAGGGCCUACAUGUCACUCUCUCCCCUCGUGCCUCGUGCCUUGCCUGAAAGCUCCACCAACCCGCCACCGCCCCCAUCACUCUCGUGUCAUUGCCCAUUCAUGAACGAUGUCCCUAGCUUGCUUUGCGACGCGGUAGGAGCAUUUAGGCCAACUCCACCGGGCGACCCCAUCUUGUCCGGGUGCGUCCGUUUGGGGUAGAACGGACGAAUAGCGCGGCCCAACGCACGAACCCAAACGAACAAAUGUCCGGAUUUCGUCUGUUUUCGACCCAUCCCCGGCCCAAACUUGCGCCGAGUUUGGGGGAAACGGACAUCGCGCGGACGCGCUCGCCGCACGCCCUUGUCCGCCCGUGGCCCGCGUGUCGGGGACACAAGUAUUCCCAUUCCCUCUCCCGCCCCGCCCGUGGCCCAACGCCUCCACCCCCUCUCCCGCCUCGCCCCGCCGACGGCGCCGCCGCUAUUCUCCGGCCACCUCAGCCCCCGGCCGUCCAUAGCAAACCACGUCUCGACAUGGCCGCCACCACGCCCGCGCUUUCGCCGUAGUUUAUAGGCGUCGAUCGGAGGAGGUUUGGCCGUCGUCGUUGUAGCCGGCGGCAGAGUGGAUACGACCGCAUGCGACGUACCACGGCGGCCACGACAGCUUCCGACGCAUGCUCCAGAGCGGCCAGUAGCCUGCCGCCAACCACCCCUGCAUCGAGGUGAUCAUCGCGACCUCUUUGCCACCACGACCGCAAGGUGUUUGACACUUUGCCCGCAAAGGUAUGGACAGUGGUGAUGAGUUUUUCUUCCACCACUUCAUUUAUUCAUCGGACGAUUCGUCGUUGGAUGAUGAAGAUCUUGUGGUGGCUGCAGUGGUGGUUCACGACCACAUUCAACGAUAGCUUCCUCGGUACAGGGGGUCACUCCCUGGCCGUGUUCCCAACCUGAACCGUAACAGGGAGAGAGGCCAGGCCCUGCUCUAUGCCGAUUACUUUGCGAACACACCGCUCUUCAAGCCGGAUAAAUUCCGUCGCCGUUUUUGUAUGGAAAGGCAUGUGUUCAAUCGUAUCUGAGAGGGAGUGGUUGCUCAUGACCCAUACUUCGAGUGCAAGACGGAUGCCCUUGGCAAGCUAAGAUUCUCCUCUUACCAAAAAUGCACCGCGGCCAUCCGCAUGCUUGCAUAUGUAAUUCCAGAUGAUCUGGUGGAUGAGUAUGUGCGUAUGAGUGAGACAACAUGUCUGAUGUCAAUGUACAAGUUCUGCCAGGCUGUGAUCGAGGUGUUUGGCCCUGAGUACUUGAGGCAGCCAACUGUCGCUGAUACAGAGAGAUUGUUGGCGACCAACGCAACCAGAGGCUUUCUAGGCAUGCUUGACAUCAUAGAUUGUAUGCACUCGGAGUGGAAGAAUUGUCCAUUUGCUUGGCAGGGCCAGUACAAGGGGCAUGUCAAAGCGUGCACUGUCAUAUUAGAAGCGGUGUCUUCGUAGGAUCUUUGGAUAUGACAUUCUUUCUUCGGCAUGGCAGGUUCUCACAAUGAUAUCAACGUGCUGCAGCGUUCUCCAGUCUUCGCAAGGCUUGCAGAAGGCCACUGCCCACCUGUCUGUUGGAAAUAUUCCCUAGAGGCAAUAAUAAAUUAGUUAUUAUUAUAUUUCUUAGUUCAUGAUAAUCGUUUAUUAUCCAUGCUAUAAUUGUGUUGAUUGGAAACACAAUACUUGUGUGGAUACAUAGACAAAACACUGUCCCUAGUAAGCCUCUAGUUGACUAGCUCGUUGAUCAAAGAUGGUCAAGGUUUCCUGGCCAUAGGCAAGUGUUGUCACUUGAUAACGGGAUCACAUCAUUAGGAGAAUCAUGUGAUGGACUAGACCCAAACUAAUAGAGGUAGCAUGUUGAUCGUGUCAUUUUGUUGCUACUAUUUUCUGAGUGUCAAGUAUUUGUUCCUAUGACCAUGAGAUCAUAUAACUCACGGACACCGGAGGAAUGCUUUGUGUGUAUCAAACGUCGCAACGUAACUGGGUGACUAUAAAGAUGCUCUACAGGUAUCUCCGAAGGUGUUCGUUGAGUUAGUAUGGAUCGAGACUGGGAUUUGUCACUCCGUGUGACGGAGAGGUAUCUCGGGGCCCACUCGGUAAUACAACAUCACACACAAGCCUUGCAAGCAAUGUGACUUAGUGUAAGUUACGUGAUCUUGUAUUACGGAACGAGUAAAGAGACUUGCCGGUAAACGAGAUUGAAAUAGGUAUACGGAUACUGACGAUCGAAUCUCGGGCAAGUAACAUACCGAAGGACAAAGGGAAUGACAUACGGGAUUAUAUGAAUCCUUGGCACCGAGGUUCAAACGGUAAGAUCUUCGUAGAAUAUGUAGGAUCCAAUAUGGGCAUCCAGGUCCCUCUAUUGGAUAUUGAUCGAGGAGUCUCUCAGGUCAUGUCUACAUAGUUCUCGAACCCGCAGGGUCUGCACACUUAAGGUUCGACGUUGUUUUAUGCGUAUUUGAGUUAUAUGGUUGGUUACCGAAUGUUGUUCGGAGUCCCGGAUGAGAUCACGGACGUCACGAGGGUUUCCGGAAUGGUCCGGAAACAAAGAUUGAUAUAUAGGAUGACCUCAUUUGAUUACCAGAAGGUUUUCGGAGUUACCGGGAAUGUACCGGGAAUGACGAAUGGGUUCCGGAAGUCCACCGGGGGGGGCAACCCACCCCGGGGAAGCCCAUAGGCAUUGGGGGUGGUGCACCAGCCCUUAGUGGGCUGGUGGGACAGCCCAAGAGAGCCCUAUGCGCCAUAGGAAGAAAAAUCAAAGAGAAAAGAAAAAAAAAGAGGAGGUGGGAAAAAGGGGAAGGACUCCUCCUUCCAAACCUAGUUGACCCAAGGGAAGGCUCCCCCCUCCUCCCCCUAUAUAUAUGGAGGUUUUAGGGCUGAUUUGACACAACUUUGCCACGGCAGCCCGACCACAUAUCUCCACGGUUUUACCUCUAGAUCGCGUUUCUGCGGAGCUCGGGCGGAGCCCUGCUGAGAUAAGAUUACCACCAACCUCCGGAGCGCCGUCACGCUGCCGGAGAACUCAUCUACCUCUCCGUCUCUCUUGCUGGAUCAAGAAGGCCGAGAUCAUCGUCGAGCUGUACGUGUGCUGAACGCGGAGGUGCCGUCCGUUCGGCACUAGAUCGUGGGACUGAUCGCGGGACGGUUCGCGGGGCGGAUUGAGGGACGUGAGGACGUUCCACUACAUCAACCGCGUUCACUAACGCUUCUGUUGUACGGUCUACAAGGGUACGUAGAUCACACAUCCCCUCUCGUAGAUGGACAUCACCAUGAUAGGUCUUCGUGCGCGUAGGAAUUUUUUUGUUUCCCAUGCGACGUUCCCCAACAGUGGCAUCAUGAGCUAGGUUCAUGCGUAGAUGUCUUCUCGAGUAGAACACAAAAGUUUUUGUAGGCGGUGAUGUGCGUUUUGCUGCCCUCCUUAGUCUUUUCUUGAUUCCGCGGUAUUGUUGGAUCGAAGCGGCUCGGACCGACAUUACUCGUACGCUUACGAGAGACUGGUUUCAUCGCUACGAGUAACUCCGUUGCUCAAAGAUGACUGGCGGGUGUCAGUUUCUCCAACUUUAGUUGAAUCGGAUUUGACCGAGGAGGUCCUUGUAUGAGGUUAAAUAGCAACUCAUAUAUCUCCAUUGUGGUGUUUGCGUAAGUAAGAUGCGAUCCUACUAGAUACCCAUGGUCACCACGUAAAACAUGCAACAACAAAAUUAGAGGACGUCUAACUUGUUUUUGCAGGGUAUGCUUGUGAUGUGAUAUGGCCAACGAUGUGAUGUGAUAUUUUGGAUGUAUGAGAUGAUCAUGUUGUAAUAGAUAAUAUCGACUUGCACGUCGAUGGUACGGCAACCGGCAGGAGCCAUAGGGUUGUCUUUAUACUAACGUUUGUGCUUGCAGAUGCGUUUACUAUUUUGCUAGGAUGUAGCUUUAAUAGUAAUAGCAUGAGUAGCACGACAACCCCGAUGGCGACACGUUGAUGGAGAUCAUGAUGAUGGAGAUCAUGGUGUGACGCCGGUGACAAGUAGAUCGUGCCGGUGCUUUGGUGAUGGAGAUCAAGAAGCACAUGAUGAUGGCCAUAUCAUGUCACUUAUGAAUUGCAUGUGAUGUUAAUCCUUUAUGCACCUUAUCUUGCUUAGAACGACGGUAGCAUUAUGAGGUGAUCUCUCACUAAAAUUUCAAGACGAAAUUGUGUUCUCCCCGACUGUGCACCGUUGCGACAGUUCUUCGUUUCGAGACACCACGUGAUGAUCGGGUGUGAUAGACUCAACGUUCACAUACAACGGGUGCAAAACAGUUGCACACGCAAAACACUCGGGUUAAGCUUGACGAGCCUAGCAUGUGCAGACAUGGCCUCGGAACACAUGAGACCGGAAGGUCGAGCAUGAAUCGUAUAGUUGAUAUGAUUAACAUAGAGAUGCUUACCACUGAAACUAUUCUCGACUCACGUGAUGAUCGGACUUGAGAUAGUGGAUUUGGAUCAUGUACCACUCAAAUGACUAGAGAGAUGUACUUUUUGAGUGGGAGUUAUUAAGUAAUAUGAUUAAUUGAACUAAUUGUCAUGAACAUAGUCUAAUGGUCUUUGCGAAUUACGAUGUAGCUUGCGCUAUAGCUCUACUAUUUUUAUAUGUUCCUAGAGAAAGUUUAGUUGAAAAUUGAUAGUAGCAAACUUUGCAGACUGAGUCUGUAAAACCGAGGAUUGUCCUCGUUGCUGCAUAGAAGGCUUAUGUCCUUAAUGCACCACUCAGUGUGCUGCACCUCGAGCGUCGUCUGUGGAGGCUGUGAACAUCCGACAUACAUGUUUCUGAUGACUACACGAUAGUUCAGUGCAAAAUACUUAAUGGCUUAGAAGCAAGGCGCCAAAAACGUUUUGAAACGUCACGGAACAUAAGUGAUGUUCUAAAGAGAUGAAAUUGUGAUUUCAUGCUUGUGCCCUUGUUAAGAGGUACGAGACCUCCGACAAGAUUCUUUGUCCACAAAGUACAGGAGAAAAGCUCAAUCAUUGAGCGUGUGCUCAGAUUGUCUGAGUACGACAAUCGCUUGAAUCAAGUGGGAGUUAAUCUUCCAGAUGAGAUAGUGAUGGUUCUCCAAAGUCACUGCCACCAAGCUGUGAGAGCUUCGUGAUGAACUAUAACAUAUCAAGGAUAGAUACUAUGAUCUUUGAGUGAUUCGCGAUGUUUGACACUGCGAAAGUAGAAAUCAAGAAGGAGCAUCAAUAGUUGAUGGUUAGUAAAACCACUAAGUUUCGAGAAAGGCAAGGGCUAGAAGGGAUACUUCGUGAAACGGCAAAACAGUUGCUGCACUAAUGAAGAGACCCAAGAUUAAACCCAAACCUGAGACUAAGUGCUUCUGUAAUAAGGGGAACAGUCACUGAGGCGGAGCAACUCUAGAUACUUGGUAGAUAAGAAGGCUGACAAAAGUCGAAAGAAGUAUAUUUGAUAUACAUGAUGUUGAUGUGUACUUUACUAGAACUCCUAGUAGCAUGAGGGUAUUGGAUACCGGUUCGGUUGCUAAGUGAUUAGUAACACGAAAUGAAAGCUACGACAUAAAUGGAGACUAGCUAAAAGCGAGGUGACGAUACGUGUUGGAAGUGUUUCCAAGGUUGAUAUGAUCAAACGUCGCACGCUCCCUCUACCAUCGGGAUUGGUGUUAAAGCUAAAUAAUUGUUAUUUGGUGCUUGCGUUAAGCAUGAACAUGAUUGGAUCGUGUUUAUUGCAAUACGAUUAUUCAUUUAAAGAGAAUAAUGGUUACUCUAUUUUCUUGAAUAAUCACCUUCAAUGGUUUAUUGAAUCUCGAUCGUAGUGUUACACAUGUUCAUGACAUUGGUGCCAAAAGAUACGAGGUAAUGAUGAUAGUACCACUUACUUGUGGCACUGCCGCUUGAGUCAUGUUGGUAUAAAUUGCAUGAAGAGGUUCCAUGCUGAUGGAUCUUUAUACUCACUUGAUUUUGAAUCACUAGUGACAUGCAAAUCAUACCACAUGAGCAAGGCCUUGUUUUCAUUGAGAUGAAAUAAGAUAGUAACUUGUUGGAAGUAAUACAUUUUGAUGUAUGCAGUCCAAUGGGUGCUGAAGCACGCAGUGGAUAUCAUUAUGUUCUUACUUCAAUGACGAUUUGAGUAGAUACUAGAGUAUUUACUUAAUGAAUCAUAAGUCUGAAAUAUUGAAAAGUUCAAUUCUGUUUCGGAGUGAAGUUCAUCGUAACAAGAGGAUAAACUGUCUACGAUAUGAUCAUAGAAAUGAAUAUCUGAGUUACGAGUUUUGGUACACAGUUAAGACAAUGUGGAAAUUGUUUCGCAGUUCAUGCCACCUAGAACAUCAUAGUGUGAUGGUGUGUCUGAACGUCAUAGCCACACACUAUUUGGUACGGUGCAUGCUAUGAUGUCUCUUAUCGAAUUACCACUAUUGUUUAUGGGUUAUGCAUUAGAGACAACCGCAUUCACUUUAAAUAGGGCACCGCGUAUUUCCGUUGAGAUGACACAGUAUAGACUGAGGUUUAGAGAAAUCUAAACUGUCAUUUCUUGAAAGUUUGGGGUUUCGACACUUAUGUGAAAAAAAGGUUUUACUCUGAUAAGCUCGAACCCAAAGCGGAUAAAUGCAUCUUCAUAGGAUAUCCAAAACAGUUGGGUACAUCUCCUAUCUCAGAUCCGAAAGCAAAGUGUUUGUUUCUAGAAACGGAUCCUUUCUCGAGGAAAGGUUUCUCUCGAAAGAAUUGAGUGGGAGGGUGGUAGAACUUGAUGAGGUUAUUGAACCAUCACUUCAACCAGUGUGUAGCAGGGCGCAAGAAGUUGUUCCUGUGGUGCCUACACCAAUUGAAGUGAAAGCUGAUGAUGGUGAUCAUCGAGCAUCGGAUCAAGUUACUACAAGCCCCGUAGGUUGACAAGGUCGCGUACUACUAUAGAGUGGUACGGUAACCCUGUCUUGGAGGUCAUGUUGUUGAGCAACAGUGAACCAACGAGUUAUGAAGAAAGCAAUGGUGGGCCCGGAUUCCGACAAAUGGCUGGAGGCCAUGAAAUCUGAGAGAGGAUCCAUGUAUGAAAACAAAGUGUAGACUUUGGAAGAACUACUUGAUGGUCAUAGGACUAUUGAGUAAAGAUGGAUCUUUAAAAGGAAGACAUACGAUGAUGGUGAUAAGUCACUAUUAAGAAAAGCUCGACUUGUUGCAAAGAUGUUUCCGACAAGAUCAAACAGUUGACUAUGAUGAGACUUUCUCACUCGUAGCGAUGCUAAAAGUCUGUUAGAAUUAUGUUAGUUGUUGAUGCAUUAUUUAUGAAAUAUUGCACGUAGGAUGUCAAAACAUUGUUUUCUCGACGGUUUCCUUGAGCAAACAUUGUAUGUGAUACAACCAGAAGGUUUUGUCGAUCCUAAAGAUACUAGCAAGUAUGCAAGCUCCAGUGAUCCUUCAAUGGACUGGUGCAAGCAUCUCAGAGUUGGAAUAUACACUUUGAUGAGAUGAUCAAAGAUUUUGGGUUUGUACAAGGUUUAUGAGAAACUUGUAUUUCCAAAGAAGUGAGUGGGAGCACUAUAGAAUUUCUGAUAAGUAUAUGUGGUAGACAUAUUGUUGAUCAGAAGUAAUGUAGAAUUUCUGUAAAGCAUAUAAGGUUGUUUGAAAGGAGUUUUCAAAGGAAUACCUGGAUUGCGCUACUUGAACGUUGAACAUCAAAGAUCUAUGGAGAUAGAUCAAAAGCGCUUAAUGAAAGUUUCAAUAAUAUGCAUGCCUUGACAAGUUUUUGAAGGAGUUCAAAAUAGAUCAGCAAAGAAGGAGUUCUUGGUUGCGUUGUAAGGUGUAAAUUUGAGUAAGACUCAAAGCCCGACCACGGCAGAAUAAAGAGAAUAGACGAAGGUCGUCUUCUAUGCCUUAGCCGUAGAAUCUAAAGUAUGCCAUGUUGUGUACCGCACCUGAUGUGUGCCUUGACUCAAAGUCUGUUGAGAGGUACAGAGAGUGAUCCAGGAUUGAAUCACUAGCAGCGGUCAAAAUUUAUCCUUAGUAACUAAUGGACUAAGGAAUUUUUCUCGAUUAUGGAGAUGGUUAAAGAGUUCGUCGUAAAGGGUUACGUUGAUGCAAGCUUUGACACUAAUCCGAAUAACUAUGAGUAGUGAAACGGAUUCGUAGAGUAGAGUAGAUAUUUGGAGCAUUUUCGAAUAGCACGUAAUAGCAGCAUCUAUAAGAUGACAUAAAGAUUUGUAAAGAACGCACGAAUCUGAAAGUUUCAGAACCAUUGACUAAAACCUCUCUCACGAGCAAGACGUGAUCAGACCCCAUAACUAUAUGGGUGUUGGAUUCGUAGGAAUCACAUGGUGAUGUGAACUAGAUUAUUGACUCUAGUGCAAGUGGGAGACUGUUGGAAAUAUGCCCUAGAGGCAAUAAUAAAUUAGUUAUUAUUAUAUUUCUUAGUUCAUGAUAAUCGUUUAUUAUCCAUGCUAUAAUUGUAUUGAUUGGAAACACAAUACUUGUGUGGAUACAUAGACAAAACACUGUCCCUAGUAAGCCUCUAGUUGACUAGCUCGUUGAUCAAAGAUGGUCAAGGUUUCCUGGCCAUAAGCAAGUGUUGUCACUUGAUAACGGGAUCACAUCAUUAGGAGAAUCAUGUGAUGGACUAGACCCAAACUAAUAGAGGUAGCAUGUUGAUCGUGUCAUUUUGUUGCUACUAUUUUCUGCGUGUCAAGUAUUUGUUCCUAUGACCAUGAGAUCAUAUAACUCACGGACACCGGAGGAAUGCUUUGUGUGUAUCAAACGUCGCAACGUAACUAGGUGACUAUAAGGAUGCUCUACAGGUAUCUCCGAAGGAGUUCGUUGAGUUAGUAUGGAUCGAGACUGGGAUUUGUCACUCCGUGUGACGGAGAGGUAUCUCGGGGCCCACUCGGUAAUACAACAUCACACACAAGCCUUGCAAGCAAUGUGACUUAGUGUAAGUUACGGGAUCUUGUAUUACGGAACGAGUAAAGAGACUUGCCGGUAAACGAGAUUGAAAUAGGUAUACGGAUACUGACGAUCGAAUCUCGGGCAAGUAACAUACAGAAGGACAAAGGGAAUGACAUACGGGAUUAUAUGAAUCCUUGGCUCUGAGGUUCAAACGAUAAGAUCUUCGUAGAAUAUGUAGGAUCCAAUAUGGGAAUCCAGGUCCCGCUAUUGGAUAUUGACCGAGGAGUCUCUCAGGUCAUGUCUACAUAGUUCUCGAACCCGCAGGGUCUGCACACUUAAGGUUCGACGUUGUUUUAUGCGUAUUUGAGUUAUAUGGUUGGUUACCAAAUGUUGUUCGGAGUCCCGGAUGAGAUCACGGACGUCACGAGGGUUUCCGGAAUGGUUCGGAAACGAAGAUUGAUAUAUAGGAUGACCUCAUUUGAUUACCGGAAGGUUUUCGGAGUUACCGGGAAUGACGAAUGGGUUCCGGGAGUUCACCGGGGGGCAACCCACCCCGGGGAAGCCCAUAGGCAUUGGGGGUGGCGCACCAACCCUUAGUGGGCUGGUGGGAUAGCCCAAGAGAGCCCUAUGCGCCAUAGGAAGAAAAAUCAAAGAGAAAAAAAAGAGGAGGUGGGAAAAAGGGGAAGGACUCCUCCUUCCAAACCUAGUUGGACUCGGUUUGGAAGGGGAGGGUUUCCCCCUUAGGUUCGGCCGACCCCCUUGGGAGUCCUUGGACCCCAAGGCAAGGCUCCCCCCUCCUCCCCAUAUAUAUACGGAGGUUUUAGGGCUGAUUUGACACAACUUUGCCACGGCAGCCCGACCACAUAUCUCCAUGGUGUUACCUCUAGAUCGCGUUUCUGCGGAGCUCGGGCGGAGCCCUGCUGAGAUAAGAUCACCACCAACCUCUGGAGCGCCGUCACGCUGCCGGAGAACUCAUAUACCUCUCCGUCUCUCUUGCUGGAUCAAGAAGGCCGAGAUCAUCGUCGAGCUGUACGUGUGUUGAACGCGGAGGUGCCGUCCGUUCGGCACUAGAUCGUGGGACUGAUCGCGGGACGGUUCGCGGGGCGGAUCGAGGGACGUGAGGACGUUCCACUACAUCAACCGCAUUCACUAACGCUUCUGCUGUACGGUCUACAAGGGUACGUAGAUCACACAUCCCCUCUCGUAGAUGGACAUCACCAUGAUAGGUCUUUGUGCGCGUAGGAAAUUUUUUGUUUCCCAUGCGACGUUCCCCAACACUGUCAACUUUGAGAUCAACGGCCACCAGUACAACAAGGGAUACUAUCUAGCUGAUGGUAUAUAUCCUUAGUGGUCAACUUUUGUGAAGACAAUCUAGAACCCCCAAGAUGAGAAGAGAAAGAGAUUUGCCCAAAUGCAAGAGAGUGCUAGAAAGGAUGUGGAACGUGCUUUUGGUGUGCUUCAAUCCCGACGGGGUAUCGUUCGAAACCCUGCACUGUCAUGGGAUGAAAGGAAGCUUUGGGAGGUGAUGACUGCUUGUGUGAUCAUGCACAACAUGAUCGUCGAGGACGAGGAUGAUGACACUAUCUUGGACCAAGGAUUCAAUUAUCAAGGUGAAAAUGUUGAGCCCAUGCACCAAGAACCGGCCACGUUCCAACAAUUUGUCCAGUUUCAUCGUGAGUUGCGUGAUUGGCACACUCAUUUGGAUCUUCAAAAUGACUUGGUUGAGCACAUGUGGGAUCAUAUUGGCAAUCAAUAGAUGUAUUGGUUAAUUUUAUGUUCAUUCAAGACAAUUUCGAUUUGGUUGUAAAACUAUUUUAUUUAGAGACAAUUUCGAUUGGGUUGAUGUGCAAACUUGUUUUGAUACGAAAAUAUGGGCAUUUUAGGCCCUGGCGGACAGGAUAGGACAACGGAUGCGGCCGCGCGCUGGGCGCACGGCCAGCGCAUCCCAGGACAGGCCCGGACACGACCCCAUUGCCCCGCCCAAACAUACAGAAUCAUGGCAAAACGAACGUCCGUUUGGGGUCGCACGGUGGAGUUAGCCUUAAUAAAGAUGCCAAUCAGCCAAUGGGUUGGGGUUUGCACGGGUUGACCAAUCCCAUUGUUAGAUUCAGGCACAAAAUUGAGGCCUCUCGGGGCGCUUGCAAUUUCGGCCGUCGGAUUGCGUUUCCAAACGAAUUCGGUUCGUCGGAUCUUGAGAUGAAUUGAUCCUGGCCGUCGGAUCGUCUCUGAUGUGACUAGCAAUGAAUAAUGUCUUUCCUUAUACACUCAUGUUGUCUCUGUGUAUUAGAAUGACUCGCGGGCCCUGGGCGGGUGGGCUCUAGCCGUUAGUGCGUGUGGUGGGUGGUGCUCUCGGUGCUUGUCCUUCUCUGCGUGUUGGCCGUGCCAUCGCGUGUUAUUUUCGAUGCUUGCCGAGGAUAGUUUUGACAUUCCACGUCUUGCCCCUUGCGUGGCACUCCGUUUGUGGCUGACUCUUGAGGGUAAAGGUGAGGAGAUCGGUUGGCUGAGACCAAAUUGUAGCCUCGCUCUUUCGUUGUCCUCCGUUUUCCUUCCUUCUUCCUCCCGUCCCAAACCAGCAGCCGCCCCCACCCUGUCGAUGAAGAUGGCCACUUGUGAGCUCCACCCUCUCUCCAUAGGAGCCAACCGCUGUCGUUUCACCUUCUCGAGAAGAUCAGGUGAAGGCCAUAUCCGCCACACCACAGAACGGUGCUUCCGCUGACACGCUCCUCUGUCGUUCCCGAGCCCGGUGACAAAGGAGAUGCACUAUCAUCCCCUCCCCGCACGAUGGUGUACGUAGGAGGUGGAUAUCUCCGCCGAGGUUGGCGUGCCUCCCUCCAGAUUUGUGCUACUGAUGGCGAUGGCAACCGGUAAGCAGCACACACCUACCACGCCAACCCCCACCACCAUGCUCCUCCGAAGGUAUGCCCACUUUGUGAUGCCUACUUAUUAUUCCUGCUGAUGCUAAUCCUCUUUCUCAUGUAAGGCUCUACCAGAUCCGCUGUUGCUCGUGUUGUUGCUCUUUGUGUUGUUGCUUCUGUCUUGGGGCGUUUGCAAUGUUGUGCCUCGCGGUAGUCAGGCAUAUCCUGCCAGCGCUUGGAGGUGGAUGUACUUAGACAGAACAAAGCAUGAAUGUCGGCAACCUCGCAUCGUCUACAUAUCCCCAGUUAUAUGCCUUUCUCUAAUUUGUUAACAACCCCAGUUCACUUUGGGUCCUUAACGUGUGUGUUCUUCUCCAAUCCAUACUCUUGAUGCUUCAUGUGAUUACUUUUGCGGCAGUUCCAGUUUGUUGCAAUGAGAUGGCUCAUAUUCUGUUGAACUCAAACUCUGUAGGCCUCCCAACAUUUUGAAGACACAUUAUCCAGUUAUUUUACUAUCUUGGUCUCAGCUAAGGAACUGUUGGAGCUUCCUUGCCACUUGAGAAGAGCUUGCAUUGCAUAUGAUGGCAAGCUCGCUCCUUUAUAGUGGUAUCAAAUGAGAGACUAUGAUGUAAGUCUGUGUGUGUGUGUGUGUUGCGAUCCCUUUUCUACAACUAGACAUGCAGGUCAGUGUUUGUGUUUGUGUGCAGAAUCUCGGGAGGGACAAAAGCAGGGCCGACCCUGAGAGGGGGGGGGGGGCGAGCGGGGCGGCUGCCCCCGGGCCCCAGGAACCGAGGGGGCCCCGCCCAGGUAUGUGAGAGAACCCGUACCCUAACCAUCGGAGUCGCCAUUAGAACAGUACAAACAGUUAUGUGUCUCAACCAAGAAGAAAGAGUAACGAAGUUGUGGCUGGGCCUUGGGCCUUGUUCUUUUCUGUAAGGGAAGAUGCGGCAUGCCUGUUGUUGGUUAAGUGGUGGUGGGCCUUAGUAGAGAACGCCCCGUUUCAGUAGGAAUUGAUGUCGUUAGUGACAAAUGCUUUGUGUACGUUGCCCUUUGCUAUGGUGGAAAAUCAGCGCUGCAUUAGGCUCAACCCUAGCAAACAAAUACUAAAAAUAAAAUAAGAACAAGAAAACUAAACAUGGUGGCAAAGACCAAAGAACCACAAGUGACACACAUGGCCAAUGGAAGGUUGGUGAUGCUGGAGCGCACGGCGACAAUAGCGAAUCAUGAAUUACAUGGUCGGUAUUCUUGUUUUCCAUGCAUUGUACUACUCAUGUUGAUAGUUAAUUGUGUGUUAAUUGUUUUCCAUGCAUUGAAAGUAUUCUUGUUUUCAUCACCUAUAUUUAGUGAUCAUCUACAUUUUCUCAGUAUCCUACUUUGGUAUUAGAAUGUGUAUGUGGAGAGUGAAUUUUUGGAACGUGCGUGCAUUGGAAGACUUUAUUUUGAAUAUUUUAAAAGUCACGUUUGAAAUUUCAAAAAUCCCAAAAAUAAAUCUACAUGAUUAUAUGGAUUGGUAUUCCUCGUGUGUAAAGUUUGGUCAUGAAAUAAGUAAACAUGUGAGCCAUACAAAAAUUACAAAAUGAUGAUUUCAAAAUACAUGCAUUGUUCAUCUUUUUGAAAUCAUGAUUUUGUCAUAUGUGUGUAACUCACAUGGUUACUUAUCUUACCAUCAGAAUUUGCACUUGUGUAACAUACAUCCGUAUGAACAUUUGGAGUAAUUUUUGAAUUUUUUGACAUUGUUUAAAAUAUAGGUCUCCAAUGCACCUGUCCACCAAAGUGACUUUUUGGUAUAUGUGAGGCUAACUUGCAUGACAAGUCGAGUGGAAACCAUACUGCACUUGUCGGCAACAAUAAUAUGAUUUCAUAGAAGUAAUCUUUUGAAUUAAUUUUCUUUGCGACGACUGAAUUCUAUUGUUGUUGGUAUGAUACCAUCAACCUUGACACUGUUCCUUUGAAUAUUAAAGAAAAAUAAGGACCUUAUAUUCUAAUUUCGCCCCGGCCGCCCAAAAACUCAGGACCGGACCUGGACAAAAGAGAAGCUCAGGAGGGGCAAAAGAGGGGGUCGUUGGGAGAUGACCAAAGGGCAAGGACGGGGAAGUGCAUCACAACACCACUGCCCUGUUUCUCUUUUUGUCGCUGACUCGGCUUAGGGUGCUCAUUUGUACCCAUGUUGGAGGGUAUGUUUGUCUUCUUUCCUAUAAUUUCCUUUAUUGUAAUUACCAUUUGGGAGUAGGCUACGAAGUACUUGGCCUAGGUGUUUGAAUUUAUAGGGACAGACAUGUUAUUUGUUGCCUUGGUUAUAUUGAUAUAUAUGAGGAAUUUCAUUGUGUGUAUGCGUACAUUUCUUUUGUUAUGGAUUUUAUUUGCUCGGCAAAGUGCAAAACAACGAAAAACAUCAUGUAUAGCUAUUUCAAAUGCAAGAUUAGGAGGUGCUCCUCUUUGCUUUUCAUUUCCGCACUUUGAUUUUGACUUGCUAAUAUAUGGGCUUUUCUAAAAUGGACAUUCAUAGAUCUAGGAAAGAAGAGAAGAACAGGAAAUCUGAAAACUAUCAAAGAGGCUCCGAAUGAUGAAUAUUUUGAGAUGUCGACACACAUGGUAAAACAUGUUUUGGUACGUUAGUGCUAAGCAUGCUUAUUUUUAAACCUGAAACAAUCUUUAUAUUGGCGGGCUCUCUAAAUCAUUAAUUUGAAUUUCACUAAUUCCUUUCAAUUAUGAGCUUUGAUUCAAUGUCCUGCAUUUUAGAAAGCUCAAGCUUGAAUUGCUCUGUUUCUGGAUUCAAACCUUCUUGAGUUCUGCGAUCACAAAUAUCUUACCCACAGAUAAAGAAACCUGGAUAUUCUUACACAUAAAAGGUGUUUUCUUACAUGUAGGUGCCUUCUUUUAAUCUGUGCAUGAGCCAUGUUACAUGUAGUUAGGUAAUUUAGUUAAUACAUUCUUAAAUAUAAGUUGUUUGUGUUCUUUUGAUUUUGUUUGGUUAUGAUGAGAAAAAGAAGAACUACUUCUAUGAUGGCAAUAUGGUCCAAAGUAGUGAUUUCCCAUUCACACCUCAAACUCUACAUCUUUAAUCUAUCUCAUAUUGCUGAAAUUGUGUUUUUGUUUUGUUUUGUUUAUGCCGGGUUGACUAUGAUGUGCUCAUCAUUGACUCCACCACCGCUGAUUUUGAGGAUGGUACCUCCAAGAAUGACCAAACUCGUGAGCACGUCGUCCUUGCAUUCACUCCAAUUGAUUAUCUUCUAUUUAAUAAGGUAUACGUGCUAGUAUUAAACUUUGAAACACUGAUUCUCAUGGGUGGCCAUAAGGUUUAUGUACUCUUUUGCUAUCCACUUGAUCAGAGAGGUUUAGAAUAAUUUAGUACAUUGACAUUCCCAUGUUCAUUAGUACAACAACCUUUUUUAUAAUUAGAUGGAGCCACUGAAAUUCUAUAAGUGAACAUGUUCUAUAUUAGAUUGAGUGUGAUAUAACCAAAUGUAUUUUGCCACCCCUUCAAUUGCAUGCUUAUUUUGCCGCCUCUUUGAUACUCCCUUCGUUCCUAAAUAUAAGUCUUUUAAGCGAUUUCACUAGUGGACUACAUACGGAGCAAAAUGAAUGAAUCUACACUCUAAAGUAUGUCUAUAUACAUCCGUAUGUAGUUCUCUAGUGGAAUCUCUAAAAAGACUUAUAUUAUGGAACGGAGGGAGUACAUAGCUUAUCUCAAAAAGAGUUUUAUCUAUUCAUGAGCAAACAUUACUGUUUAUGAGCAUGUGUUUAUGCGAAUUUUUCUCUGGGCAGGUGUGACAGCCCGGUGCCGACGUUUCAGAAGAUUCCCCUUUUCUUUCCGUUGCCGUCGUGUGGGUAUUUUCAUUUGUCGCAUCAUCAUCGCAUCAUGCGCAUCAUCAGCAUUGCAUCGGCAUCCCGUUGCCGCUAGUUUUUCAAAACUUGCAUCCGUUAGUAGUUGCCGGUUCUCGACGUUGCCCGUUCUGAGUCCGACCGCACACGCACGCGCCCGCGGCAUCGUCGUAACCCUGUUUUAAAAGUGUGCGUAAAACUUUCUCUGAUCGAGGUGAAACUUGGCACGCGGUCGUGAUUAGUUAUAGCUAGGCCGCCUGUCAAAUUUCGUCGCGAUCGGAGUUCGUCUGGUACCCGAACGGUCGUCCGUAGCGGCACCGUCUUCGGUCUACCGCGGACGUCUGUCGAUGUUUUUAAAUCGUUGUCGCGCCGCCCGUUCUCCCUCUCUUCUCUGGAUAUCCCCUCUACACGGUCGCGUACCCAUACCCGCGUUCGGAAUCGUCCGAAUCCGACCGCACGGUUGGAUCCGGAACGAAAUUCUGCUAAACCUAGCCCCCCAUUGUCUAUAAAUAGACAACCUCCCCUUUCAUUUUUAGUCUCCCCUAACCCUGCCUCAAAAACCGCGCCCAUAAAACCCUAGUCGCGCAGCCUCUCUCCUCCCUCCAGCCGCCGGGCCCGCGAAGCCCAUCUGGGGCCCGCCCAAGCCCGGAUCCAGCGCGCCCCCAUCCGGCUCCCUCCUCCUCCCGAUCUGCUCCUCCCGCGCCUCCCAUGGCCGCCGUGCCCUCCGGUCGCCGCCUCGUGCCGCCGCCCUUGGCCGAGCCGUGCUGCCGGAGCCGCGACAGCCAGCGAUCGGUUCCCGCGCCACCCCGCAGCUCGCUCGGGCCCCCGUUGCGCCGCCGCCGGCCGCCGCAACUCUUCCCGCCGGCAGCCGCGCCGCCUCUUGCUGCUAGCAGCUCGCGCAGCCACCUCCUAGCCCUGCCAGCGCCGCCAGCCUCCGGCCGCGCAGCCCCUGUCGCGCUCCGCCAGGCUGCCCCCUCGGUUCCCGCGUCGAAUCCGGCUAGCCCGAGGACGACGAGGUUCUUCCUUCUCCAGCCGCUGCGAGCUCCGUCGGCGGCCGAUCCAGACCGGGAUCCCGUCCCGUGAGCGUCCCAGCCGACCCAGCAACCAGCUCGGCCUCCCCCUCCGCGACCGACCCAGGUGCGCCCCAGAUCCGAGCCGGCCCACCUCCUCGCCUCGGCCAGGGCGGCCCCGAGGCCCAGGUGAGACUACUCCCUCGCCCCCAGCGCACCGUAGGCGUUUUACGCCCAGUUCGACCCGAUGGGCUUUUAGAUUAUUUUCUUUUUCCGGUUUAGUUGUAUUCAGGAAUUAGCUAAAUAUAUAAACGUUCGUAACUUUUGUUUGGUAAGUCGGUUUGAGGCGUGUAGCAUAUGGAUUUCGCGUAGUUUUGCGCGUAGAAGACGAUUAUCCAACUUGCAUAAUUAUUUGACGUAGUUUUAAGUGCCAAACGCCUAGUUUAACGUGCUGUCCUAUAUUGUUUCGUUCCGUAUUUAUUUUUCUUGCGGUCCGGAUUGCUCGAGUACCUUAGAAAAAAUGCGCAUGUUCUAGGGACUAUUUUCCCAUGUAUUUUAGAGUGGUCAUUUGUAUUUUUGCGUGUAUGGAUUGCCGGUAGUUUAUUUAUCCGUAUCUAGGUUAUUUAUCUCGCAUUUAUGUGUGGCUAUAUUUUGUGUUGCAACCCCACAUAUUUUAUAUGUUUCCGGGGUAGAAAAAUCCAUUGGAUUUUUCUGUGCAAUUAGUUUUAGCUUUCGAGUUAGUUAGUUCGCGUGAUAUUUUGCCGUGAUGCCCUUUUGUUUAUUAAGUAGGAUUUAUUCCAUGCGUCGUGUGACAGAGUUGUCAACUAGGAAAGUUGUUCUUGGGUGUUUAGACUAGCCCCGGGUAUUUUUGUUCACAAUAGAAAUGCAUGUUUAGGAGUGUUUGCUUGCUCUCAAGUUGCUAGAAAUAGUGUUGAUUUGGAGGUGCUGAAAUAUUUCUAAGUCGGGAAUCAGUUAUUAUUUUGUUGCUGUUUUGUUGCUUCUAUCUUGUGAUCCGUAGCUCUUUUGAGGUUGGUCCAAUGGAGUUAGUUGUACCCAUUGUGUUUCUCUAGCAUGCUGCAAAUUGUCAUGCCAUAUGGAGUCCUUUAGCUAUAGGUUUUGCUGCUGUCAAUAUUGCUUCAGAUGAAAAACUGCACUUUCAUGAGGUGUAAUUUUCACAAAGUCUGAAAUAGUGAGUGGGAUGCCUUUUUGUGACUUCUUUCCCUAGUGAUCCAUGAUGCCAUGCUAGUUGUUGUUAGUUGUUUGAAGUAGUGCUUCUUGCCCUCUUCCGUGCCAUUCCUUGCGUGAGCAUAUCGGAGUUGUGUAGCCGUAGUUGUGGGGCGUAGAAAAUGCUAUGUGGCUGAUUUUGGCAGAUUGUAGUGAUUUCUUGAUUUGCUCGUAUCUUUUGAACCGUAGCUCCGUUUUGAUAGUGACCUACAUGAAACUUGCUUAGAAUCUCGUGUAGUUUCAUUUUAUCUUGCUGGUUGUAUGUUUUGAAGUGCUCGUGACCGUCGUUGCACACAUAUUGCAUUCAUGCCAUCAUAUCUUGCGGUGCUUGUAUCUUUUGAUCCGUAGCUCCGUUGGAGAUGUUCUUUAUGUGUAGAUUGCUUUAAAUGACGCGUAGAACCACGAGAACCUAUUUGUUUUGCUAUUUAACAACUAAUUAAAUGUGUUAACUUUGAUCUGGACAGAAUUGUAAAUUAACAUGUGAGGUCGUCUCGGAGAUGUUAUAUGUCAUUUCCGACCUCACUUAAAAUGUCUAGAUAGGUAGUUUAAUUCCCGCUUCACCUCUUGCAUGUUUGACGACACUAAUAUUGCCGUGUAGAUAACCGGGAGUGAACUAUAUAAUUCAUAUGUGGAGUUUCGUCAAUAUGCAACUCGUUGCAUAUUGAACCUCACUUAAUGUGUAGUGUUUGAUUGUGUGAAUUGUGAUGCCGUGACUUGCAUGUAUUCAACUACUCAUGCAUCAUAUGUGUUGUGCAUCGUGUGGUGAAUUCCGUGUGUUGAUUUGUGUUUCCGGUUUGCUUCGUCUCGAUAGAGUUCCGCAGCGUGCCGGAUUGUGAGGACCCGUUCGACUACGUCGGUUCGUCUGCUUCACGGAGGCAUUCUUCUUCCAAGCGGGAUCUCAGGCAAGAUGACCAUUUCCUCAGAUACCAUUACUGUCAUUGCCAUGCUAGUUAUUUCGAUGCUAUCGUUAUGUCUCGUUGCCUACCACCUGUUAAAUAUCAGCCUCUCAACAAUGCCAUGAAACCUUCAACCUGUUCAACCUAGCAAACCACUGUUUGGCUAUGUUACUGCUUGCUUAACCAUGUUGUUAGCGUUGCUAGUUGCAGGUGCAUUGCUUCCAUGUGAAAGCAUGGGUUCCUUGUUAUAUCACCAUAUUAAAUAAUAUUUAAUUUAAUGCACCUAUAUACUUGGUAAAAGGUGGAAGGCUCGGCCUUUCUAGCCUGGUGUUUUGUUCCACCUUUGCCCCCUUAGUUUUCGGCUACCGGUGUUAUGUUCCAUAAAUGAGCGCUCCUAACACGAUCGGGGUUGUUAUGGGGACCCCCUUGAUAAUUCGUUUUAGAUUAAAGCCGGUCUAGCAGGGCCCAACUUUGGUACUACAUUUGCCUAAUAACUAAUGAACUGCAUAGGGAGUAAUUAACCCAAGGAAAUUUAAUCAACCCCCCGGGCCAGUGCUCCGCAUGAGUGUUGGUCCACCCACCUAGCAGUCGACGGUGCCACCACGGGGCAACUCGAGGUUUGGUUCCCGUCCACUUUGCAUAGACGGUGUGUCCUGAGAACGAGAUACGCGGCUCCUAUCGGGUUCGUCGACACACCGGGUGGCCUUGCUGGAUUAGAUUUACCUUUGACGAGAUAUCUUGUGCAUCGGGAUUCCGGUGAUGCUUUGGGUAAUCUCAGAGUUGAGGUUUUCCACUAGGGAAUCCGACGGGAUCGCGAGCUUCGUGAUUGAGGAUUUCUAUGCGGCUUGUGGUAAUUUGUGAUGGACUAGUUGGAGCAUCCCUGCAGGGUUAAAUCUUUUCGGAAAGCCGUGCCCGCGGUUAUGUGGCAACGUGGAAGCUUUGUUUAACACUGGUUCUAGAUAACUUGAAGUUAACUUAAUUAAAAUAUGCCAACCGUAUGCGUAACCGUGACUGUCUCUUUCGUGAGUUCCUUCUCCGAUCGAGGACACGGUGGGGUUAUGUCUGACAUAGGUAGGUGUUCAGGAUCAUUCAUUUGAUCAUCAGUAGGUCACGUCCGUUAUGCGUAGAUCAUUCCCCCUCUUAUUUCUUGUACUCGUAAGUUUAGCUACUAAAUUUAUGCUUAGCCGCUGCUGCAACCUCACCACUUAACCAUGCCUCAUCCAUUAAGCUUUGCUAGUCUUGAUACCUUUGGAAAUGAGAUUGCUGAGUCCCCUGUGGCUCACAGAUUACUACAACACCAGUUGCAGGUAUAGGUAAAGGUUACUUGACGCGAGCGCGUUGAUUGUUCAUUUGGAGUUGCUUCUUCUUCUUCUUCUUCUUCUUCUUCUUCUUCUUCUUCAUCGAUCUAGGAUGGGUUCCAGGCCGGCAGCCUGGGAUAGCAAGGAUGGACGUCGUUCUUAUUUUUCUCUUUUGUUUUCGUCCGUAGUCGGACCCUGCUCUUACUCUUGAUGAUUAUGUAAUGUACUGAUGUGACUCUAAUGGAGCUUGUGACGAGUGUAAGCCAAUUCUAUAUAUAUUUCUUUUCUUUUCAGUACAUGUACUUGCAACGAUAUCCAUUCUUGCGACACGACGAGAUGCGCUUCUAUCCCUGACGAGGCCCUCGUGCCAAAUUGAGGAUAGGGUCGCAUCUUGGACGUGACAGCAGGUUUGCUUUCUACUUCUGGACGAUUGGUUGGUCGCAAACAAUUUAUGCAGGAACACUAACUCUUGUGUCUGGGUUUUGGCUGGUUUCUUCUUGAGGAUAGCUAGGACGACCAUUUGAAAUUUUGGACUAUGCUCAGCGAGGUGUCGUUAUUUGAGCGGAUACAAUGGCCUUGCUCCAUAUGAUAGGUAGUUCUUCUUUGCUUUCAUUGGCUACAUGUACUUCUGUAGCCCGCUGAUUCCUGCACAACUCCUUCAUAAUUUGUUUUAUAUGUGUGCAUGUAGAAAAAUUAAUGGGUAUUGCUGAGGAAGCGAGCUACCGGUGUAAGUUUGAGGAAGAGAAGAAAAAAACAAGUGAGUUUGAUUGGUAAGUUCGUAAGCAGAAAAAUGUGGGUUGCGGUGUUUGCGCCUCUGAAUUUUCUCAUUAUUAUUUUCAGAAAGGCAUGUUAGUGGAAGAGUUAAGAUGUUUGGAAUUUUACAGAGCGAGACAAAUAAAUUUACUAAUCCAGUAUCAAAUCUGAGAUUUGUAAGUUGCAACAAUGAUGUUAUUAGUAAGACUAAAAUAUAGUUCAAGAUCAAGUUGUGUGUUCUCUUACCAAUCUCAUUGACCUUUGUUGCACCACUGAGUGUAAUCAGAGUAUAAUUGUAUUGUUGCUUCACGGUGCUUUCCAUCAAGAUAUAUGGUAUAUGCUCAUCCUAUGCAAUUUAAUUGUUAACUACUCCCUCCAUAAAUUAAUAUAAAAACGUUUAGAUCACUAUUUUAAUCAUCUAAACACUUUUAUAUUAAUUUGCAUAGGGAGUAAGAGAGCGAAUAUUCAAUUUGGCUCUAGGGAGCAUAUGCUCCUGCAUGUUAAAAAUGGAUUUUACAAAUGUAUUUUUUUUUGAAAAAAAUAGAUGUGUUCGUGGUCACACUCAAAUGACACAUGUAAAUUUACAGGUGAAAAACGUAAGUAUUUUGGCAUGUGCAAAAAGAACAAGUCAAACGUCAAAUGUUACCUUCAAAUGUUACACUUAAUUUUGUUUUUUUCACCAACGAAGCACCGCUAUCCCAUAUAGCAUGAAAAUUGGCAAGCACACUUGCCACACUAAUAUGAACAACUACAAAAAAAUUCAGAUUUUUUGAAACUUAUUUACUAUUUAUUUUGAUUUACUGUUCAUUAGGGAGCAUAUGCUCCCCAAAGCCAAAAAAGAGAAAAAAGAGAGGCGAUUUCCUAUGUAUGGUGGUAGCUACGCACCCUUUAGUAUAAGUGCUUUUUUUGAUAUACGAAGUGUCGAUUUCAAUGGAAUUGGCACAAAUGCAUUUUUGUUGUAGAUGAAUGACUUUUUCACUUUUAUUUAUCUUUUUUGUUACCUUUUUAACACAAGUGUCUUUUUGUUGUGUAGAAAGGACGUUUUUCACUUCUCUCGUUCUUUUUUUCUUACCCUUUUGGCAUAAUUACAUGUUUGCUUGACUAGAUGGUCCAAAACAAUGAUAUUUUUGCUAUAGAGUUAUUUUUCAUAUUUCAAAAUAAUUUAUUAAAUUAAUUAGAGAUAAAAAUUGGGGCCAUUUGUAGCUACCAUCAUGGGUAGUAAAUUAUUUUUCUACUUUAAAAAAUCAUCCCACCUUUAUAUUUGUGCACAACAUCACUUAUCAUGUUGUUUCUCGUACGACGUUGUGAAAGAAUUCAUAUGAUUUUUUGGGGUCGUCAAGUGUUUGUAUGGGGGUGAUUUAUUUUCUUCCGUUGCAACGCACGGGCAUGUAUGCUACUCCCUCCGUUCUUAAAUAGAAGUCUUUUAAGUGAUUUUACUAGGUGUCUACAUACGAAGUAAAAUAAUUGAAUAUACACUCUAAAUAUGUCUAUAUACAUUCGUAUAUAGUUCACUAGUGAAAUCUCUAGAAAAACUUACAUUUAGGAACGGAGGAAGUAGUAUGUAUCUUUACCUACUAAUAAAGCAAAUAUUGCUUCUGCCGUACGUCAUUCAAAUUGUCCCUAAAGUUGACUAAAAUUACCCACCAAUGUCACCUAUAAGUCAUAAAAAAACGUUUCAAACAGGAAAACUCAGGACUGGGCCGGCCCAUCUAGGCACCUCCUAUAUUACGUUCUGGGCGUUGGAAAAAGAUGCAGCACACCUGUUUGGACCGGCCCAUGAGUGGGCGCGUGUUUUUUAGUUUUGUUUUUUGAUUUUUCUUUUCAGUUCCAUUUUAUUUUCUACUUUAAAUAAUUUAGAACUUCAAAUAGCUUUUCUCCAUUUUAAGAAACACAGAAUUUCGAAAUAAAAUAUUCAAAAUAACUUUUUUUUUGAGAAUUUAAAAACUACUGGAGAGUUUUGAAAAAUGUUUGCAUAUACAAAAAAAGGUUUAAAUUUUGAGAAAAUGUCCAUAAAAUAAAAAAAGUCAAUAAUUUUAAACAAAAGUCCGUGUAAAAAUGUUAAAAAUAGUUCGUGCCUCUGGUUUUAGUCUCGUUUUUUAUUUUCAUUUUUCUGUUCCAUUUUUGAAUUUAAAUAAUUUAGAACAUUGAAAAAGUUUUGCAAUUUAUAAAACUGAGAGUUUUGAAAAAUCAUAAAAUGUUUGAAGAAAACAUAAAACGUUUGUGAAUUCAAAAAAUGCUCGGGAUUUUUCUAAAAGUGUUUGCAUAUUCAGAAAAAUGUUCAUAAUUUUGAGAACAAUGUUCGUGAAAACAAUAAAAGUCCAUGUUUUUGAAAAAAAAUUACGUAUAUUUUUGAGUGCAAUUGAAAAAAUGUUUGCUAAUUUAAAAAAUGUUCAUACAUUUCAAGGAAUGUCCUAAAAUUUUAAAGACAUAAUAUAGUCAGCAUCAUUGAGGAUUAUAAUUGUUUUUCUCGCGUUGCAACGCACGAGCUCUUUUGCUAUUAUAUAUAAUAUAAUAAAGCGCCGAUCGCUUCGGUCAUCCGUCGUGCCACUUCUACAAAAAAAGCCUACGGUGUUUCCUGAGAUCAAGCCACAGUCCGGAUUUAAGUCAGAAAACGAAUCGUUUUUUGAAUUUUUCAGAAAACCCUUGAUGUUUCAGGUAAUCAACCCGCAGUCCGAAUUUAAGUUAAAAAACGAAUAGUUUUUUGCAUUAUUCAGAAAACCCCCUGAUGUUUCUGGUAAUCAACCUGCCCUCCGUAUUUUAAUAAAAAAACCCUAACUUUUCAGUUAAUUAAUCUAAAUUUUAUCUAAAACAAAAUUAUCCAUAUCUUUUAAACCGUAACUCCGAUUUUAACAUGUUAUAUAUGAAAUUUGAUUUAAAAAAUAUGUAGAAUCUAAAUAGGAUGUUAUUUUUAUCUGUUGAAUACUUCUUAAAUAUUAUUUUUGGUGCAAACUUAAUCUGUAGUGUACGGUCCUUUUUUCUCUUUUUCCGGCGACGAUACGAAUUGCAAUAAACAUCCAUUAAAUUAAAACCAAAUUGAGAGGAAAGAAAACAUCGUUAACCACACAUGCACAACUUUGAAAAACCUCAUGGGAAGAAACAACAUAUUUCUCAUCUUAUUCCGAGUGACUGUACAUUUAAACACGUUUUCGUUGUGUGAGCACUAACGCCAUCGUCGGCAACACAAAUGUGAUGCCAUGUGAAAAUAUAUUAUGUUCAGAGCGUGUGUUAUUUUCUCUUCCGUUGCAACGCACGGGCUCUUUUGCUAGUAUAUAUUAAAGGGACUAUUGUUUCUCCACUAUUUUUGGUCUAGCCUGGAUUUUGUACGUUGAGUCACAAAUUUCGUACAUCACGUUGUUCCUGAGUUGUCUUUUUUAUUCUGAAAAAGCCAAAAAGUGGGGCCUAACCCAGGACCUUUCAGUUUUGGGCUAAUCGUGUUAGCCAUUGGACCAAGACGUGCUUGGCGACUUGAGAGUUUCCAAAUGAAUGGUAAACCCUUUUCACUAUACGUUGAACUUUUUUAGAUUAACAUAAAUAAAUUAUUGCAUGACUUUUAUCAGAAAUAACCUCAAAUAAAUACGUAUAUGCAAUGCUUGUGAUAAUAUUCAAGGUAGUCAUGUCCUCAUCACUUCCCACAUUGUCUCCAGCCCAAUCCGCAUCUGUGUACCCAAUGAGAUCAAACUUGACAUCCUUGGGGUGCCAUAGACCCAACUUUGAGGUGUGAACAAUGUAUCUAAGAAUAUGCUUAACCGCCUUAUGAUGACUUUUCCUAGGGUAAGCUUUAAAUCUUGCACAGAUGCCUACACUUAACAUGAUGUCCAGUCUAGAUGCACAAAGAUAAAGCAAAGAACCAAUUAUAGAGUGAUAAAGAGAUGGGUCUAAUGGGAUAUUGUUUGUAUCUUUGUUAAGGGCAAAUUUGGUUGGCAUGGGCUACUUGCAUGGAAUGGCGUCAGUCAUUCCAAACUUUGCAAGAAUGUCCUUGAGAUACUUGGUUUGAGACAAGAAAAUUCCUUCUUGACAAUGUUGAAUUUGAAAACCAAGUAAGAAACUCAAGUCCGCAUUAAGUGACAUCUCAAAGGUCUUGGUCAUGGAAUCAACAAACUUCUUGCAUAAAUGGAUGUUAGGAGAACCAAAAAUGAUAUCAUCUACGUAAAUUUGGCAUAAGAUCAAAUCACCCUUUUCCCUCUUUGUGAAAAGAGUCGGGUCGAUCACCCCUCUCACAGAACCAUCAUCGAGUAGAAACUUAUUAAGGUGAUCAUACCAAGCACGAGGUGCUUGUUUGAGGCCAUACAAAGCCUUGUGAAGUUUGUACACAUAGUCUUUGUGAUAGGGGUCAAUGAAAACGGGUGGUUGUGAUACAUAUACUUCUUCUUGUAAAUGACCGUUGAGAAAAGAACUCUUCACAUCCAUUUGAUGUAAAGUAAAACCAUUGAAAGAAGCAUGAACAAGUAACAUGCGAAUUGAUUCAAGACAGGCAACAGGGACAAAGGUCUCAUCAAAGUCCAAACCUUCAACUUAUGAGAACCCUUGAGCCACUAACCUUGCCUUGUUUCUGAUGAUUACACCAUUCUCAUCUUGUUUGUUCUUGAAUAUCCAUUUUGUUCCAAUGACAUUGUGCUCCUUGGUUCGUCUUUUGACUAGAGACCAUACUUUGUUGUGCUCGAAGUUGUUCAACUCUUCUUGAAUCGCAACAAGCCAUUCGUUGUCUGUCAAUGCAUCCUGUGCCUUGAGUGGCACAACACUAGAGACAAACUAAAAAUGAGCACAAAAGUUUGUCAAUUGUUUACGAGUAACUCUACCUUCCGAUAUCCCGGUAAGAAUUUGAUCAACAUCAACACGACCAGCCACACGAUGAAUGAUGGAGGUUAAGGUUUCACGAGGUUCAACUUUGUUCCCAUCAUCAGCAUAUUCAACAUAAGGAUCUGUAAUGUGUGGUGGAAGAUCUUAUUCAUGCAUCAUUUGUUGAGGUUCAUCAUCAUUUAAGGUUCGUCGUCAUCGACAUGUGCAUGUUCUUGUUCUUGUACGUGAUGAUGAAUUUGUUCUUGUUCUUGUACUUGAUGGUGGACAUCUUCUUGUUCUUGGAUUAUGGACUCCUCUUGAGGGAUGAGAUCUUGUGGUGGUGUAGGUGUAGUGGUUGGUUGAGCAUGAGUGGUGCUUGUGUCCUCAUCUUCACCUUCACAAGGAACAUGUUCCAUUGGAAGGAGAGCACCUACACCCAUGGUUAAAAUGUCUUGAGAAGGAUCUUCAUCACCUGCAUCACUUAGAUCAACUUGCUCCCCAUGGGAGCCAUUAAAUUCAUCAAACACCACGUCACAAGUUUCUACAAUGCAUCCGGUGAAUUUGUCGUAGACCCUAUAGGCAUGGGAGUUUGAUCGAUAACCAACAAAUAUUCCUUCAGAUGUUUUAGAUUGAAAUUUUCCUAACCAUUCGCUCUUGUUGAGAAUGAACCAUUUGCAACCAAAUACCCGAAAAUAAUUGACAUUUGUCUUGUUUACGGUUAUGAGCUCAUAUGGUAUCUUCUCCAAGAUCUUAUGAAGGAAGAGACGGUUUGAUGCAUGGCAUGCGGUGUUCACGGUUUUUUUCCAAAAGCUAUGAGGUGAUUUGUACUCAUCCAGCAUGGACCUUGCCAUCUCCACAAGUGUGUCGUUAUUCCUCUCGGCUACCCCCAUUUUGUUGUGGGGUAUAUGGCGUGGAGUAUUGAUGCUCAAUUCCUUCAUCACUAAUAAGCUCUUCCAAGGUGUAGUUAUUGAAUUCAGAUCCAUUGUCACUUCUUAUUGCUAAGAUUUCUUUGUCAAACUUGUGUCGAGCUUUCUUGGCAAAAUCAAUGAAGGCGAUCUUUGUCUCGUUCUUGGAUUUGAGAAAGAACACCCAUGUGUAUCUUGAGUAAUCAUCAACAAUGACAAACCUAUACUUCUUUCCACCAAGACUAUCCCAUGAAGGAGGCUCAAAUAGAUCCACAUGAAGGAGCUCUAAAGGUCUUGAAGUUGACACUAUAUUCUUGGGGUAUGCUUUGUUUGAUGUUACUUCCCGGCUAUGCAUGCACUACACACACAAUCUUUCUCAAAAGAUAUAUUUGUUAGUCCAAGGAUGUGUUCACCCUUUAAGAGAUCUUGAAAAUUUCUAAUGCCGACAUGGGCUAGCUAACGAUGUCAUAGCCAUCCCUUGUCGGCCUUGGCCAUGAGGAAAGUUUCAUGGAAUGUGCUCUCUUUCGAGAAAUCAACCGUGUAAAGGUUACCAUCCAACUCCACCACAAAGGCAACUUCAAGAGUAUCUCUCUUAAAUACUUUUACAUCCGUUAGUCCAAAUAUUGUAUCAUAACCAACAGAAGCCAAUUGAGGAACGGAAAGCAAGUGAUAUUUUAUGGGAUUGGACAAGCAUGUCAUUUGCAAGUGACAUGUCAUUGGUGAUAGCCACCUUACCCAACCCAAGUACCUGUCCUUUAGACCCUCCACCAAAGACAAUGCUUAUAAAUGGUCGAAUAGCUUCCAUGAAGUCCAUGAGCAAUGUGCCAUCUCCGGUCAUAUGAUUGGUGCAUUCGCUAUCAAUCACCCCUUUCACUCCACCGGAUAAGGCAUCCUACACACAUUUCAAGUCUUGGUUAGAGGCACCCGUUUUACAAUGGAACCUCUCAAGUUAGUAGCAAGGGUCUUAGGAAACUAAAUUGCGUAGAAACGAAAGGCAUUCCUAGGGCCAACAAAUUGUGCAUAAACAUCUCAAUCUUUUGCCUUACGAAGCACAUAUGAUGGAGGCAUACAUUCUUUUGGCUUGUUAGGAGUAGGCUUGCCCCUUGUGACCUUCCUACUCGUAACCUUCCCGACGUUACCCAUUCCUUUAUCCGUGUGCCCUUCUCGCACAAAUAUCUCCUUGAGGGGAGUCGUGGACUUGUGUGUCGCCAUUUUAUUUUUGCUUGUGCUUCGAUCAAAUCCAAUCCCUUCCUUAGACACUACCUCCUUGUGUUGACUCAACACUUGAUUGAGGUUCUUUUGUCCUUGGGCACAUGACAUGAGCCAUUUUUCAAUUUCAGCCUUUAGCAACCGGUUCUCCUCAAGUACGCUAGCUAGGUUACCACUAGGGUUAGUAUCAUAAGCAUAAACAUUUAUAAUAGGAGAGGAAUAAACUUUGCCAAGAGUGUUAAGAUAGGUAAGCUUGAGUUCAUCAAACUUCUUCGUAAGAAUGUUGUGCUCUUCUUCAUUUGUCUUGAGGGACAAGUGUAAGAGCUCCCAAUCCUUAGAAAGAGUAGCAUGGGAGUGUUCAAGCUUACACUUGUCAUUUAUUAACAUAUUAUAAGCACUUUUAGUCGUUUUCAAAGAGGUAAGUUCUUUAGUGUAUUUAUCAAUGUUUGUACAUAUUUUUAAACAUGAUUCAUCAUUACAUGCUUCCUCAUAUAGGACUUUCUGCUCAAGGAUUUCACAUUUCUCCUUUUCCUCAGUAACAAGGGUUUCAGGUUCCUUAAUGGAGGUGGUGUGCAUACUCACCAUCUCCAUAAGCAUACGAAACAUAAUGGGCUUCUUUCCUUUGAGAAAGCACAUGACUUUCUUCAUUUUGGCAAACAUAGCAUCACUUAUUUCAGAUUCAUGAUCAUGAUCCUCUACAUCAAGAUAUUUGUCACUAGAUGUGGUAGGGGUAAACAGAGGAGGGUUAGGUCGUGGAGUUACCUUCAUCUUGUCCGGAGAUGCUUGAUCCUCAUCGACUUCUACCACACCCUUUGUCAUGAUACAUUUGUGUGUGUUACCCUUGUAGUCUUUCAUGUAGUUGUAUGUGACAACAUCAUCACUUUUGUUGACCAGUCUCAAUGUGGUUUGAGUGUCUUGGGCUACACCUGCAACACCCCAACAUCAUCGGGUUCGAAUUCGUCUUGAGCAACCAUUGCCUUCCCAUCUAUCUUCUUGAACUUGGAGUUUAAUGGGUUGGGCAACUUUUUAUUUACAGAAGUCUUCGGAAAUCUUGGUUUGUCUUCUCUCUUCUCAUAGGGACACUCAUUUGAGAAGUGGUUGGUUUCUUCACAACCGUAGCAAGUCCUUAUUUUCUUAUUUUGGAAACUUCCCUUUAAUUUUCCUACACUAAACUUCUUCACAAAGAGGGCCAUAUCUUCAUAUGAGAGCCCGUCAUCUGAGUCAACCUCAUAACCUUCUUCCUCAUCUUCCUCUUCUUCUUCACUAACAUCAUCGUCCCUUACAUGAUUGGCCUUCAAGACAAGAUUUGAAUUGGGUGAUGAGGAGCCAUGCAUGGCAAGAUGUCUUGUAGCACUGGCAUUUGAUUCUUCAAAUAAUUGGAAGGUUGAAAUGACAUCAUCGGGAUACAUGUCCUUAAAACCAUGCUCGCUUCUUAUGUUCCAUACCAUUUGAUGGUGAUAUGGAGCAAGGGCAUUUAGAAAUUUAUCCACAAGAAAACCGUUUGGUCAAGUUGAAUCCAUCUUGACUCUUGUCACAAUCAUAUGAUUCAAUAUAGGCACCAAGUGUCAUCAGUCUCUCAAGAUGAAGCUUGGGGUUCUCAACUUUCUCCAUGCAAAAAUAUUGUAAUGCCCCUUUCCAAUCUCAUAUUAUGCAAGACGAAGAGAAGACGUCCCCGUCUUGGUCAUCACAAUGCUAUCCCAUAGUUCCUUUGCAUUUGAGAGGUGAAUGUAGGGCCUUUUCUGCUUGUUAGACAUGUCCUUUCUUAUGAGCAUGAUUGCAGUGUCAGUGACGUGCUUGUCAUAUACUUCACCCGGUGUGAGAUUCUUGGGGUUCACGGGGUUGUGACCUUUCUCCAAGAUCCCCAGGAUAUCAUUGUUCGCAAACCUAAGAUGAUCCUGCAUACCAACUCUGCACAAACAAAAAUCGACAGUGUCAUCAAGUAAAGGAGGGUUUCCCCCAGCAUUAUACAUAGGUUUAUCCACUCUAGGUUUUGCAUAUAACCAUGGAACACCGUUGUUGUCACCAACUUGAGGUUGUUGGCCCAAAUUGGGGAGAGAUGUAUUAGAUUGCUUUAUCACACCCACUGGGUUCUCAAGUGGUGGAGUUCUUGCAACUAAUGCAUCCAACAUCAUUUUUACCAAGAUCUCAAUAGAAGUAUCAUGCUCCUCUUUCUGCUAGCAAGGGCCCAUUCAAGAUCCUCAGAAGUGAAGGAUCUCCUUUCAUCCGAAGAUGAUGACCCUUUCUCAAGUGGAAGUGCAAUGAGGGUGUUCCCAUCCUUAUCCAUCCCACUCAAGUGCGGUUAAGCCACGCGAUUAGAUCAUGAGGAUCUAAUGCCAAUUGAAAGGACCGAGAUGGACCUACAGGGGGUGAAUAGGUAAAAUUACAAAUUUUAGUUGUUACUUAGCAAUUAUUAGGCAAUAAUGCGGAAUACGAAAUGUAGCCUAACAAUCGCAAGGGUGACAAGGUGAGAACUAUGAUAUACAAGUUAAGCACCUAAAUAGAUAAACAAGCCACAAUAUGAAAACAAGUUAAACACGCGAGGAGACAAGUAAUAACCACAAAUAAGGAGCUAGGGUUAGGAAAAAACGCAAGUAUGAGAGACGAGGAUGUAUCCCGAUGUUCACUUCCUUAAAGGGAAGCUACGUCGCCAUUUAGAGAGGUGGAUGUUACUGAUGACCCACAAGUGUAGGGGGUCUAUCGUAGUCCUUUAUAUAAGUAAGAGUGUCGAAUCCAACAAGGAGCAGAAGUAAAUGACAAACAUUUUUCAGUAAGGUAUUCUCUGCAAGCACUGAAACUAUCGGUAACAGAUAGUUUUGUGAUAAGGUAAUUCGUAACGGGUAGCAAGUAACAAAUGUAACAAUGGUGCAGCAAAGUGUACCAAUCGUUUUUGUAGCAAAGGACAAGCCUGGACAAACUCUUAUAUAAAGCAAAGUGCUCCCGAGAACAGAUGGGAAUUUCUGUCAAGCUGGUUUUCAUCAUGCUCAUAUGAUUCGCGUUCGUUACUUUGAUAAUUUGGUACGUGGGUAGAACGGUGCUUGGGUACUGCCCUUACGUGGAAAAACAUCCCACUUAUGAUUAACCUCUCUCGCAAGGAUCCGCGACUACGAAAGAAGAAUUAAGAUAAAUCUAACCAUAGCAUGAAACAUAUGGAUCCAAAUCAGCCCCUUACGAAGCAACGCAUAAACUAGGGUUUAAGCUUCUGUCACUCUAGCAACUGAUACGUCCAUUUUGCAUCAUGCUUUCAUGUUGAUAUUUAUUGCUUUUUGGUCUGUUAUAUUACUUGUGGUACCAUAUUUAUGCCUUUUCUCUCUUAUUUUGCAAGGUUUAUUUGAAGAAGGAGAAUCCAGGCAGCUAGAAUUCGGGACUGGAAAAGGAGCAAAUCCUAGUCCACUAUUCUGCACAUCUCCAAAUGCCCUGAAAAGUUACGUGGAUUUUUUCUGGAUUAUAUAAAAAAUACUGGGCGAAAGAACUACCGGAGGGUGGCUGCCACGGCGCCACAAGCCCUAACACCGCCACCCCCUGGUGGCGGAGUGGGGGCUUGUGGGCUCCCUGACGGCCCACUAGCCCCCCUCUUUUGCUAUAUGAAGCGUCCUCGUCCAGAACAAAUCAAGGGGGAGCUUUUUCAUGGUUUCGCCGCCGCCACAAGGCGGAACUUGAGCAGAUCAAAUCUAGAGCUCCGGCAGGACGAUCCUGCCGGGGAAACUUCCCUCCCAGAGGGGGGAAUCGUCACCAUCGUCAUCACCAACACUCCUCUCGUCGGAGGGGAGGCAUCUUCAUCAACAUCUUCAUCAGCACCAUCUCCUCUCCAAUCCCUAGUUCAUCUCUUGUAACCAAUCUUCGUCUCGCAACUCCGGUUGGUACUUGUAAGGUUGCUAGUAGUGUUGAUUACUCUUUGUAGUUGAUGCUAGUUGGAUUACUUGGUGGAAGAGUUUACGUUCAGAUCCUUGAUGCUAUUCAUUACACCUCUGAUCAUGAUUAUGAUUAUGUUUUGUGAGUAGUUACUUUUGUUCCUGAGGACAUGGGAUAAGUCAUGUUAAUAAUAGUCAUGUGAAUUUGAUAUUCGUUCGGUAUUUUGAUAUGCUGUAUGUUGUCUUUUUCUCUAGUGGUGUUAUGUGAACGUCGACUACAUAACACUUCACCAUAUUUGGUCCUAGAGGAAGGCAUUGGGAAGUAGUAAGUAGAUGAUGGGUUGCUGGAGUGAUAGAAGCUUAAACCCCAAUCUAUGCGUUGCUUCGUGAGGGGCUGAUUUGGAUCUACUAGUUUAAUGCUAUGGUUAGACUUUGUCUUAAUUCUGCUUUUGUAGUUGCGGAUGCUUGCGAGAUAGGUUAAUCAUAAGUGGGAUGCUUGUCCAAGUAAGGGCAGUACCCAAGCGCCGGUCCACCCACAUAUAAAACUAUCAAAGUAACGAACGCGAAUCAUAUGAGCAUGAUGAAACCAGCAUGACAUAAAUUCCCGUGUGUCCUCGGGAGCGUUUUUCCUCCUAUAAGACUUUGUUCAGGCUUGUCCCUUGCUACAAAAGGGAUUGGGCCACUUGCUGCACCGUUUCUACUACUUGUUACUUGUUACUCUUUGCUUGCUACGUUUCACCUCGCUACACAAUCACUUGUUGCUCUUUGCUUGCUACGUUUCAGUGCUUGCAGUUAUUACCUUGCUAAAAUCCGUUUAUCAGAUCCUUCUGCUCCUCGUUGGGUUCGACACUCUUACUUAUCGAAAGGACUACGAUUGAUCCCCUAUACUUGUGGGUCAUCAAGACUCUUUUCUGGUGCUGUUGCCGGGGAGUGAAGCGCCUUUGGUAAGUGGAAAUUGGUAAGGAAACAUUUUUAUACCGUGCUGAAAUUUAUUGUCACUUGUCACUAUGGAAACUGUUCCUUUGAGGAGUUUUUUCGGGGUAUCUUCACCAUGAAUGGAAGCACGAGGAGUUGCUCCUCAACCUGAGGUACCUACUGAAAAUAUCUUUUAUGAAAUUCCUUCGGGUAUGCUUGAGAAACUGCUGGCUAAUCCUUUCACACGAGAUGGAUCUUGACAUCCAGACUUGCAUCUAAUCUAUGUAGAUGAAGUUUGUGGUUUUAUUUAAGCUUGCAGGUUUUCCCGAGGAUGAGGUAAAGAAGAAAGUCUUUCCUUUAUCUUUGAAGGAUAAGGCGUUGACAUGGUAUAGGCUAUGUGAUGAUACUGGAUCAUGGGGCUACAAUCGGUUGAAAUUGGAAUUUCAUCAAAAGUUCUAUCCUAUGCAUUUAGUACAUCGUGAUCGGAACUUUAUUUAUAAAUUUUGGCCUCGUGACAGGGAAAGCAUAGCUCAAGCUUGGGGGAGGCUUAAAUCAUUGCUAUAUUCAUGGCCCAAUCAUGAACUCUCGAGAUAAAUCAUCACUCAAAACUUUUAUGCUCGGCUUUCUCAUGAAGAUCGUACCAUGCUUGACACUUCUUGUGCCGGUUCUUUUAUGAAGAAGGAUAUUGAUCACAAGUGGAAUUUAUUGGAGAGAAUCAAACACAACUCUAAAGAUUGGGAGCUGGAGGAAGGUAAGGAGUCAGGUAUGAAUUUCCAGUUUGAUUGCGUUAAAUCUUUUGUUGAGACAAACACUUCUAGAGAUUUUAGCGCUAAGUAUGGACUUGACUCUGAGAUAGUAGCUUCUCUAUGUGAAUCUUUUGCUGGUCAUGUUGAUCUUCCCAAAGAGAAGUGGUUUAAAUAUAAUCCUCCUAUAGAAAGCAACAUAGCCAAAACCAAUCUAGUUGAGGAGAAAGUCAUUGCUUUUAGUGAUCUUGUUGUUCCUUGUGCUUACACUGAGAAACCACCAUACCCUGCUAGAUAAAGGAUUAUUCUAAAGCUCCAACUGUGAUACGUAGGGGUUUCAUUAGACCACUUGCACCCCCUGAGGAAAUUAGAGUUGAACCUAGUGUUGUUAUUAUCAAAGAUCUCUUAGCCGAAGACAUAGAUGGGCAUGUUAUCAAAUUCUGUGAGGACUCCGCUAGAAUUGCUAAACCUCACGCGAAAGACAAACACUGACCUGUAGUUGGCCUGCCCGUUGUUUCUGUUAAGAUAGGAGAUCACUGUUACCAUGGUUUAUGUGAUAUGGGAGCUAGUGUUAGUGCAAUACCUCGUUCUCUAUAUGAUGAAAUCAAAGAUGAGAUUGCACCUGCUGAGUUAGAACCCAUUGAUGUCACUAUUACGCUAGCUAAUAGAGACACUAUCUGCCCUCUGGGAAUUGUGAGAGACGUAGAAGUCCUGUGUGGUAAGACGAAGUAUCCUACUGAUUUCCUCGUCCUUGGUACUGCACAAGAUAGCUUUUGUCCCAUCAUAUUUGGUAGACCCUUUCUUAACACUGUCAAUGCUCACAUUGAUUGCAUUAAGCAGACUGUCAUAGUAAUUUUCGAGAGUGUGUCUCAUGAAUUUAAGUUCUCCAAGUUUGGAAGACAAUCCCAUGAAAGAGAGUCGUCUGGUAGGGAUGAAAUCAUUGCUCUUGCCUCUAUUGCCGUACCUCCUACGAAUCCUUUAGAGCAAUAUCUGCUUGAGCAUGAAAAUGAUAUGCAUAUGGAGGAGAGAGAUGAGAUAGAUAAAAUUGUCUUAGAACAAUAUCCUAUUCUCAAGAAUAAUCUGCCUGUUGAACUGCUUGGGGAUCCUCCCCCACCAAAGGGUGAUCCUGUGUUCGAGCUUAAACAGAUGCCUGAUACUCUUAAGUAUGCCUAUCUUGAUGAGAAGGAGAUAUAUCCUGUCAUUAUUAGUGCUCUCCUCCCAGAGCGCGAAGAGAAGAAGUUACUAAAAACUCCGAGGAAGCACCGCGCUGCUAUUGGAUAUACUCUUGAUGAUCUUGAGGGUAUUAGUCCUACUCUAUGUCAGCACAAGAUUAAAACUGAUCCUGACUUUAAACCAGUUGCUGAUCAUCAAAAGAUAUUAAAUCCUAAGAUGAAAGAGGUCGUUAGAAAAGAAAUAUUAAAGCUUCUGGAAGCAGGAAUCAUUUAUCCUGUUGCUCAUAGUGAUUGGGUAAGUCCAGUACAUUGCGUACCUAAGAAGGGAGGUAUCACCGUCGUUCCUAAUGAUAAGGAUGAACUAAUCCCACAAAGGAUUAUUACCGGCUAUAGAAUGGUGGUAGACUUCCGGAAACUGAACAAGGCAACCAGGAAAGAUCAUUAUCCUUUGCCGUUUAUCGACCAAAUGCUAGAAAGGCUAUCAAAGCACACUCACUUCUGCUUUCUAGACGGUUAUUCAGGUUUCUCGCAGAUACCUGGUGCACAAUCUGAUCAAGAGAAAACCACUUUCACCUGCCCUUUCGGUAGCUUUGCCUAUAGACGUAUGCCUUUUGGCUUAUGUAAUGCACCUGCUGGAAUUCUGGACUAGAAAAGGAGCAAAUCCUAGUCCACUAUUCUGCACAUCUCCAAAUGCCGUGAAAAGUUACGUGGAUUUUUUCUGGAUUAUAUAAAAAAUAUUGGGCGAAAGAACUACCGGAGGGGGGCUACCAGGGUACCACAAGCCCUGACACCGCCACCCCCUGGUGGUGGAGUGGGGGCUUGUGGGCUCCCUGACGGCCCACUAGCCCCCCUCUUUUGCUAUAUGAAGUGUCCUGGUCCAGAAAAAAAAUCAAGGGGGACCUUUUUCGUGGUUUCGCCGCCGCCACGAGGCGGAACUUGAGCAGAUCCAAUCUAGAGCUCCGGCAGGACGAUCCUGCCAGGGAAACUUCCCUCCCGGAGGGGGGAAUCGUCGCCAUCGUCAUCACCAACACUCCUCUUGUCGGAGGGGAGGCAUCUUCAUCAACAUCUUCAUCAGCACCAUCUCCUCUCCAAUCCCUAGUUCAUCUCUUGUAACCAAUCUUCGUCUCGCAACUCCGAUUGGUACUUGUAAGGUUGCUAGUAGUGUUGAUUACUCUUUGUAGUUGAUGCUAGUUGGAUUACUUGGUGGAAGAGUUUAUGUUCAGAUCCUUGAUGCUACUCAUUACACCUCUGAUCAUGAUUAUGAUUAUGUUUUGUGAGUAGUUACUUUUGUUCAUGAGGACAUGGGAUAAGUCAUGUUAAUAAUAGUCAUGUGAAUUUGAUAUUCGUUCGGUAUUUUGAUAUGUUGUAUGUUGUCUUUUCCUCUAGUGGUGUUAUGUGAACGUCGACUACAUAACACUUCACCAUAUUUGGGCCUAGAGGAAGGCAUUGGGAAGUAGUAAGUAGAUGAUGGGUUGCUGGAGUGACAGAAGCUUAACCCCAGUCUAUGCGUUGCUUCGUGAGGGGCUGAUUUGGAUCCACUAGUUUAAUGCUAUGGUUAGACUUUGUCUUAAUUCUUCUUUUGUAGUUGCGGAUGGUUGCGAGAGAGGUUAAUCAUAAGUGGGAUGCUUGUCCAAGUAAGGGCAGUACCCAAGCGCCGGUCCACCCACAUAUCAAACUAUCAAAGUAACGAACAUGAAUCAUAUGAGCAUGAUGAAACUAGCAUGACAGAAAUUCCCGUGUGUCCUCGGGAGCGUUUUUCCUCCUAUAAGACUUUGUUCAGGCUUGUCCCUUGCUACAAAAGGGAUUGGGCCACUUGUUGCACCGUUGCUACUACUUGUUACUUGUUACUCUUUGCUUGCUACGUUUCACCUUGCUACACAAUCACGUGUUACCGCUACUUUCAGUGCUUGCAGUUAUUACCUUGCUGAAACCCGUUUGUCAGAGCCUUCUGCUCCUCGUUGGGUUCGACACUCUUACUUAUCGAAAGGACUACGAUUGAUCCCCUAUACUUGUGGGUCAUCAGCAACCCAUCAUCUACUUGUUACUUACCAAUGCCUUCCCCUAGGCCCAAAUAAUGGUGAAAUGUUAUGUUGUCGACGUUCACAUGACACCACUAGAGGAGAGACAACAUACAUCUCAUCAAAAUAUGGAACGAAUACCAAAUUCACAUGAUUACUUAUAGCAAGACUUAUCCCAUGUCCUUAGGAACAAACAUAAUUACUCACAAAGCAUAUUCAUGUUUGUAAUUAGAGGAUUAUUAAUAAUCAUUAAGGAUCUGAACAUAUGAUCUUCCACCAAGUAAACCAACUAGCAUCAACUACAAGGAGUAAUCAACACUACUAGAAACCCCCAGGUACCAAUCUAAGGUUUGAGACAAAGUUCGGAUACAAGAGAUGAACUAGGGUUUGGAGAGGAGAUGGUGAUGAUGAAGAUGUUGAUGGAGAUUGGCCCCCUCUUGAUGAGAGGAUCAUUGGUGAUGACGAUGGCUUCAAUUUCCCCCUCUGGGAGGGAAGUUUCCCGAGCAGAAUAGCUUCGCCGGAGCUCAAGAUUGGUUCUGCCGAAGUUGCACCUCGAGACAGCGGCGCUUCAUCCCGAAAGUUCUAAUAUGAUAUUUUCCAAAUCAAAACCCUACAUAUAGCAGAAGAUGGGCACCGGAGGUCUGCCAGGGGGCUCACAAGCCCGCAGGGCGCGCCUAAGGGGGUAGGCCGUGUCCCCUGGCUUGUGGCCACCUGGUGGGUCCCCUGAUGUAUUUCUUUCGCCCAAUAUUUUUUAUAUAUUACAAAAAAUGCUCCAUAAGUUUUCAGGACUUUUGGAGCUGUGCAGAAUAGGUCUCUCAGCUGCCGGCAUUCUCCCUCUUCAUGUAAACCUUGUAAAAUAAGAGAGAAAAGGCAUAAGUAUUGUAUCAUAAUGUGUAUUAAUAGCCCAUAAUGCAAUAAAUAUCGAUAUAAAAGCAUGAUGCAAUAUGGACGUAUCAACUCACCCAAGCUUAGACCUCGCUUGUCCUCGAGGGAAAACCGAGAUCGAUAAAUAUGCCCACAUGUUUAGAGAUAGAGGUGUUGAUAAAAUUAAAAUACGGACAUGAAGGCAUCAUGGUUAUAUUAAGAACAACAACCCAUAUUGACAUAGAAUAUCUUAUGCUAGAGUAACAAUUCAUUCACAAGGUAAAAUAUGAAUCAAGAACUCUAUUGAGAACUAAUAAACUAUGAUUUUAGUCAUUGAAUCAAUUCCAAUUUAUCGCAACAUAGGAAAGAGUCAAUAUAAGAGCCUGUAAAGCAAAUCCACAUACUUAAUCAUCUUAUGGUAUUUCAUAAUUGCUAACACUCACGCGGUACCUAUGAGGUCAAAGCUUCAAUCGGAUAGAGAGAAAGAUAGGGGCUUAUAGUUUUGCCUCCCAACUAUUUACCUCAAGGGUAAUGUCAACAAUAAUAACUCAUGAUCAGCCACAUCCGAGUGGAUAUAUUUGUCUACAUCAUUCCCCAACACAUGAUGCUUGCCAAAAUAUAAAGGCGAAAUAAAGGAAAUGGUGAAUAUCACCAUGACUCUUGCAUAAAGGUAAAAACUAGAAAGUAAAGGUAACAGAUAGGCCAUUCACAGAGGGAAGCAGCGGUUGUCAUGCGCUUUUAUAGUUGGAUGCACAAUCCCUUAAUAAAAGGAUCGAACGAAGAAAAACGAAGAAAGUAAAAGGUGUGAUGGUAAUACGAUAUCGGGGCUCCUCCCCCAAGCUUGGCACAAGCUAAGGGGGGUGCCCAUACCCAUGUGUUUAGUUGUAUUUCUUCGGAGGUGUUGAUGUUGGAGUUGUUGGUGGGGUUGAAGGCUUGUCCUCCAUCUUCCAAGGCAUGGGCUCACCAUCAUAAAAAGAUGAACGAGUCUCCGGGAUCCUCAAGUCUGCAACCAAACUCAUUCUCUUAAAUAUGUAUUCAUACUUACAGUUUUGGAUUUGCAAGUCAUAGAUCUGGGCUUGGAGAUGCUCGAUUUUCUCGUAAAUCCUGAAGACGUGAUCCCAGAGGUCCUUAGCGUCUAGCUUCUGCUUAUGGGUAAACUCUGCGAUCAUCAGGUGAUUAGCAUUGAGUCCUCGUUCCACCAUCCCUUGGCACUUGAAGACCUGUUGCUCCAUUGCUUCGAGCCUUGUCUCCACGCUUCCGGUCUUCUUUGGCGCCUCAACAUCAUGGAUGUGCAGUACCCCCUCAAGCAUCUCAAUGGUUUGAGGGUGUUGCAGCACCUUCGCAAGGUAGGGGUAGAUACGUCUCCAACGUAUCUAUAAUUUUUUAUGGUUCCAUGCUAUUAUCUUGUCAAACUUUGGAUGUUUUGUAUACCUUUUAUAUCUUUUUUGGGACUAACCUAUUAACUAAGUGCCAAGUGCCAGUUCCUGUUUUUUCCGUGUUUUUCACCCUUUUCAGAGGAGGAUUUUAAACGGUGUCCAAAUGGAAUAAAACUUCUGAAAAGAUUUUUUUCGGAACAGAAGAUACGCACGGGACGUGAGAACCAAGGGAGGGGCCACCAAGGGACCCCACAAGCCCCCUAGGCACGGCUAGGGGGGGGCGCGCCUAGCAGGCUUGUGGGCCCCCCGUGGCUCGUCUAGCCUACCUCUUCCGCCUAUAAAUUCCCAAAAAAUCCAAAACUGCGAGAGAGAUCCACGAAAAUACUUUUCCGCCGCGGCAAGCUUCUGUCUCCGCAAGAUCCCAUCAGGGGCACAUUCUAGUUCCCUGUCGGAAGGGGGAUUCGGAUACGGAGGGCUUAUUCAUCAACACCAUGACCUCUCCGAUGAUGCGUGAGUAGCUCACCAUAGACCUUCGGGUCCAUAGCUAGUAGCUAGAUGGCUUCUUCUCUCUCUUGGAUCUUCAAUACAAAGUUCUCCAUGAUCUUCAUGGAGAUCUAUCCGAUGUAAUCUUAUUUUGUGGUGUGUUUUUCGAGAUCCGAUGAAUUGUGGAUUUAUGAUCAGAUUAUCUAUGAAUCUUAUUUGUGUUUCUUCUGAUAUCUUAUAUGCAUGAUUUCAUAUCCUUGUAAUUCUCUUCGAGUUGUGGCUUUUGUUUGGCCAACUUGAUAUAUGAUUCUUGGAAUGGGAGAAGUGCUUGGUUUUGGGUUCAUACUGUGCGGUGACCUCUCCUAGUGACAGAAGGGGCAGCGAGGCACGCAUCGUGUUGUUGCCAUCAAGGGUAAAAAUGUGGGGUUUACAUCAUUGGUUUGAGUUUAUCCCUCUACAUCAUGUCAUCUUGCUUAAGGCGUUACUCUAUUCGUCAUGAACUCAAUACACUAGAUGCAUGCUGGAUAGCGGUCGAUGUGUGGAGUAGUAGUAGUAGAUGCAGAAAGUAUCGGUCUACUUGUCUCGGACGUGAUGCCUAUAUGUAUGAUCAUUGCCUUAGAUAUCGUCAUGACUUUGCGCGGUUCUAUCAAUUGCUCGACAGUAAUUUGUUCACCCACCGUAUUAUUUGCUAUUUUGAGAGAAGCCUCUAGUGAACACUAUGGCCCCGGGGUCUACUUCACACCAUAUUUUCAGCCUUACACUUUUACUUCGUUGCACUUUCCGCCUUAAGAUCUCACUUUGCAAUCAAUCUUGAAGGGAUUGACAACCCCUUUAUAGCGUUGGGUGCAAGCUCGUUUGUGUUUGCGCAGGUACUCUGGACACUUGGCGCGAUUCUCCUACUGGAUUGAUACCUUGGUUCUCAAACUGAGGGAAAUACUUACUGCUCCUGUGUUGCAUCACCCUUUCCUCUUCAAGGGAAAAACCAACGCAAGCUCAAGAGGCAGGAGAAGGAUUUCUGGCGCCGUUGCCGGGGAGGAUCAAUUCAAGAACUCAUCCAAGUAAGUGUCGCAAACUCAUCUCUUGCAUUUACUUUUUUGCCUCUCGUGUUCCUCUCCCCCACUUCUGAAAAACAAAAAUUUACAAAAAUAUUUGCCUUUUUCGUUCGCCCUUUUCUCUCGCUUGCUUUCUGUUCGCUUGUGUGCUUGUUUGCUUGAUGAAGUCACCAUGACUGAAAACACCAAACUUUAUGACUUCUCGAAUACUGAUAAUAAUGAUUUUAUUAGUACUCCGAUUGCUCCCGCCACUAGUGCGGAAUCAUACGAAAUCAAUGCUGCUUUGCUAAAUCUUGUUAUGAAAGAGCAAUUCUCCGGCCUUCCUAGUGAAGAUGCCGCAUCCCAUCUUAAUACCUUCAUUGAGCUUUGCGAUAUGCAAAAUAAGAAAGAUGUGGAUAAUGAUGUGAUUAAAUUGAAGCUUUUUCCGUUCUCGUUGCGAGAUCGAGCAAAAACUUGGUUUUCGUCUUUGCCCAAAAAUAGUAUUGAUUCUUGGAACAAGUGCAAAGAUGCUUAUAUAUCCAAGUAUUUUCCACCGGCUAAAAUAAUCUCUCUCCGUAACGAUAUCAUGAAUUUUAAGCAACUUGAUCAUGAGCAUGUUGCACAAUCUUGGGAGAGAAUGAAAUUGAUGAUUAGAAAUUGUCCCGCUCAUGGCUUGAGUCUUUGGAUGAUUAUACAAAUCUUCUACGCUGGUUUGAAUUUUGCUUCUAGAAAUAUCUUGGACUCCGCCUCAGGUGGAACGUUCAUGGAAAUCACAUUAGGAGAAGCCACAAAACUCCUAGACAAUAUCAUGACAAACUACUCUCAAUGGCACACUGAAAGGUCACCUACUAGUAAGAAGGUACGCGCUAUAGAGGAAAUUAACUCAUUGAGUGCUACGAUGGAUGAGUUAAUGAAUUUGGUUGCUAGUAGAAGUGCUCCUUUAGAUCCUAAUGACAUGCCCUUGUCUUCUUUGAUUGAGAGUAGUAAUGUGAGCUUGGGCGUUAAUUUUGUUGGUAGGAAUAAUUUUGGCAACAACGAUGCUUUUAGAGGAAACUAUGUUCCUAGGCCUUUUCCUAGUAACCCCUCAAAUAACUUUGGCAACUCCUACAACAAUACUCAUGGAAAUUACAAUAGAUUACCCUCUGAUCUAGAGAGUAAUAUCAAAGAGUUUAUCAACUCGCAAAAGAUUUUCAAUGCGUCCAUAGAGGAAAAACUACUCAAAAUUGACGAUUUGGCUAGGAGCGUUGAUAGAAUGUCUAGUGAUAUUGAUGCUUUGAAAGUUAGAUGUGCUCCUCCCAAGAUCAAUAUGGAUGACACUUUUAAAGCUAUGCGUGUUUCCAUGAGUGAGAGCAAAGCAAGAACCGCCCAAAUUCGUGCUAGACAUGAAUGGCUUAAAAGGCAUGUUCUCGUGAUAAGAAUCACGAAGCUCUUAAAGUGGUUGGUGUGACUCCCUUUGAAUAUUUGUUUUCUAGUGUAAAACCUAAUGAUGCUAGGGCUGGAUAUGAAUCCACUUUGGUUGAAAAGCGCCCCAAUGAUUCGGAGUCCAUCUAUCUUGAUGCUAAAAGCAUUGAAAGUGGGGUAGAAGAUAUCAAAACUUUGAGUAGUAAUGAAACUACUACUUUGGAUUUCAAGGAAUUCAAUUAUGAUAGUUGCUCCUUGAUUGAAUGCAUUUCCUUGAUGCAAUCCAUGCUAAACUCUGCACACGCUUAUAGCCAAAACAAGGCAUUUACCGAUCAUAUCGUCGAUGCUAUGAUAAAAUCUCUUGAAGAGAAACUUGAGUUGGAAGUUUCUAUCCCUAGAAAGCUUCAUGAUGAGUGGGAACCUACUAUCAAAAUCAAAAUCAAAAACUAUGAAUGCAAUGCUUUAUGUGAUUUGGGUGCUAGUGUUUCCGCGAUUCCAAAGUCUUUAUGUGAUGGUCUAGGCUUUAAUGAGAUUGGGGAGUGUUCUCUUAAUUUGCAUCUUGCGGAUUCUACUCUCAAGAAACCCAUGGGAAGGAUCAAUGAUGUUCUUAUUAUUGCAAAUAGGAAGUAUGUACCCGUGGAUUUCAUUGUGCUUGAUAUUGAUUGCAAUCCUACAUGCCCUAUCAUUCUUGGUAGACCUUUCCUAAGGACUAUUGGUGCUAUCAUCGAUAUGAAGGAAGGGAAUAUUAGAUUUCAAUUUCCUUUGAAGAUGGGCAUGGAGCAUUUUCCUAGAAAGAAAAUAAGAUUGCCUUAUUAUGAAUCCAUGAUGAGGGCUACUUAUGGUUUGAGCACCAAAGACGACGAUACGUGGUUCCAUCACCUUAUGCCUAGCUAAGGGCAUUAAACAAUAGCGCUCGUUGGGAGGCAACCCAAUGAAUUUAUCUUUUUCUUUCUGUUUGUUGCGUCCACACCAUCAUAAUUCUGUUAUGAUUGUGUUUUUUGUGUUUAUUUUUGUGUUUGAGCCAAACAAAACCUUUAUGAUUAGUUUGGUGAUGGUUGUUUGAUCCUGCUCGAAAAAAGGCAGAAACUUUUCGCUCACUAAAUUAUUUUUCAUUUUUAUUCAUAAAUAGAUUUUGAGUUGAUUCUUUUUUCUUCUGGUUGAUAUGCCUUUUUCCCAGGCGUUCGUAAUUUUUCAGAAUUUGUGAGGUACCAGAAGUAUACGAAGUAUACAGAUUUCUACAGACUGGUCUGUUUUUGACAGAUUCUGUUUUUGUUUAGUUGGUUGCUUGUUUUGAUGAAACUAUGGAUAGUAUCGGGGGUACUAUCCAUGGAAAAGUGAGAAUACAGUAAUCUAACACCAAUAUAAAUAGAAAUCAAGAUUGCUACAGUACCUAAAGAGGUGGUAGUUUGUUUUCUUGUGCUAAUGAUAUCACAAGUUUCUGUUUAAGUUUUGUGUUGUGAAGUUUUCAAGUUUUGGGUGAUGUUCUCAUGGACAAAUGGAUAAAGAGUGGAAAGAGCUCAAGCUUGGGGACGCCCAAGGCAUCCCAAGCCAAAUUGAAGGACACCAAAAAGCCUAAGCUUGGGGAUGCCCCGGGAAGGCAUCCCCUCUUUCGUCUUCAAUCCAUCGGUAACAUUACUUGGAGCUAUAUUUUUAUUCACCACAUGAUAUGUGUCCUGCUUGGAGCGUCUUGUAUCGUAGGAGUCUUCUCUUUUUUUGUCACAAUCAUCCUUUCUGCGCACCUUUUUAGAGAGACAUGCACUCAUCGUGAAUUUGCUAGAAUGCUCAUUGUGCUUCACUUAUAUCUUUUGAGCUAGACCAUUUUGUUCUAUGUGCUUCACUUAGAUAUUUUAGAGCACGACGGUGCGUAACUUGGUAGUUGGCUUAUGCUAUGAAAGUAGUCCCAAAGGUGAUAGGUACCCAAAGAGGAUACAAUAAAACCUCCAUCUACAUGUGCAUUGAGUAUAAAGAGAAGUUUUGUUUCCUCUCAAUUAGUUUUGAGACGUGGAUUUGGUAAUAUUAAGAGUUAUGUUAGUAGGGUGUUGUGAAUCUAGAAAUACUUGUGUUGAAGUUAGUGAUUCCCGUAACAUGCACGUAUUGUGAACCGCUAUGUUAGGAAUUCAGAGCAUAAUUGAUCUAUUGAUUGUCAUCCUUUGUGUUGCGGUCGGGAUCGAGUGAUGGUUUACACCUACCAACCCUUCCCCUAGGAGUAUGCGUUUAGCACUUUGUUUCAAUUACUAAUAAAAACUUUCGCAAUAAGUAUGUGAGUUCUUCAUGACUAAUGUGAUUCCAUGGUAUAGAUGCACUUUCACCUUCCACCAUUGCUAGCCUCUCUAGUACCGUGCAAUUUUCGCCGGUGCACAAACCCACGAUAUGCCUUCCUCAAAAUAGCCACCAUACCUACCUACUAUGGCAUUUUCAUAGCCAUUACGAGAUAUAUUGCCAUUCAACUCCCACCGUUCCAUCUCAUGACUUGUGUCGUCACUCUCAUAUUGCCAUUGCAUGAUCGUAAGAUAGCUAGUGAGAUGUUUCAACGUCAUACGCCAAGCUAGAUCGUUGCACAUCCCGGUACACUGCUGGAGGCAUUUCCUAUAGAGUCAUCAUCGUUCUAAGCUUUGAGCUGUGAGUAAAUAAAAGUGUGAUGAUCAUCAUUAUUAGAGCAUUGUCCCAUGUGAGGGAAUAAAAAAAAGGCCAAAGUUGCCCACACACAAAAAAAGAUAGAGAUGGAAAGAAGCCAAAGAGCCCAAACAAAAAAAGAGAGAAAAAGAGAGAAGGGACAAUGCUACUAUCUUUUCCACACUUGUGCUUCAUAAUAGCACCAUGUUCUUCAUGAUUGAGAGCCUCUCAUUUUGUCACCACCAUAUACUAGUGGGAAUCUUUAUUAUAUAACUUGGCUUGUAUAUUCCAAUGAUGGGCUUCCUCAAAAUUUCCCUAGGUCUUCGUGAGCAAGCAAGUUGGAUGCACACCCACUAGUUCUCCUUUUGAGCUUUCACAUACUUAUAGCUUUAGUGCAUCCUUUGUAUGGCAAUCCCUACUCAUUCACAUUGAUAUCUAUUAAUGGGCAUCUCCAUAGCCCUUUAAUACGCCGAGUCAAUGUGAACAUCUCCUCCUUUUUGUCUCACAACCACCACCACACUCUAUUCCACCAUAGUGUUAUAUCCAUGGCUCACGCUCAUGUAUUGCGUGAGAGUUGAAAAAGGUUUGAGAAAGUAAGAGUGCGAAAACUAUUACUUGGCCAAUACCGGGGUUGUGCAUAAUUUAAAUUAGUUGUAUGGGGAUGAUGGAGCAUAGCCAGACUAUAUGAUUUUGUAGGGAUAACUUUCUUUGGCCUUGUUAUUUCGAAAGUUCAUGAUUACCUUGCUAGUUUGCUUGAAGUAUUAUUGUUUUCAUGUCAAUAGCAAACUAUUGUUUUGAAUCUUACGGAUCUGAACAUUCAUGUCACGUGAAAGAAGUUACAAAGGACAACUAUGCUAGGUAGCAUUCCACAUCAAAAAUUCAGUCUUUAUCACUUCCCUACUCGAGGACGAGCAGGAGUUAAGCUUGGGGAUGCUUGAUACGUCUCCAGCGUAUCUAUAAUUUUUGAUGGUUCCAUGCUAUUAGCUUGUCAAAGUUUGGAUGUUUUGUAUACCUUUUAUAUAUUUCUUGGGACUAACCUAUUAACUCAGUGCCAAGUGCCAGUUCCUUUUUUUCCGUGUUUGGACCCUUUUCAGAGGAGGAUUUUAAACGGUGUCCAAACGGAAUAAAACUUCCGAAAAGUUUUUUUUCGGAAUAGAAGAUACGCACGGGACGUGAGAACCAAGGCAGGGGCCACCAGGGGACCCCACAAGCCCCCUAGGAGCGGCCAGGGGGCCGCGCCUAGCAGGCUUGUGGGCCCCCUGUGGCUCGUCUCCCCUACCUCUUCCGCCUAUAAAUUCCCGAAAAAUCCAAAACUGCGAGAGAGAUCCACGAAAAUACUUUUCCGCCGCCGCAAGCUUCUGUCUCCGCAAGAUCCCAUCUGGGGCUCGUCCCGGUGACCUGCCGGAAGGGGGAUUCGGAUAUGGAGGGCUUCUUCAUCAACACCAUGACCUCUCCGAUGAUGGGUGAGUAGUUCACCAUAGACCUUCGGGUCCAUAGCUAGUAGCUAGAUGGCUUCUUCUCUCUCUUGGAUCUUCAAUACAAAGUUCUCCAUGAUCUUCAUGGAGAUCUAUCCGAUGUAAUCUUCUUUUGCGGUGUGUUUGUCGAGAUCCGAUGAAUUGUGGAUUUAUGAUCAGAUUAUCUAUGAAUCUUAUUUGAGUUUCUUCUGAUCUCUUAUAUGCAUGAUUUCAUAUCCUUGUAAUUCUCUUCGAGUUGUGGGUUUUGUUUGGCCAACUUGAUCUAUGAUUCUUGCAAUGGGAGAAGUGCUUGGUUUUGGGUUCAUACCGUGUAGUGACCUCUCCCAGUGACAGAAGGGGCAGCGAGGCACGCAUCGUGUUGUUGCCAUCAAGGGUAAAAAGAUGGGGUUUACAUCAUUGGUUUGAGUUUAUCCCUCUACAUCAUGUCAUCUUGCUUAAGGCGUUACUCUAUUCGUCAUGAACUCAAUACACUAGAUGCAUGCUGGAUAGUGAUCGAUGUGUGGAGUAGUAGUAGUAGAUGCAGAAAGUAUCAUGUUGGAAAUAUGCCCUAGAGGCAAUAAUAAAUUAGUUAUUAUUAUAUUUCUUAGUUCAUGAUAAUCGUUUAUUAUCCAUGCUAUAAUUGUAUUGAUUGGAAACACAAUACUUGUGUGGAUACAUAGACAAAACACUGUCCCUAGUAAGCCUCUAGUUGACUAGCUCGUUGAUCAAAGAUGGUCAAGGUUUCCUGGCCAUAGGCAAGUGUUGUCACUUGAUAACGGGAUCACAUCAUUAGGAGAAUCAUGUGAUGGACUAGACCCAAACUAAUAGACGUAGCAUGUUGAUCGUGUCAUUUUGUUGCUACUGUUUUCUGCGUGUCAAGUAUUUAUUCCUAUGACCAUGAGAUCAUAUAACUCACUGACACCGGAGGAAUACUUUGUGUGUAUCAAACGUCGCAAUGUAACUGGGUGACUAUAAAGAUGCUCUACAGGUAUCUCCGAAGGUGUUAGUUGAGUUAGUAUGGAUCAAGACUGGGAUUUGUCACUCCGUGUGACGAAGAGGUAUCUCGGGGCCCACUCGGUAAUACAACAUCACACACAAGCCUUGCAAGCAAUGUAACUUAAUGUAAGUUGCGGGAUCUUGUAUUACGGAACGAGUAAAGAGACUUGCCGGUAAACGAGAUUGAAAUAGGUAUGCGGAUACUAACGAUCGAAUCUCGGGCAAGUAACAUACCGAAGGACAAAGGGAAUGACAUACGGGAUUAUAUGAAUCCUUGGCACUGAGGUUCAAACGAUAAGAUCUUCGUAGAAUAUGUAGGAUCCAAUAUGGGCAUCCAGGUCCCGCUAUUGGAUAUUGACCAAGGAGUCUCUCGGGUCAUGUCUACAUAGUUCUCGAACCCGCAGGGUCUGCACACUUAAGGUUCGACGUUGUUUUAUGCGUAUUUGAGUUAUAUGGUUGGUUACCGAAUGUUGUUCGGAGUCCCGGAUGAGAUCACGGACGUCACGAGGGUUUCCGGAAUGGUCCGGAAACGAAGAUUGAUAUAUAGGAUGACCUCAUUUGGUUACCGGAAGGUUUCCGUGCAUUACCGGAAAAGUUUCGGGCUCAUCGGUAGUGUACCGGGAGUGCCGGGAGGGGUGCCGGGGACCAUCGGGAGGGGUGUCACGCCCCAAGGGGUCUCAUGGGCUAUGGGAAGAGAUAAACCAGCCCCUAGUGGGCUGGAAUAAGUUCCCACUAAGGCCCAUAAGGUUUGAGAAGGAAAAAACACAAGGUGGAAAGAGUUUCCAAGUGGGAAGGUGGAAUCCUACUCCAAGUAGGAUUGGAGUAGGACUCCUCCACCUCCAAUUUCGGCCAAACCUUGAGGGUUUGAGGCUGCCUCUUCCCUCCCCCUCCCACCUUUAUAUACGGAGGUUUUAGGGCUGAUUUGAGACGACUUUCUCACGGCAGCCCGACCACAUACCUCCACGGUUUUACCUCUAGAUCGCGUUUCUGCGGAGCUCGGGCGGAGCCCUGCUGAGAUUAGAUCACCACCAACCUCCGGAGCGCCGUCAUGCUGCCGGAGAACUCAUCUACCUCUCCGUCUCUCUUGCUGGAUCAAGAAGGCCGAGAUCAUCGUCGAGCUGUACGUGUGCGGAACGCGGAGGUGCCGUCCGUUCGGUACUAGAUCGUGGGACUGAUCGCGGGAUUGUUCGCGGGGCGGAUCGAGGGACGUGAGGACGUUCCACUACAUCAACCGCGUUCUCUAACGCUUCUGCUGUAUGGUCUACAAGGGUACGUAGAUCACACAUCCCCUCUCGUAGAUGGACAUCACCAUGAUAGGUCUUCGUGCGCGUAGGAAAAUUUUUGUUUCCCAUGCGACGUUCCCCAACAGCCUAUAUGUAUGAUCAUUGCCUUAGAUAACGUCAUGACUUUGCGCGGUUCUAUAAAUUGCUCGACAGUAAUUUGUUCACCCACCGUAUUAUUUGCUAGUUUGAGAGAAGCCUCUAGUGAACACUAUGGCCCCCGGGUCUACUUCACACCAUAUUUUCAGCCUUACACUUUUACUUCGUUGCACUUUCCGCCUUAAGAUCUCACUUUGCAAUCAAUCUUGAAGGGAUUGACAACCCCUUUAUAGUGUUGGGUGCAAGCUCGUGUGUGUUUGCGCAUGUACUCUGGACACUUGGCAUGAUUCUCCUACUGGAUUGAUACCUUGGUUCUCAAACUGAGGGAAAUACUUACUGCUCCUGUGCUGCAUCACCCUUUCCUCUUCAAGGAAAAAACCAACGCAAGCUCAAGAGGCAGCAGGGGUUGAUGACCCUCUCGAAGAACUUGUCCUUCAAAGCACUGGAAGACGUCAUGUUUAUCUAAAUCUGCUCCCCAAACAGCUCAAAACAAAAACAGGAGAUAUUGCCGUGAUACAGAGGUCAAAACAUUCGGGAGAUUAUAUAAUGAAUUUUUGCCGACCGGGAAGAGUAUACCACAAAAAAAUGGAGUCCGAAGGGUACAAGAGGUGGCCAUAAGCCUAUAGGGCGCACCCAGGGGGGUAGGUCGCGCCCCCCUAGCUUGUCGCCUCCUCAUGCACUUUUCAGACUGCUUUAAAUUUUCCUAAUUUGUAAAUAUUCCAAAACUGAUAAAAAUUGCCAUUAGAAAUAUUUUGCAGUCGGUUUGCUUACCGUAACACAUACCUAUUCCUUUUCAGAGUCUGAAACAUUCUGAUAGGUCUCCCCAAUGUAUUCCUCCGGAGUUAUUGUAUUGAUAAUAUUGGUUUCAACAUUUAUGGGAGUACCUGAGAUAUAAUGUUUGAUUCUUUGCCCAUUUACCACCUUCAGAUUUGUGCCUUCGGUGUUGUUGAUCUUGAUGGCACCGGAACAAUAUACUUCCUCGAUAAUGUAAGGCCCUUCCCAUUUAGAGAGAAGUUUUCCUGCAAAAAGUCUUAAACAUGAGUUGUAUAGCAAGACAUGAUCACCUACAUUGAAUUCACGCUUUUGUAUCCUUCUAUCAUGCUAUCUCUUAACAUUUUCUUUAAACAACUUAGCAUUCUCAUUGGCCAGGGUUCUCCAUUCAUCAAGUGAGUUAAUGUCAAAUAACCUCUUCUCACCAGCAAGUUUGAAAUCAUAGUUAAGCUCUUUACUUGUGCAAUAAGCUUUAUGUUCUAGCUCUAGAGGUAAGUGGCAUGCUUUACCAUAAACCAUUUUAUAUGGAGACAUACCCAUAGGGUUUUUGUAAGCGGUUCUAUAAGCCCAUAGUGCAUCGUCAAGUUUCUUGGACCAAUUAUUUCUAGAUCUAUUAACGGUCUUUUGCAAGAUCAAUUUAAUUUCUCUAUUGCUCAAUUCUACUUGACCACUAGACUGAGGAUGAUAAGGAGAUGCAAUUCUAUGAUUAACACCAUACCUAGCAAGCAAUUUAUGGAAAGCACCAUGAAUAAAGUGUGAAUCACCAUCAGUCAUUAAAUAUCUAGGGACUCCAAAUCUAGGGAAAAUAACUUCUUUCAGCAUUUUAAUAGAAGUGUUAUGAUCAGCAUUACUAGUUGGAAUAGCUUCUACCCACUUAGUAACAUAAUCAACAACAACUAGAAUAUGAGUAUACCCAUUGGAGUUUGGAAAAGGUCCCAUAUAAUCAAAACCCCAAACAUCAAAUGGUUCUAUAACAAGAGAGUAAUUCAUAGGCAUUUCCUGAUGUCUACUAAUAUUACCAAUUCUUUGACAUUCAUCACAAGAUAAGACAAACAUACAAGCAUCUUUGAAGAGACUAGGCCAAUAAAAACAAGAUUGCAAUACCUUGUGUGCAGUUCUAUCUCCAGUGUGAUGUCCUUCGUAGGCCUCGGAGUGACAAUUGUGUAGGAUGUGUCCCUGUUCAUGCUCAGGUACACAACGUCUAAUAAUACCAUCUACUCCUUCUUUAUAAAGGUGUGGAUCGUCCCAAAAGUAAUGUCUUAAAUCAUAGAAGAACUUUUUCUUUUGUUGGUAUGUGAAACUAGGCGGUAUAAAUUUAGCAACAAUGUAGUUAGCAUAAUUAGCAUACCAAGGAGCACUGCGUGAAGCAUUUAUGACAUCUAGUUGUUCAUGAGGGAAGCUAUCAUCAAUAGGUAGUGGGUCAUCAAGAACAUUCUCUAGUCUAGAAAAGUUAUCUGCUACGGGGUUAUUAGUGCCCUUUCUAUCAAUAAUAUGCAAAUCAAAUUCUUGUACCAGAAGAACCCAUCUAAUGAAUCUAGGUUUAGCAUCUUUCUUUUCCAUAAGGUAUUUAAUAGCACUGUGACCAGUGUAAACACAACUACUAAAAAUUCCUUUUCAGUGGUGGCGUAGUUUCUUUGAGCACUGUCUAGAGUUUUACUAGUGUAAUAGAUGACAUUUAAUUUCUUAUCAACUAUUUGCCCUAGAACAGCACCAACAACAUAAUCACUCGCAUCACACAUAAUUUCAAAGGGUAGGUUCUAAUCAGGUGGUUGAACAACAUGUGUAGUGAUCAAGGCUCUCUUAAGAAUUUCAAUUGCUUCCACACAAUCAUCAUAAAAAACGAACGGAACAUCCUUUUGCAAAAGAUUAGUGAGAGGCUUAGAAAUCUUAGAGAAGUCUUUAAUAAAUCUCCUAUAGAAACCAGCAUGACCAAUGAAACUUCUUAUACCUUUGAUAUCUGUUGGACACGGCAUUUUUCAAUAGCAUAAACUUUAGCUUUAUCAACUUCAAUACCUCUUUCAGAGAUUUUGAAUGUCCCAAGACAAUGCCUUCAUUAACCAUAAAGUGGCACUUCUCCCAAUUCAAGAUAAGAUUAGUUUCUUCACAUCUCUGCAAAACUCGAUCAAGGUUGCUUAAGCAAUCAUCAAAAGAAGUUUCGUAAAGCAAAGAUCAUCCAUGAAAACCUCAACAAUCUUUUCACAAAAGUAAGAGAAUAUAGCCAUCAUACAUCUUUGAAAGAUAGCAGGUGCAUUGCAUAAACCAAAAGGCAUAUGUCUAUAAGCAAAGGUACCGAAAGGCCAAGUAAAAGUUGUCUUCUCUUGAUCCUCUUUCGACACAAGUAUUUGAGAGAAACCAGAACAACCGUUUAGAAAGAAAAAUAUGUAUGUUUGGAUAGUCUUUCUAACAUUCGAUCAAUAAAAGGUAGCGGGUAAUGAUUUUCCUAGUAGCCUUAUUUAAUUUCCUAAAAUCAAUUACCAUUCUAUAUCAUCUAACAAUUCUUUGCGGGGUCAAUUCAUUUUUAUAAUUAGGAACAAUGAUAAUACCUCCCUUUUUAGGGACACAAUGAACGAGAUUAACCCAUCUACUAUCAGCAAUAGGAUAAAUUAUACUUGCCUCCAGAAGCUUUAGUAUUUCAUUUCUUACCACUUCCUUCAUUUUAGGAUUUAAUCAUCGUUGGUGAUCAACAACUGGUUUAGCAUUGGGCUCCAUAUUUAUUUUGUGUUGACAUAGAGUGGGACUAAUGCCCUUAAGAUCAUCAAGAGUAUAUCCAAUAGCGACACGGUGUUUCCUCAAAGUUUUCAAUAAUCUCUUUUCUUCAUGCUCUGAAAGAUUAGCACUAAUAAUAACAUGCUAUAUCUCCUUUUCAUCAAGAUAAGCAUACUUCAGAGUAUCAGGUACUUGUUUAAGCUCAAACACGGGAUCACCCUUGGGUGGAGGAGGAUCCCCUAGUAUUUCAACAGGCAGGUUGUGUUUCAAAAUAGGCUGUUGAUCAAAGAAAAUCUUAUCUAUUUCAUUCCUUUCAUUCAUAUGCAUAUCAUUUUCAUGGUCUAGUAAAUAUUAUUCUAAAGGAUCAGUAGGAGGCAGAGCAGUAGAAGCGAGACCAAUAAUUUCAUCUUUACUAGGCAAUUAUUUGUCAUGGGUUUGUCUACGAAAUUUAGAGAAACUGGACUCAUGAGAAACAUGCCCGAAACUUACAAGAAUCGUUUUUUUUCUCACAAUCAAUCCUAGCAUUAACAGUAUUCAAGAAGAGUAUACCGAAUAUAAUAGGAAAAAAUCAUCUUGUGGGGAGCCAAGAACAAGAAAAUUAGUAGGAUGCUUUAUUUUCCCACACAAUACUUCAACAUCUCUAACAAUCCCAAUUGGUGCAAUAGUAUAUCUAUUAACAAGCUUGAUGGUAACAUCAAUUUCUUCUAAUUCAGCUGGUGCAAUAUCAUUCAUAAUUUCUAGGUAUAAGGUAUAGGUAAUUGCACUCACACUAGCACCCACAUCACAUAAGCCAUGAUAGCAAUGAUCUCCUAUUUUAACAGAAACAGCAGGCACGCCAACAAUAGUUCUAUGUUUACCUUUAGUAUCACGUCUAGCAAUUCUAGCAGCUUCAUCAUAGAAAUGAAUGACAUGCCCAUCAAUAUUAUCAACCAGGAGAUCUUUAACCAUAGCAAUAUUAGGUUCAAACUUAAUUUUUUCAGGAGGUAUAGGUGUUCUAGCAAACUCUUACGAACCACAGUUGAAGCUUUAGCAUGUUCCAUUAUUCUAACAGCAAAGGGUGGUUUCUCAAUAUAAGCAGUAGGAAUAACAUGAUCAACAUUAUAAAUAACAAUUUCUUCUUCAACUUUAAUAGGCUCAACCACUUUAAACUCAAUGGGAGGAUGAUAUUUAAACCACUUCGCUUUGGGGAGAUCAAUAUGAGUAGCAAAAGAUUCACAUAAUGAAGCUACUACCUCAGAGUCAAGUCCAUAUUUAAUGCUAAAAUCACGAAAAGCAUCGGUGUCCAUAAAGGAUUUAACACAAUAAAACUUAAGGUUUAUACCUUACUCAUUACCUUCGUCGAGUUCCCAAUCUUCAGAGUUGCAUUUAAUUCUUUCCAAUAAGUCCCAUUUGAAUUCAAUAUCUUUCUUCACAAAGGAACCAACACAAGAAGUAUCGAGCAUGGAUUGAUCAUUACGAGAGAGCCGAGCAUAAAAAUUCUGAAUAAUAGUUUCUCUCGGGAGCUCAUGAUUGGGGCAUGAAUAUAACAUUGACUUAAGCCUCCCCCAAGCUUGAGCGAUUCUUUCUCCUUCACGAGGCAAAAAAUUAUAAAUAUAAUUCUGAUCACGAUGAACCAAAUGCAUAGGAUAAAACUUCUUAGGAAAUUCCAAUUUCAAUCGGUUGUAGUUCCAUGAUACAAUAUCAUCACAUAGCCUAUACCACGUCAAUGCAUUAUACUUCAAAGAUAAAGGAAAUACCUUCUUCUUGACGUCAUCCUCGGGCAGACCUGCAAGCUUAAAUAAGCCACAAACUUGAUCCACAUAGAUUAGAUGCAAAUCAGGAUGUAGUGUUCCAUCUCCUGCAUAAGGAUUAACUAGCAGUUUUUCUAUCAUACCCGAAGGACUUUCAUAAUAAAUAUUUUCAGUAGGUGCAGCAAGUUGAGGAGCAUCUCUUUGUGCUUCCGGCCAGGGUGAAGAUACCCCGAACAAGCCCCUCAAAGGAGUAUUUUCCAUAGUGACAAGUGACAGUAAAUUUUAGCACAAUAUAUAUUUUUUACUUACUAAGUUCCACGCACCAAAGGCGCUUCACUCCCCUGCAACGGCGCCAGAAAAGAGUCUUGAUGACCCACAAGUAUAGGGGAUCUAUCGUAAUCCUUUCGAUAAGUAAGAGUGUCAAACCCAACGAGGAGCACAAGGAAAUGAAAAGCGGUUUUCAGUAAGGUAUUCUCUGCAAGCACUAAAAUUAUCUGUAACACAUAGUUUUCUGAUAAGGUAAUUCGUAACGGGUAGCAAGUAACAAAUGUAAAAAUGUUGUAGCAAAGUGGACCAAUCCUUUUUGUAGCAAAUGACAAGCUUGGACAAACUCUUAUAUAAAGCAAAGUGCUCCCGAGGACACAUGGGAAUUUCUGUCAAGCUAGUUUUCAUCAUGCUCAUAUGAUUCGAGUUCGUUACUUUGAUAAUAUGGUAUGUGGGUGGACCGGUGCUUGGGUGCUGCCCUUACUUGGCUAAACAUCCCACUUAUGAUUAACCUCUCUCGCAAGCAUCCACAACUACAAAAUAAGAAUUAAGAUAAAUCUAACCAUAGCAUGAAACAUAUGGAUCCAAAUCAGCCCCUUACGAAGCAACGCAUAAACUAGGGUUUAAGCUUCUGUCACUCUAGCAACCCAUCAUCUACUUAUUACUUCCCAAUGCCUUCCCCUAGGCCCCAAUAAUGGUGAAGUGUCAUGUAGUCGACGUUCACAUGACACCACUAGAGGAGAGACAACAUACAUCUCAUCAAAAUAUCGAACGAAUACCAAAUUCACAUGAUUACUUAUAGCAAGACUUAUCCCAUAUCCUCAGGAAGAAACGUAAUUACUCACAUAGCAUAUUCAUGUUCAUAAUCAAAGGAGUAUUAAUAAACAUUAAGGAUCUGAACAUAUGAUCUUCCACCAAGUAAACCUACUAGCAUCAACUACAAGGAGUAAUCAACACUACUAGCCACCCCCACGUACCAAUCUGAGGUUUGAGACAAAGAUCGGAUACAAGUGAUGAACUAGGGUUUGGAGAGGAGAUGGUGCUGAUGAAGAUGUUGAUGGAAAUUGUUCCCCUCUCAAUGAGAGGAUCGUUGGUGAUGACGAUGGCUUUGAUUUCCCCCUUCGGGAGGGAAGUUUCCCUCGCAAAAUAGCUCCGCCGGAGCUCUAGAUUGGUUCUGCCAUAGUUCCGCCUCGAGACGGCAGCCUUUGUCCCAAACGUUCUGAUAUGACUUUUUUUCCCGGUCGAAACCCUUCAUAUAGCAGAAAAUGGGCACCGGAGGCCUGCCAGGGGGGCCACAAGCAUGCAGGGCGCGCCUAGGGGGGUAGAUCACGCCCCUGGCUUUUGGCCACCUGGUGGGUCCCCUGAUGUAUUUCUUUCGCCCAAUAUUUUUUAUAUAUUCCAAAAUAAUUAUCCGUAAGUUUUCAGGACUUUUGGAGCUGUGCAGAAUAGGUCUCUCAUAUUUUCUCAUUUUCCGGUCGAGAAUUCCAGCUGCCGGCAUUCUCCCUCUUCAUGUAAACCUUGUAAAAUAAGAGAUAAAAAGCAUAAGUAUUGUACCAUAAUGUGUAUUAACAUCCCAUAAUGCAAUAAAUAUCGAUAUAAAAGCAUGAUGCAAAAUAGACGUAUUAGUUACCAUGAAGACACACCAACGCCACGAUGGCUCACCCUGUUCUCUCCUUGAGACAACACCGCGAAGGUGUUUCUCAACCACUAGUGGUAGGUAUUGAGGUGGCCUCCAAACCCUCACAACCUUUUCUGGGGAAAUCACAAUGAACGAUUCUUCGCCGGAGUACUCCUACCGCCUAGGAGUCUCCAACCUCCAAGAGUGACAAGAUGCACCACGAAAACAAGGGGGAUUCAACUUUUGCUUUGGUGAAUGUGUAGGUCGGGCACACCUCCUUCACUCCUCAAAAGAUCAAGAGCUUUAGUUGGCUAAGGAGGGAGAAAUCCAAGAAAUCAAGGUCUAAAAAUGGUGGAGAGAGAAAUGGAGUCAUCACGUUCUUCGUGGGGAAGAAGAAGACUAUUUAUAGGUGGGGACAUAAUCCAGUCGUUGGAGAGAGAUUCUUGCAAAGCCCUGAAGUUUCGGGGACGCAUGGAAGUUCUGGAUCAUGAAAGUUCUGGGUAGGUUCCGGGCUAACCAGAGAGUUUGCAUCCACUCUGGGGUACCCCUGAAGCUGCUAGAACUGUGGAACGGAAGUUCCGUGGCCCGAAAGUUCCGUCAAGCCCAGAAGUUCCUGGGGAUGGACGUUUCGGCCAAGGUUCUGGGCUACCGAGUGAGUUUCCACAGAAGUGCAGUUUUUCUAGGUGACCCAGAAGCUUCCCGGAACCAUCCCGGACCUUCUGGUCCCCGGAAGUUUCGGACAUCCCGGAAGUUCCGCCCUGAUUAGAAACAUUUUGCGAUUAUAUUAUUUGGACCACUUUUGAGAAUAAGUUGUGCUAGAUCUUAUGUGUACGUGAAGUUGAAUCCCAGGUGUUUUCAUGAUGCACCCCCUCUUAAUAGUGGGGUUGCCUAAGAACUCAAGAAAGAGGAAAACACUAUGGCUUUUUACUUUUUCCGAGUAGAGGGAGAAUAACCAUCAAUGCUUCACUUCAAAUUUGACGGUGUUGUUUAUACUAGAGCAUGUGGUUAGAAACACAAAUGAAAUUAUCAUAUAUGUCAAAAACUAUUAAGGGCAACAAUGCACUUUCAUGUGGGAGAAAAUGCGGUAUCAAACCUGUUGGAUUCAUAUUGUGCAGCGUCACGAUAGAGGGUUAAUCAUGAAAAAUAUUCGAUAUUUUUUAGCAAGGGUUGUCCCCAAACUCUAAGGCAAGAAGUAAAGACUUCGCUUGAAGUGCACAAUGAGUCCUUGAGUGAGAGAUACCUUGGAAUGCCUAUGGAUGUUGGUCACUCAAUCAAUGGUACUUUUAGGUAUCUUCGUUAUAGAGUAUGGGAGAGGAUAAGGGCGUGGAUGGAGAAACUCGUGUGUGCAGGAGGAAAAGGGGUGUUGAUAAAAGCAGGGGCGCAAGCACUACCGGUGUUUUCAAUGGCAUGAUUCAGGCUGCCACGUGGCCUAUGUGAGAAUAUAACAUCUAUAAUGCGACAGUUUUGGUGGGGCAGCAAGAAUGAUAAACAAAAGCCUAACUGGGUGGCUUUGGAUGAUAUGACUCGGCCUAAAAAACAUGGGAGGAUUAGGUUUCCGCAACCUAGAGAUAUUUAACUUGGCCUUGCUCUCUCGACAAGCAUGGCGUAUAUUGCACGAGCCUGAUUCUCUUAGUGCAAGGAUUUUGAAGGCAAAAUACUUCCCGACCCGCAGAUUUCUAGACGUAGAACUUGGACAUAAUCCCUCACAAAUUUGGAGGGUGAUGCUGGAUGGAAGGGAUGUACUGCUGCAAGGUCUUGUUUGUCAGAUCGGAGAUGGGCCAACUACUAAUAUCUGGUACGGUAACAGGAUCCCUAGGCACCGGAUGAGGCGUCCAAUUCCCACCCAUCCAAGGAAUGCUCCAACGAUGGUUGCGCAGCUGCUCGAAGUGACUACACGAGAGUGGAAGGAGGAACUGAUGCGGAACACUUUUGUGCCAAACGAUGCGGGUGCGAUUGUGGGAAUACCCAUAUGUACAAGACAAAUUUCACACUUCUGGGCAUGGGCCCCUGACCGAAAGGGCCGCUUCUCAGUCCGGUUAGCAUAUAACAUGAUCCUUGGAACCAAGAUACAGAGGGAGGUGUGGCUUCAUGAUAAGCAAUGGGUCUCGAACACGCAGCAAGACGAUGAUGGUUGGUCGUCCGUUUGGAAUUUGAGGGUUCCCUCAAAGAUCAAAAAAUUUGCGUGGAGGCUUUGUAGGCAGUCGCAUCCUUCGGGGGGUUUACUACAUCAUUGCAACGUGGCCUCGUCCCUGGGAUGCUCUUUAUGUGGAGAAACAGACAACUCGACGCAUAGCCUCAUUGAGUGCAGAUGGGCUAGGAGCUUAUGGGCACAUUCUAAUGAGCAAAUGGUGGAGCACAUGCACCAUAAUAGUAACCCUAGGGCAAAGAAAUGGUUGUUUGCAAUGAGUGACUCAUUAUCGCAUGAUGAAUUACAAAUAUGAUUGUUACCCUAUGGGCAUUUUGGAGAUCACGGAGGAAAUUCAUACAUGAGGAUAUAUUUCACAACCCUCUAUCAACACAUGGGUUUUUCCAGAAGUUUGUGUUAGAUAUUCAAGUCUUCCAGAAGCAUAUGAUGCCAAGGCAAACAACACAUGUGCCUAAACCUCUAGGUUUGCUGCCACCACGUGAGAGCUACGUAAAAAUAAAUGUUGAUGUUGCAGUCUCAAGGCAUGGUUGUUUAGGUGUUGUGGGUGCUAUUUGUAGAGACCAAGGGUGCUUAUUCAUGGAUGCAUCUACACUAUUCUUUCUAUACAUAAGUGAUGCGGCUACCUUGGAGGCUCUUGCGGUGAGGGGAGCUUUGGCCUCGUAGAGGACAUGUACACCCUGCACAUAUUCAUUGCUUCGGACUAUAAGGCUAUUGUGGAGGAAAUCAAGACGAGGAGCUCGACGAAUUAUGGAGUUGUGAUUAAAGAAAUACAAGAAUGUCUAGUAGAUUUUCUUUCUAGUAUUUUUAGUUAUGAAUUCAUAGCCCCUGAUGGUCUGGCUCACACUCUUGAAAAGCAUGGUCUUACUUUAGGGGUUGGUCGCCAUGUAUGGUUAGGUGUAACGACUAAGAUGCGAUGCUUUCCUUAUUUUGAGGCCUCGCCCCCAACUAAGGAAAGUGUAGGAGCUUUUGAUUGAUCGAACUUGGCCGAGUUGAAUCUAGCAAAAACUUUUUUGAGUCUUAGUUAUAUCGUACAGUAGGUUUAUUUUUUCUCCUCUUCUAUGCUCUCGUGAGGUUCACGACUUAGGAAAUUUUAAUAUCUUAGUAUCUCAGGACGGAGGAUGUUCGAAAUUGCUUCAAUACUAGUAGUGGCGCGAUAAGCCCGACAUCCCCAGUACUGGUGUAGAGAGUUCGGGGGUACCACCAUACUUAGUAUCGUUGUGAUUACGAUGGUCUGAGAUAGAUGAGGUUCCGAUAUUCUGGUUAUGUGUUGAUGGAUGUGAUACACUGGACGGGUUAGUAUAGGAGUUGAGUGACAUAUUACUCCUUGUAUCCGUGGACCAGAUUGCAUGACCAGAAAUUUUGAAAGUUCUUACGUGGGAAUUCCAUUAGCAACUUAGGAAUUCUUUCAUCAGAUGUAUGUUGGGUAUAUACAUUUGUUCCUAGCAAUCCUAGCUUAUACUUGGCAUUUACAAGUGACUUUUCAGUCAGAUGUUGUUGACGGUUAUUUAGAGGAAGCAUUCUUACUAAUUAUAGUUCGAGUGCAAUUGCUAAGAAUUCGCCCUANNNNNNNNNNNNNNNNNNNNNNNNNNNNNNNNNNNNNNNNNNNNNNNNNNNNNNNNNNNNNNNNNNNNNNNNNNNNNNNNNNNNNNNNNNNNNNNNNNNNCACACACAAGCCUUGCAAGCAAUGUAACUUAGUGUAAGUUGCGGGAUCUUGUAUUACGGAACGAGUAAAGAGACUUGCCGGUAAACGAGAUUGAAAUAGGUAUGCGGAUACUAACGAUCGAAUCUCGGGCAAGUAACAUACCGAAGGACAAAGGGAAUGACAUACGGGAUUAUAUGAAUCCUUGGCACUGAGGUUCAAACGAUAAGAUCUUCGUAGAAUAUGUAGGAUCCAAUAUGGGCAUCCAGGUCCCGCUAUUGGAUAUUGACCGAGGAGUCUCUCGGGUCAUGUCUACAUAGUUCUCGAACCCGCAGGGUCUGCACACUUAAGGUUCGACGUUGUUUUAUGCGUAUUUGAGUUAUAUGGUUGGUUACCGAAUGUUGUUCGGAGUCCCGGAUGAGAUCACGGACGUCACGAGGGUUUCCGAAAUGGUCCGGAAACGAAGAUUGAUAUAUAGGAUGACCUCAUUUGGUUACCGGAAGGUUUUCGUGCAUUACCGGAAAAGUUUCGGGCUCAUCGGUAGUGUACCGGGAGUGCCGGGAGGGGUGCCGGGGACCAUCGGGAGGGGUGUCACGCCCCAAGGGGUCUCAUGGGCUAUGGGAAGAGAUAAACCAGCCCCUAGUGGGCUGGAAUAAGUUCCCACUAAGGCCCAUAAGGUUUGAGAAGGAAAAAAACACAAGGUGGAAAGAGUUUCCAAGUGGGAAGGUGGAAUCCUACUCCAAGUAGGAUUGGAGUAGGACUCCUCCACCUCCAAUUUCGGCCAAACCUUUAGGUUUUGAGGCUGACUCCUCCCCUCCCUCCCACCUAUAUAUACGGANNNNNNNNNNNNNNNNNNNNNNNNNNNNNNNNNNNNNNNNNNNNNNNNNNNNNNNNNNNNNNNNNNNNNNNNNNNNNNNNNNNNNNNNNNNNNNNNNNNNGAAUUCCUUGUGCUAAAUAGGUCAUAUUUCCAUUUCUGGAAAUGUCCAGAUAUGGACUUGCCAAAUUGGGCAGGCCCAAGAACAACCCUGGUUCUGGUUAUGUUGUAGUUUGAUGUGUGCUAGAUUUUCUUUCAUUGUUUGUGGUGUUUUUCUGAAUGCAACAUGGGCAGUAUGAUAUAUGGAUUUGGGGUAGAAAAUCCCAAUGAAUCCAAUGGUGUGUUGGUUUCUGGUUUUGAGCAUUUCUGUAGAAAGUCCCCUUGUGGUGAGGUGGCAAUAGUUAUAUCGGUGUAGGGUGGUUCAUGUGCAUGGUAGAGGUUGUGCUUGCUUGCAUCAUUAUGUCUGUGGCAUCAUCUUCCUGCUGGUAUUUAUUUCCUGCUUGUUUUCUUUUGGGUAGCUACUGGGACCGGAAACGAGUUCGAGGAGUCCGGUGAGUUCGUGCAGGAAGAUCAGGAUCAGUUCCACUCUGAAGAAAUCACAGGCAAGAUGACCGUGACCUUGACACCAUUUCUAGCUUUGUUAUGCUUAGUGUUAUGUUUCCUUCGUUACAUCUCCGCUGCCUACCACAUGAUAUAUAGGCCAUCAAACAUUGCCAUGAAACCUCAAACACCUCCCCUCCUAGCAAAUAUUGUUUGGCUAGGUUAGGCUUGCUCAGCCACUAAUUGUUAGCGUUGCUAGUUGCAGGUGCCAAUUGGUCCAUGUGAUAACAUGGGAAAUUUGAUAUCAUUAUAUUAGUUGCUAUUUAAAUAAUGCACCUAUAUACUUGGUAAAAAGCGGAAGGCCUGGCCUUUUGUCGGGUGAUUUGUUCCGUUGUUGCCGCCUUAGUUUCGGCUACGGCUGUGUUAUUCCGUAACUGAGCACUCCUAACAAGUUCGGGGUUGUUAUGGGGACCCCCUUGAUAAAUUGUAUAGUGUUAAGACUUGUCUGGCAGGACCCAACUUUGGUUUUUAACUUGCUAAUAACUUAAUAAAAAUGCAUAGGGAAUAGCUACCCCGAGGAAGUUAAUCAACCCCCCGGGCCAGUGCUCCUCAUGAGUGUUGGUCCACCCACCUAGCAGUCGGCUGUGCCACCUGGGGGCAACUCGAGUCGUUUGGUUAUCGUCCACUAUGCAUAGACGAUUGUGUCCUGAGAACGAGAUACGCGGCUCCUAUCGGGUUCGUCGACACACCGCUUGAUCUUGCCAGACUUGUCUUACCUUAGCGAUAUAGCUUGCGCAUUGGAAUUCCAGUGAGACUUUGGGUCUUUUCAGAGUUGAGGUUUUCCUCUAAGGAAUCCGACAAGAUCACGAGUUUCGUGGUAGAGGAUUACUAUGCGGCCUAUGGUAAUUUGUGAUGGACUAGUUGGAGCACCCCUGCAGGGUUAAAUCUUUCGGAAAGCCAUGCCCGCGAUUAUGUGGGAAACACGGAUAUUUUGUUAACAUCCGAUUCUAGACAAUUUAAAGUAAUUCAAAUAAAACUUGCCAACUGAGUGCGUAACCGUGACUAUUUCUUUCAGAGCUCCUUCUUUGAUCGAGAACACGGUGGGGUUAUGAAUGAUGUAAGUAGGUGUUCAGGAUCACUUAGUGAUCAACCUAGUCUUCGACCGUAGUCGGACCCUGUCUUAUGUAUGAAUAAUGAAUGCUUGUUUGGAUUGUAAUUUAGCAUGUGGCGAGUGUAAGCCGAAUCAUAUACUCAUCUCUCUAUUUAUGUAUGACAUUGUUAUCCUACUUGCGAAAUGCUUAGAUGCGACCCUUUCCCCUUUUGAGGCCUCGCCCCCAAAUAAGGAAAGUGUCACAUCUUGGUCGUUACAAUUCUUCUCAAAGAUAAACUUCAACUCCUGAAACAUCUUAUAUGCUCCGUGACGUUCAAAACGUCUUUGAAGUCCUGGUUCCAAGCCAUACAAAACAGCACAUUGAACUGAUGAGUGGUCAUCCUUGCGCGUCUACGAGACGUUCAUAACUUCUGGCAAUGCAGGUUGGGGUGGUUCAGCACCUAGCGGUUCAUCAAGGACAUAUGACUUUUGGGCAGCCUUAAGGAUGAGCCUCGGAUUAUGGGCCGAGUCAACAAAGUUGCUUCCAUCAUCUUCCAACUUAGAUUUUUCUAGGAACGGAUUAAAAUUCAAGGUUGCUACCUGAUACGUCUCCGUUGUAUCUACUUUUCCAAACUCUUUUGCCCUUGUUUUGGACUCUAAUUUGCAUGAUUUGAAUGGAACUAACCCAGACUAACGCUGUUUUCAGCAGAAUUGCCAUGGUGUUGUUUUUGUGCAGAAAUAAAAGUUCUCGGAAUGACCUGAAAAUUUACGGAGAAUUUUUCUGGAAUUAAUGAAAAAUACGAUACGGAGGUGCCGCCACCUCCUGUUCUUCAUCUGGAGGGCAGAUCUAGAGUUCGUUCAGGGCUCCGGAGAGGGGAAAUCAUCGCCAUCGUCAUCAUCAACCUUCCUCCAUCAACAAUUCCAUGAUGCUCUUUGAUACGUCUCCAUCGUAUCUACUUUUCUAAACUCUUUUGCCCUUGUUUUGGACUCUAAUUUGCAUGAUUUGAAUGGAACUAACCUGGACUGACGUUGUUUUCAGCAGAAUUGCCUUGGUGUUAUUUUUGUGCAGAAAUCAAAGUUCUCCAAACGUCCUGAAAAUUUACGGAGAUCAUUUUUGGAAAAUAUGAAAAAUAUCUGUGCCAAGUUCGACCUGAGGGGGUGGGCCAGUGGGCCACAAGCCCUGGCUCCGCCACCCCCUGGUGGCGGUGGGCAGGCUUGUGGGGCCCACACAGCUCUGCCGCCCCCAAUCUCAGGUCUAUAAGUUCCCUUUCAUCCCAGAAAAAAUAAAAAAGAGAAGUUUUCGUCGCGUUUGCGAUACGGAGGCGCCGCCACAACCUGUUCUUCAUCUCGAGGGCAGAUCUGGAGUCCGUCUUGGGCUCCGGAGAGGGGAAAUCGUUGCCAUCGUCAUCAUCAACCUUCUUCCCUCUCCAAUUCCAUGAAGCUCUUCGUCGUUCGUGAGUAAUCUAUUCGUAGGCUCGCUGGGCGGUGAUGAGUAGGAUGAUCUCUAUCAUGUAAUCGAGUUAGUUUUGAUGGGGAUUGAUCCCUAGUAUCCACUAUGUUCUGAGAUUGAUGUUGCUACUACUUUGCCAUGCUUAACGCUUGUCACUAGGGCCCGAGUGCCAUGAUUUUAGAUCUGAAAUUAUUAUGUUGUCACCAAUAUAUGUGUGUUUUAGAUCCGAUCUUGCAAGUUGUAGUUACCUACUAUGUGUUAUGAUCCGGCAACCCCGGAGUGACAAUAACCAGAACCACUCCCGGUGAUGACCAUAGUUUGAGGAGUUCAUGUGUACAACAAGUGCUAAUGCGUUGGUCCGGUUCUUUAUUAAAAGGAGAACCUUAAUAUCCCGUAGUUUCCUUUUGGACCCCUCUGCCACGGGAGGGAUGGACAAUAGAUGUCAUGCAAGUUCUUUUCCCUAAGCACGUAUGACGACACAUGGAAUGCAUGCCUACAUCACAUUGACGAACGGGAGCUAGCCACAUAUCUCUGCGUGUUAUAACUGUUGCAUGAUGAAUAUCAUCCAAACAAAUCACCGACCCAUUGCCUACGAGUUUGUCCUACUGCUGCUGUUACUUGUUUUGCUCUGCUGCUGUUACUACUGUUGCUGCUGCUGUUACUUGUCUUGCUCUGCUACUAUUACUAAUGUUGCUACUGCUGUUACUUGUCUUGCUCUGCUGCUACUGUUGCUACUACUAUCGCUUGCUACUGUUGCUACUUGCUACUGUUGUCACUAUUGCUAUUCCUUGCCAUUGUUACUCGUUACACUGCUGCUACCUGCUACAAUACUUUUUCGCUCGGCGUUGACGGGAACAGACAAUUUCCGUCAACGGGCAACUUGGCGCCAUUGAUAUGAAGUUAGGAAUAGUCUUCCGUCAACAGAUCGUUUCUGACACCAUUGUUAUCAUACUACUUUGCUCUUACCACUUUGCUUGCAGAUACUAAUCUUUCAGGUGUGGUUGAAUCUGACACAUUCAGCUGCUAAUAUUCGAGAGUAUUCUCUCACCCCCUGUUUGGUGAUCAACAAAUUUGGGUCGAAUACUCUACCCUCAAAAACUACUACGAUCCCACGCGUUGGUGGGCCGUCAACAACAUUCUUCUAGUUUCGAUUGUCGGAGAGUGCUAGCAGCAUUCUUCUUGUGCCGUUGCAAGGGGAAGCACAACUGACAUCAAGCAUUUUUCUGGCGCCAUUGCCGGGGAGGUAUUGCUAUAUUCUUUGAGUUACUUGGGAUUUAUAUCUGCUGAUCACUAUGAAGAAUCUGAAGGAUCCGAAGACCAAAGUCUUGCCCUCAACUAUGAGGGGAGGUAAGGAAUUGCCAUCUAGCUCCGCACUUGAUUCACCUUCAGUUAUGAGUAAGUUUGCGACAUCACCUCAUGCUAGAAAUCUUGAUAUGUCGCCUGUGCUUGAUGAUGCUUAUGAUGCUACUGCUAGAGAUGCUAUGCUUGAUACUGUGCUUGAUGAUGCUAUGCUUGAUACUGCUAGAGAUACUAUGCCUGAUGAUGCUAUGCUUGAUAUUGCUAGAGAUGCUAUGCUUGAUACUGCUAGAGAUGCUAUUUUGCCUGAUGAUGCUAUGCUUGAUACUGCUAGAGAUACUACUUUGCCUGAUGUUCCACUAGGGGUGUUCCUUGAUGCUCAUAUUGCUAGAGUUACUGCCAAUGCUCGUGAUGCUUCUGAAACUGCCGAUACUAUUGGGAUAGAACCAGCGUUUGCUCCUACUAGAUCUAGCUCUCCUAGAUAUGAAUUGCCUGAUAUACCUGAGGGUUACGUUAUGGAGGGAGAGAUAGCUGAGGAUUUUCUUGCGUGUAAGGAUGCCUAUGACGCUAAGAAAUUACUUCUCAAGUGGAAGGAAAAAUCUCUGAAAGCUAAGAUGAAAUACGACCCGAAGUUUGCCACUUCACCUAUCUUUAUCACUGAUGUUUGAUGUGUAUCCCCGGCAAGGUGCCAGAGAUGCUUCUGAUGUACGUUAUGCUACUGCACAAAAGACCUUCCAGUGGCGCCAGAAAUGAGCACGUUGACGGCACCAGGAAUCCUUCUGCGUUGGUGUUCCCUCAAAGCGUAGAGGAUGAUGUAGCACAGCGGAGGUAAGUAUUUCCCUCAGUUUUGAGAACCAAGGUAUCAAUCCGGCGAAGGAGUAUCUCAAGAUCCUGCACAAACACAAAAACUUGCACCCAACGCUAUGAAGGGGUUGUCAAUCCCUUAUAGAUUGUUUGCCAAGUGAGAACUGAAAGCAACAAAGUAACAAAGCAAAGUAAAAGUGGAGUUGUAAACGAUGGAAGUGAAUAGACCCGGGGGCCGUAGUGUUUACUAGUGGCUUCUCUCAUGAAAGCAAGUAGACGGUGGGUAAACAAAUUACUGUCGAGCAAUUGAUAGAACUGUGCAGAGUCGUGACGAUAUCAAUGCAAUGACUAUUUCUAUAGGCAUCACGUCCGAAACAAGUAGACCGAUACUGUCUGCAUCUACUACUAUUACUCCACACGUAGACCGCUAUCCAGCAUGCAUCUAGUGUAUUAAGUCCAUAAGAACAGAGUAACGCCUUAAGCAAGAUGACAUGAUGUAGAGGGAUAAACUCAAACCAAUGAUAAAACCCCCAUCUUUUUACCCUUGAUCGCAACUGCUUGAUGUGUGCCUUGCUGCCCCUACUGUCACUGGGAAAGGUCACCACAUGGCAGAACCCAAAACCAAGCACUUCUCCCAUUGCAAGAAUCAUAGAUCUAGUUGGCCAAACAAAACCCAAUACUCGGAGAGACUUACAAGGAUAUCAAAUCAUGCAUAUAAGAAAUCAGCAAAGACUCGAAUAUAUAUCAUAGAUAAUCUGAUCACAAGUCCACAAUUCAUCGGAUCUCGACAAACACACCGCCGAAGAAGAUUACAUCGGAUAGAUCUCCAUGAAGAUCAUGGAGAACUUUGUAUUGAAGAUCCAAGAGAGAGAAGAAGCCAUCUAGCUACUAACUAUAGACCCGUAGGUCUGAAGUGAACUACUCACGAGUCAUUGGAGGGGCGAUGAUGAUGAUGAAGAAGCCCUCCAACUCCAAAGUCCCCCCGGUAGGGCGCCGGGAAGGGUCUCCAGAUGAGAUCUCGCGGAAACGGAAGCUUGCGGCGGCGAAAAAGUAUUUUCGAGGCUCCCCUGAUUUCUUGCGGAAUAUUUGGGAAUUUAUAGGCCAAAGACCUAGGUCAGGGGGCGGCCAGGGAGGCCACAAGCCUACCCACCGCCGCCUCCCCCUGGUGGCGGAGUGGGGGCUUGUGGGCUCCCUGGAGGCCACCUGGCUUGGCCCAAAAGCCCACUGGACUUCUUCCGUUCGGGAAAAAAUCAUUUCGGGGGUUUUUCUUCCGUUUGGACUCCGUUCCAAAAUCAGAUCUGAAAAGAGUCAAAAACACGGAAAAAACAGGAACUGGCACUUGGCACUAAAUUAAUAAGUUAGUCCCAAAAAGAUAUAAAAAGGUACAUAAAACAUACAAAGAAGGCAAGAUAACAACGUGAAAACAUCAAAAAUUAUAGAUACGUUUGAGACGUAUCAAGCAUCCCCAAGCUUAACUCCUGCUCGUCCUCGAGUAGGGAAGUGAUAAGAAUGAAUUUUUGAUGAUUUCAUGCUACCUAGCAUAGGUGUCCUUUGUAAUUCCUCUUAUGUGACGUGAAUGUUAAGAUCCAUUAGAAUCAAAACAAUAGUUUGCUAUUGACGUGGAAACAAUAAUAAUUCAAGCAAACUAGUAAAGUAAUCAUGAACUUUCAAAAUAACAAGGCCAAAAGAAAGUUAUCCCUACAAAAGCAUAUAGUCUGGCUAUGCUCUAUCAUCAUUGCACAACAAAUUUAAAUCAUGCAUAACCUCGGUAUUGGCCAAGUAAUUGUUUCACACCUUUACUUUCUCAAACAUUUCAACUCUCACGCAAUACAUGAGCUUGAGCCAUGGUUAUAGCACUAUAGAUGGUGUGGAAUGUGGUGGAUGUUGCUAGACAAAAGGAGAAGAUAGUCACAUUAACUAGGCAUAUCAAUGAGCUGUGGAGAUGCUCAUCAGUAGAUAUCAAUGUGAAUGAGUAGGGAUUGCCAUACAAAUGAUGCACUAGAGCUACAAGUAUGUGAAAGCUCUUAAAGUAAACUAGUGGGUGUGCAUCCAACUUGCUUGCUCACAAAGACCUAAGGCAAUUUUGAGGAAGCCUAACAUUGGAAUAUACAAGACAAGUUAUAUAAUGAAAAUUUCCCACUAGCUAUAUGGUGGUGACAAAAUGAGAGACUCUCAAUCAUGAAGAUCAUGGUGCUUAAUAUGCACAAGUGUGGAAAAAAGUGGUAGCAUUGUCCCUUCUCUCUUUUUCUCUCAUUUUUUAUUUUUAUUUUGGUGGGCUCUUUGGCCUCUUUUUUUAUGGGCUUCUUUGGCCUAUUUUAUUUCCUCACAUGGGAAAAUGCUCCAAUAAUGAUGAUCAUCACACAUUCAACUCAAAACUUAGAGCAACUAUGACUCUAAAUGGAAUGCCUUCGGUAGUGUACCGUGGCAAUGAUCUAGUAUGGCAUAGACAUCAAUGGAAACAUCAUGCUAGCUGACUUACGACCAUGCAAUGGCAAUGUAGACGUGGUGGCACAUGUCAUGGGGGUAGUUGCAUGGCAAUAUAUCUCGGAAUGACUUUGAAAAAGCCAUAAUAAGUAGGUAUGGUGGCUGUUUUAAGGGAGGCUAAUGGUGGGUUUUGUGCACCGGCGAAAGUUGCACGGAACUAAGAAGAUAGUGAUCGUGAAAGGUGAAAGUGGAUCUAAACCAUGGACUCAACAUAGUCAUGAAGAACUCAUAUACUUGUUGCAAAAGUUUUAUUAGUAAUCGAAACAAAGCAUUCAACGCAUACUCCUAGGGGAAGGGUUGGUAGGUAUAAACCAUCGCGCGAUCCCGACCGCCACGCAAAGGAUGACAAUCAAUAUACUAAUCAGGCUCAGAUUUCAUCAUAUAGAGGUUCACCAUACGUGCAUGCUACGGGAAUCACUAACUUCAACACAAGUAUUUCUAGAUCCACAACACCUUACUAGCAUGACUUCAAUAUUACCAUAACCACAACUCAAAACUAAUUGAGAUGAAUCAAACUUCUCUAACUAUUCAAUGCAUAUGAAGGUGGAAGUUUUCGUAUCCCUUUGGAUAACUACCCCUUUUGAGACUACUUUCAAAGCAUAGAUCAACUACCAAGCUAUGCACCGCUGUGCUCUAAAAGAUAUAAGUGAAGCACAUAGAGCAAAAGUAUCUAGCUCAAAAGAUAUAAGUGAAGCACAUGUGAGCUGAAUUGUCUACCAAAAGAUAUAAGUGAAGCUCGACAAAAUCACGGUGUGUGCAUGUAUCUCUCUCUCUCUAGGUGUGCAGAAAGGAUGAUUGUGUCAACAAAAAAAUAAAAGACUCCUACGAUACAAGACGCUCCAAGCAAAAACACAUAACAUGUGGUGAAUACAAAUAUAGCCCCAAGUAACGUUACCGAUGGAUUGAAGACGAGAGAGGGGAUGCCUUCCCGGGGCAUCCCCAAGCUUCGGAUUUUAUGACAUCCUUGAAUCUCUUGGGGUGCCUUGGGCAUCCCCAAGCUAGAGAUCUUGCCACUCUUUAUCUUUUUGUCCAUAAGAACUUCACCCAAACCUUGAAAACUUCACAACACGAAACUUAAACAGAAACUCGUGAUAACAUUAGUACAAGAAAGCAAACCACCACUUCCUUAGGUACUAUAGCAAACUUAAAUUCUACAUGUGCUGAUGUUGGGUUACUGUACUUUCAAUCUUCCAUGGCUAAUACCCCCCGAUACUAUCCAUAGUUUCAUCAAAAUAAGCAACCAACACAACAAAAACAGAAUCUGUUAACAGCAGACCAGUCUGUAGCAAUCUUUAUAUUUCGUAUACCUCUGGUACUUCAACAAUUCUGAAAAAUUACGACAGUCUGAAGUAUUUGCGUAGAAAUCAGAAGCAAAAAUAAUCAACUCAAAAGCUCUUACAGAAAAAAAAAAUCUUUUCGUGAUAAGAAAGUUUCUGUUUUUCCAGCAUGAACAAACGAUCAUCCUCAAGACUAAUCAUAACGGUUUUGCUUGGCAUAAACGCAAAAAGAAACACAAAAAACACAAUCAUAACAGAAUUAUGAAAGUGUGGUAAACACAAAACAGAAAGAAAAAGGAUAGAUUCGUUGGGUUGCCUCCCAACAAGCGCUUUUGUUUAACGCCCUUAGCUAGGCAAAAGUGAUGGAAUCACGUAUAGUCAUCUUUGGUACUCAAACCAUAGGUAGCGUGAUCAUUUAUCAUCUUAAGAUUUUCAUCUUUAUUAGAUGACUCACCACUAGCUCUAGGAACAAAAACAGGCUUGACGGUCUUUUUGAGAGUAAGAUUUGGAGUAUUUUUCACAGCGGCAAAAGCGGAAUCCAAGUUGGUUAUGACAUCUUCUAAUUUGCCAAUUCUAGAAGAAUCAUUAACUAUAAGUUCCUUCUCCUUUAAAUUUUUCAAAAAGUUUCCCACUUUGGAUCCAUACUGAGAGAUUUGAUUGUGGAUCUUUCUAUCCAAACCCUCAAUAAGUUGAACUAUGGCAAUUUUGUUUUCAAUAGCGUCAAGCCUUUGCAUCACGUGUUCCAAGGUCAACAUAGUUCCAUUAACCAUGAGCGGGGGUGAGCCUACCAAAUUAAUUAUAGCUCUAUAGGAGUCAACAGUAUGGCUCCCCAAAAAGUUCCUGCCUACAAUGGUAUCAAGGAUAUACCUAUUCCAAGGAGAAAUUCCAACAUAGAAACUGCGAAGGAGGACGGUAGUGGAUUGCUUACGAGUAGAUCUACUUUGAGCAUUGCAAAUCCUGUACCAAACGUCCUUCAAAUUUUCUUCCUCAUUCUGCCUGAAAUUGAGAACUUCAUUAUGAGGGGUGUCAUUUGGAGUGGUGGGUCUAGCCAUUGAUGGACUAUCUCACACACAAACGAGCAGGAAGAGAGAGUGAAACGGGCAAAAGAAGACAGCAAAAGCGAAAGGCGAAUGAAAACGACAAAUGUGAAGUGGGGGAGAGGAAAACGAGAGGCAACUGGCAACAAAAGUAAAUGCAAGAGAAGAGUUUGUGAGACCUACUUGGAUAGAUCUUGAUUUCUCCUCCCCGGCAACGGCGCCAGAAAUACUUCUGAUGUUUGCUGUGUAUCCCCGGCAAGGUGCCAGAGAUGCUUCUGAUGUCUGUUAUGCUACUGCACAAAAGACCUUCCAGUGGCGCCAGAAAUGAGCACGUGGACGGCACCAGGAAUCCUUCUGCGUUGGUGUUCCCUCGAAGCGGAGAGGACGAUGUAGCACAGCGGAGGUAAGUAUUUCCCUCAAUUUUGAGAACCAAGGUAUCAAUCCGGCGGAGGAGUAUCUCAAGAUCCUGCACAAACACAAAAACUUGCACCCAACGCUAUGAAGGGGUUGUCAAUCCCUUAUAGAUUGUUUGCCAAGUGAGAACUGAAAGCAACAAAGUAACAAAGCAAAGUAAAAGUGGAGUUGUAAACGAUGGAAGUGAAUAUACCCGGGGGCCGUAGUGUUUACUAGUGGCUUCUCUCAUGAAAGCAAGUAGACGGUGGGUGAACAAAUUACUGUCGAGCAAUUGAUAGAACUGUGCAGAGUUGUGACGAUAUAUAUGCAAGGAUUAUUUCUAUAGGCAUCACGUCCGAAACAAGUAGACCGAUACUAUAUGCAUCUACUACUAUUACUCCACACGUCGAACGCUAUCCAGCAUGCAUCUAGUGUAUUUAGUCCAUAAGAACAGAGUAACGCCUUAAGCAAGAUGACAUGAUGUAGAGGGAUAAUCUCAAACCAAUGAUAAAAACCCCAUCUUUUUACCAUUGAUGGCAACUGCUUGAUGUGUGCCUUGCUACCCCUACUGUCACUGGGAAAGGUCACCACAUGGCAGAACCCAAAACCAUGCACUUCUCCCAUUGCAAUAAUCAUACAUCUAGUUGGCCAAACAAAACCCAAGACUCGGAGAGACUUACAAGGAUAUCAAAUCAUGCAUAUAAGAAAUCAGCAAAGACUCAAAUAUAUAUCAUAGAUAAUCUGAUCACAAGUCCACAAUUCAUCGGAUCUCGACAAACACACCGCCAAAGAAGAUUACACCGGAUAAAUCUCCAUGAAGAUCAUGGAGAACUUUGUAUUGAAGAUCCAAGAGAGAGAAGAGGCCAUCUAGCUACUAACUACGGACCCGUAGGUCUGAAGUGAACUACUCGCGAGUCAUUGAAGGGGCGAUGAUGAUGAUGAAGAAGCCCUCCAACUCCAAAGUCCCCACCGGCAGGGCGCCUGGAAGGGUCUCCAUAUGAGAUCUCGCGGAAACGGAAGCUUGCGGCGGCGGUAAAGUAUUUUCGAGGCUCCCUUGAUUUUUUGCAGAAUAUUUGGGAAUUUAUAGGCCAAAGACCUAGGUCAGGGGGCGUCCAGGGAGGCCACAAGCCUGCCCACCGCCGCCUCCCCCUGGUGGCGGAGUGGGGGCUUGUGGGCUCCCUGGAGCCCACCUGGCUUGGCCCAAAAGCCCCAUGGACUUCUUCAGUUCGGGAAAAAAUGAUUUCGGGGUUUUUCUUCCGUUUGGACUCCGUUCCAAAAUCAGAUGUGAAAAGAGUCAAAAACACGGAAAAACAGGAACUGGCACUUGGCACUGAAUUAAUAAGUUAGUCCCAAAAAUAUAUAAAAAUGUACAUAAAACAUACAAAGAAGGCAAGAUAACAGCGUGAAAACAUCAAAAAUUAUAGAUACGUUUGAGACGUAUCAAUCACCGAUAAGGAUUAUGAAUUCUUUGUCGAUCCUGAGAUAAUCUCUCUAGUCGAAUCUGAUCCUUUUCACGGUUAUGAGUCUGAGACGGUCGUAGCCCAUCUUGCCAAACUACACGAUAUAGCCACCCUUUUCACUAAUGAGGAGAAGAUCCGCCACUACUAUAUCCUUAAGUUGUUCCCUUUCUCUCUAAAGGAUGAUGCUAAAGUCUGGUUCACCUCUCUUGCUCCUCGAUGUGUGAGUAGUCCCCAGGAGAUGGUCUAUUACUUCUGUGAGAAAUAUUUCCCUGCCCAUAAGAAGCAAGGUGCCUUGCAGGAAAUAUACAACUUUGCUCAACUCCAAGAAGAGAGUCUUCCACAAGCUUGGGGGAGGCUCGUCCAGCUACAGAAUGCUUUUCCUGAUCACCCUCUUAAGAAGAACGAGAUACUUGAUAUCCUCUAUAACGGACUUAUCGAUGCCUCUAGAGACCACCUAGAUAGUUGUGCCAUUUGUGUUUUUAGGGAACGAUCUGUAGAACAACCUGAGACCCUACUGAAUAACAUCUUGAUCAACGAUAAUGCUUGGACUAUUCCAGAACCACCUCCUAAGCCAACUCCAAAGAAAAGAGGUAUUCUAUUCCUCAGUCCCGAAGAUAUGCAAGAAACCAAGAAAUCUAUGCAAGAGAAAGGCAUUAGAUCUGAAGAUGUCAAAAAUCUACCACCUAUCGAAGAGAUCCAUGGUCUCGAUAACCCGAUACAGGUAGUAGAAGUGAAUUCUCUGCGUAGGUUUGAUGAGAGUGAUAUUCCUUUUGAUAAACCUGCUAGCCUAUGCUUUGAUGAAUUUGACAACUUUGUUGCCAAACAACAGAGUUUCAAUGAUUAUGUUAGCACACAUUUGGAACAAAGUACUCGUAUGCUUAGCCAUUUAAGUGCUUGUGUAGACAGAAAUGUCAAUGAUCUGAAGCUUCUGAGUAAACAUGCCUCUAUGAUUACUACUCAGGUAGAACAAGUACUGAAAGCUCAGAAUGACUUGCUCAAUAAAUUAAAUGACAACUUUGUCAGAGUCAUUACUGGAGGAGGCAAAAUGACCGAGGAACCUUUGUAUCCUGAAGGUCAUCCUAAGAGAAUUGAUCAAGAUUCUCAAGGAAUCAAUGCUGAUACACCCAGUCAUCCUAAGGAGAAGAAGAAGGAUGAUAGAAACUUACAUGCCAGUUCACCAAAUACUGUCACACCUGAAGAACCUAAUGAUAUUUAUGCGUCUGAUGCAGAAACACAAUCUGGUGAUGAACAUGAACCUGGUGACAAUAUGGACAGUUAUGUUCAUAAUAAUGCUCAACCUAGCAAUGAUGAGGAUGUGGAGAUUGAACCUACGGUUAAUCCUGAUAACCCACAACCUAAGAGAUAAGACAAGAAUGACUUCACUACUAGGAAGCAUGGUAAAGAAAGGGAGCCAUGGGUUCAGAGAUCUAUGCCCUUUCCUCCUAAGCCAUCCAAGAAAAAGGAUGAUGAGGAUUUUGAGCGCUUCAUUGAGAUGAUAAGACCCAUCUUUCUGCAAAUGCGGUUAACUGAUAUGCUCAAGAUGUCUCCGUAUGCUAAGUACAUGAAAGAUAUUGUGACUAAUAAACAGAAGAUACCAGAUCUUGAGAUCUCCACCAUGCUUGCCAAUUACACUUUCAAAGGUGGAACUCCUAAGAAACUUGGUGACCCCGGAGUGCCCACUAUACCUUGCUCCAUUAAAGGAAACUACGUAAGAACUGCCUUAUGUGACAUUGGAGCUGGUGUUAGUGUUAUGCCGCUCUCUCUUUGUCGUAGACUUGAAUUGGAUAAGUUGACACCCACUGAAAUUUCUCUGCAGAUGGCCGACAAAUCAACUGCUUUCCCUAUCGGCAUUUGCGAGGAUGUGCCUGUUGUGGUUGCUAAUACCACUAUCUUAACAGACUUUGUUAUCUUGGAUAUUCCCGAGGACGAUACCAUGGCUGUCAUCCUCGGAAGACCCUUUUUAAACACGGCAGGGGCUGUUAUAGAUUGCAACAAAGGCAAUGUCACUUUCCAUGUCAACGGUAAUGAGCACACAGUGCACUUUCCAAGAAACGGUAUCAAGUACAUUGCAUCAAUGCUAUCGAAAAGACUUCAUCGAUUCUUAUUGGGAGCUUUGAAUGCCCUAUUCCUCAUGUCAAGAUGAAGUAUGAUUUCCUUGUUGGGGAGAUACAUAUCCCCAUUGAGAUGACUUAGUGGCUAUCAGAAAAUUCUCCAUUCUCUCUUGAGAUUCGACAAGGUUUUGUCAUGAGGACUUGAUCAACCCCAUUGACGGAUUUCUUUCGAUGACCAUGAAACGGAUGAAUCAAAGAGUCACAUAUCUCUGUUUUAAGCUUUCCUUUUCUUUUGCUUAGAAAAAAAAUGGUAGAAUUAGUUUAGUUUUUCCUGUUUUCUGUUUUAGCGUCCCGGAGAAAAAUACCUCGAAAAUAAAAGUUCUCCGAUGGUCCUAAAAAUUUAGUAUGGUUUUUUCUGGAAUUUUUGAAAACUACUGGGCCUGAGAGCUGGCCUAGGGGCCAGACCAGUGGGCCACAAGCCUUGCCACCGCCACCCACCCCCCUGGUGGCGGAGUGAAAGUUUGUGGGGCCCACAGGGACCCCCUCCACUCAUUCCAGCUCCCAGCCUCUUCUUCCACCUCCAGAAAAAAUUGUUUUGCAGCUCAAACCCGUGUUCUUGCUCAUCUGGCUGUGAUUUUCGAUCUCCUUGCUCAAAGCACCAUUCUCCGAACCGUUUUGGGGAAAUCAUUCCUUGGUAAGUGACUCCUACAUUGGUCCAAUUAGUUUUUGCUCUAGUGCUUUAUCCUUCGCGUAUUCUUGCUACCUUGGUGACCCUGUUCUUGAGCUAGAAAUGUUGAUUUUAGCUGGUUCCAAGUAGUUUUAGCGCUUGAUAUGGUCUCUAGGCACUAGUAGGAGUAGUUGCUAUAAGGUGUGGUGGGUCUUCAUUCACUUUUCCCUUUAACUUCAAAAAUUUCAGCAAAAGGAAAUUAUGUUCAGGAGGAAGUUUCAUGGUGGUUCCUCAAGUAAGAAGGGUCCCCGUCUUUCUUUUCGGGAGCCCGAACCUUUUCAACUAAGGGACGCACCGGUACAACCAUGUGAAUGGCCUUCUGAUGAGUUCAUGACCGAAGCAGGUAUCAAGGAUGAGUUCGAUACAUUUGUCCGCAAUGCCGGGUUAGAAGAUUUCCUCUCAGAUAAAUGUGAACAGUAUGCUAUGCUCACUGCCUCUUUCGUGCGUAGAUUUAAAUUUUUAGUUGGCCGUGACUCAUCCAUACUGUUUGAUCUGUAUGAUAAAUCCUAUACCGUGGAUUUGGAGGAUUUCAAUAGGAUUUGCAAGAUACCCGAUGGGGGUAGUAUUAAUGACCCUUCUAAGUCUUCGGUCAGAGACUUUGUCUCCAGUAUAACUGUUGGAGAAACCAGAGAUAUCACGCAAGCUACCAUAGGAACCAUCCAUUUCCCUGCCUUGCACUACCUUGCCCUCUUCAUAGGUAGGUGCUUUAACGGCAAGGGUGCACAUUGUCACCUAUGCGCUUCUCACCUUAGUAUCCUUAAGAGCGCAGUAACAGGUGACGGGAGCUUCAAUAUGGGAGCUAUAAUAGCAAGGAGGCUGAAUAAAAUGCUAGUGAGGGGGAUUUCUUUGGUGGAGUUUAUGCUACACGCUUAGCAAAUUUUCUUGGAGUAUCCAUCCAUCCAGAAGACCCUCCUCUCUGUACCACCUACCUUGAUCGUGUCGCUCUAACACGCUACCAGUUCCUUGAGAGUGAUCAUGGAUCCCUCCUAUACCGCUUGAUAUUUAACCGGCAGCGUGUUUUCCAUAUUACCCUUCCUGCUCCUGCUUUCUUUGACUUUCAGGUAAAACGAAGAUACUACAUAACCAUAGGAGAGGCAGCGGAGUAUGAGAGGGAUGCGACUGCUGCUCGACUUCGUGAGGCAGCUAUUCAGGCAGUGGCUGCAGCACUCCCGUAUAACACCCAUUAUGACUUUGGGUUUCGCCAGGACCAUCCAUGGGAGUAGACCAAGCUAGGCCAAAAGCCUAAGCUUGGGGGAGUACGUGUUCUCACCGACUUUACAUUCAUGCUUAUGCUUUCCCUUUGUUAGCCGGUGUUUACACUUUGCCACUGUAUUAUCCAUGCUAGUUUAUUUUUGUUUUCUUGUUUUCUUGUUUUGUGUCCUUUUGAGAAAACCCAAAAAAAUAUUUUUCUUUCUUCUUUUGCUUGUUGGGAGCUUUCCCGUGUAAAUACCUUUCUUUUUCUUUGUGUCAAGGUAGAAGAUAUUGGUUACAAUGUUUAUUGGUUCUUGCAUGCUUACCUGUUUAGCUUUCAAAGAGCCAUAUUACUUUGUCUUCUCCUUUGUGUUUGCCCGCAGAUUCAGCUUAGUCCAUAGCGCUUAUUAUUGUUCACAUCGUUCGAUCGUGCAAGUGAAAGUCAAUAAUGAUGAUAUAUGAUGAAGUGACUCGGACUGAAAAGCUGGUAUGAACUCUAUCUAUUUUGUUUUUGUAAAUAUGACUAGCUUGUCGACCCAGAUUUAGCUUUGUUCUGAGGGAACCAUGUUUGCAAUGACAACUUAGAGAUCAUAGUUUCUGAUGCCAUGCUUAUUUAGCUGAGAGCUUAUAAUGGUUUGUCUUGAAUGCCAAGAUAGAUUUUGAGAUGACUAUGAUGUAGUAUGAUAGGAUGGUAUUCUCCUUUGAAUGUUUCAAGUGGCUUGACUUGGCGCAUGUUCAUGCAUGUAGUUGAAACAAAAUCAACAUAGCCUCUAUGAUGUUUGUGUUCAUGGUGAUAUAUAUCAUGUUCACGCUUGCAUUCAAUGUUAGUCUAACUCAUUGCAUCUUGAUGACUAUUGUCGCUCUCUAGUUGGUCGCUUCCCAGUCUGUUGCUAGCCUUCACUUGUAUUAAGCGGAAUACUGCUUGUGCGUCCACUCCCAUACAUAAACCCAAAAGUUUUUCCAUGAGAGUCCACCAUACCUACCUAUUUGCGGUAUCUACCUGUCAUUCCAAGUAAAUUUGCCCAGUUCCAUGCUUAAAUCGAAAACAUAACUGUAAAACAAGACUCCCCCCGAAUUGAUGUUAGUAUGGACGGUACCCGAGGAUUCGACUAGCCGUGGAGUGUGAUUGAUUGGUGGUGGGGUAGUUAAAACUUUACUUUUCUGUUUGGGAACCGCCUAUAGCAUGAGUAGCAUGGAAGAUAUUGAGAACUCUUGGUCAUUGCGUUGACAAUGAAAGCACGCCACCCAAAAUUAUUAUCUCUGUUUUCAAAGCUUGAGCUCUGGCACCUCUGCAAAUCAAUGCUUCCCUCUGCGAAGGGCAUGUCUAUUUAUUUUCUUGUUGAGUCAUCCUCCUCUUUUAUAAGAACCAAUUAGAGAGCACCUUUGUCAUUUUUAUGCUUUGCUUUUGAUUGAUAUUGAGUAUGACUAUGACUGGAUCUUAGUUGCUAUGAAUUACAAUGUUUAGUCAGCCCUUGAUCUUUGAAAGUGCUCUGCAUUUAUGUUUUGCGGUCUCAGAAAGAGCUAGCGAGAUACCACCUAUUCAUAUUGCUUCAUGCUUGUUUUGAUUGAAGUGUUGGUAUUUGAAACUCAUUAUUAUUUGCUUGUUAGCUGAUUAUGCCAUUGAUAUUAGUUUACCGUGAGACCUUUGUGUCAUUUUUUUAUGUGGUUAACUUGUGAUCUUGCUGAAAUUCUGGUUAUGAGUUAGACAUAGUUGCAACAACAAGAUCAAACAGAGUUUGUCAAAGUUUUUCUUUCACUCUCAGUUUGUCAACUGAGUUGCUUGAGGACAAGCAAGGUUUUAAGCUUGGGGGAGUUUAUACGUCUCCAUCGUAUCUACUUUUCCAAACUCUUUUGCCCUUGUUUUGGACUCUGAUUUGCAUGAUUUGAAUGGAACUAACCUAGACUGACGCUGUUUUCAGCAGAAUUGCCUUGGUGUUAUUUUUGUGCAGAAAUCAAUGUUCUCCAAACGUCCUGAAAAUUUAUGGAGAUCAUUUUUGGAAAAUAUGAAAAAUAUCUGCGCCAAGUUCCACCUCAGGGGAUGGGCCAGUGGGCCACAAGCCCUGGCUCCGCCACCCCCUGGUGGCGGUGGGCAGGCUUGUGGGGCCCACACAGCUCUGUCGCCCCCAAUCUCAGGUCUAUAAGUUCCCUUUCGUCCCAGAAAAAAUAAAAAAGAGAAGUUUUCGUCGCGUUUGCGAUACGGAGGCGCCGCCACAACCUGUUCUUCAUCUGGAGGGCAGAUCUGGAGUCCGUCUCUGGCUCCGGAGAGGGGAAAUCGUCGCCAUCGUCAUCAUCAACCUUCUUCCCUCUCCAAUUCCAUGAAGCUCUUCGUCGUUCGUGAGUUAUCUAUUCGUAGGCUCGCUGGGCGGUGAUGAGUAGGAUGAGAUCUAUCAUGUAAUCGAGUUAGUUUUGAUGGGGAUUGAUCCCUAGUAUCCACUAUGUUCUGAGAUUGAUGUUGCUACUACUUUUCCAUGCUUAAUGCUUGUCACUAGGGCCCGAGUGCCAUGAUUUCAGAUCUGAAAUUAUUAUGUUGUCACCAAUAUAUGUGUGUUUUAGAUCCGAUCUUGCAAGUUGUAGUUACCUACUAUGUGUUAUGAUCCGGUAACCCCGGAGUGACAAUAACCGGAACCACUCCCGGUGAUGACCAUAGUUUGAGGAGUUCAUGUGUUCAGCAAGUGCUAAUGCGUUGGUCCGGUUCUUUAUUAAAAGGAGAACCUUAAUAUCCCGUAGUUUCCUUUUGGACCCCGCUGCCACGGGAGGCAUGGACAAUAGAUGUCAUGCAAGUUCUUUUCCCUAAGCACGUAUGACGACACACGGAAUGCAUGCCUACAUCACAUUGACGAACGGGAGCUAGUCGCAUAUCUCUCCAUGUUAUAACUGUAGCAUGAUGAAUAUCAUCCAAACAAAUCACCGACCCAUUGCCUACGAGGUUGUUCUACUGCUGAUGUUACUUGUUUUGCUCUUCUGCUGUUACUACUGUUGCUGCUGUUGUUACUUGUUUUGCUCUGCUGCUGUUACUACUGUUGCUGAUGUUGUUACUUGUCUUGCUCUGCAGCUGUUACUACUGUUGCUACUGCUGUUACUUGUCUUGCUCUGCUGCUACUGUUGCUACUACUGUCGCUUGCUACUUUUGCUAGUUGCUACUGUUGUUCCUUGCCAUUGCUAUUACUCGUUACACUGCUGCUACCUGCUACAAUACUUUUUCGCUCGGCGUUGACGGGAACAGACAACUUCCGUCAACGGGCAACUUGGCGCCAUUGAUAAGACAGUUAGGAAUAGUCUGCCGUCAACAGAUCGUUUCUGACACCGUUGUUAUCAUACUACUUUGCUGUUACCGCUUUGCUUGCAGAUACUAAUCUUUCAGGUGUGGUUGAAUCUGACACAUUCAGCUGCUAAUACUCGAGAGUAUUCUCUCACCUCCUGUUUGGCGAUCAACAAAUUUUGGUCGAAUACUCUACCCUCAAAAACUGCUACGAUCCCACGCGCUGGUGGGCCGUCAACAACAUUAUUCUAGUUUCGAUUGCCGGAGAGUGCUAGCAUCAUUCUUCUGGUGCCAUUGCAAGGGGAAGCACAGCUGACAUCACUCUUCACCGUUCGUGAGUAAUCUCAUCGUAGGCUUGCUGGACGGUGAUGAGUUCGAUGAGAUCUAUCAUGUAAUCGAGAUAGUUUUGACGGGGAUUGAUCCCUAGUAUCCACUAUGUUCUGAGAUUGAUGUUGCUACUACUUUGCCAUGCUUAAUGCUUGUCACUAGGGCCCGAGUGCCAUGAUUUCAGAUCUGAACAUAUUAUGUUGUCGCCAAUAUAUGUGUGUUUUAGAUCCUAUCUUGCAAGUUGUAGUCACCUACUAUGUGUUAUGACCCGGCAACCCCGGAGUGACAAUAUCCGGAACCACUCCCGGAGAUGACCAUGGUAUGAGGAGUUCAUGUAUUCACCACGUGUUAAUGUGUUGCCCCGGUUCUUUAUUAAAAGGAGAACCUUAAUAUCCCGUAGUUUCCAUUAGGACCCCACUGCCACGGGAGGGAUGGACAAUAGAUGUCAUGCAAGUUCUUUUCCCUAAGCAUGUAUGACUACAUACGGAAUACAUGCCUACAUUAGAUUGACGAACGGGAGCUAGUUACAUAUAUCUCCGUGUUAUAGCUGUUACAUGAUGAAUCACAUCCGGCAUACUCAUCCAUCACCGAUCCACUGGCUACGAGUCUUUUACUACUGGUCCUUUGUAACGACCAAGAUGCGGUCCUUUCCGAUCUGGGGAUCGAGGCCCCGAAUUGGAAAGGAGCGCAUCUAAGCGUCUCGCAAACAGGUAACACAGCACAUACAUAAUAAUAAAAGAUAGACAAUCAGGGGUUCAAUUGCCUUCUCAUAAAUAUCUCAGGGUACAUCACGCAUACAACCAAAGUAGUUCCGCUACGGACUACAAAACAGAGAAAAGGCUAUGCUACCCUGCCUGCUAGCACACGAUCACGACCACGCCUCAAUCUUCUGGAUAGUUCACGCACAGGCGGUCGGUCUCCUCGUCGUACUGCCACGCCAGCUGCGUGCCGUCGGGAUCAUCUGUCUGUGGGGUACCUCAACCUGCUGGUGUUGUGAAGGAAUCUGUGAGCCACGGGGGACUCAGCAAUCUAUGACCUCGGUGCCAGAACUAGUCAAGUUAUUAGGUUGGAUAGGGUGGAGUGUUUAAGGUUGCAGCAUCCUAAGCUUGAUAUGGUGGCUAACUUACGUAGAACAUUUAGGAAGGUGGACUAUACUAGCUGUCGAGAAUACUUGAUCACUAAGUGAUCCUGAACACCUACCUACGUCAUUCAUAACCCCACCGUAUUCCCGAUCGAAGAGAGAUCUUCGAGGGGAUAGUCACGGUUACGCACAGAGUUGGCAAUUUUAUUAGCUUAUGUUUAAGUUAUCUAUUACCGGAUGUUAACAAAAUAUUCCAAGUUGCCACAUAACCGCGGGCACGGCUUUCCGAAAGAUUAAACCCUGCAGGGGUGCUCCAACUAGUCCAUCACAAACGUACAGGGGCCGCAAAGUAAUCCUCUAUCACGAAUCUCGUGAUCUCGUCGGAUUCCUUAGAGGAAAACCUCAACUCUGGGGAGAACCAAAGCUUCACUGGGAUUCCUAUACGCAAGAUAUAUCGCUAAGGUAAGACAAGACUAGCAGGACCUCCCGACGUGUCGACGACCCUGAUAAGAGCCGUGUAUCUCAGUCUCGGGACACGUCGGAUGGGCUACGCGCACGAUGGCCUGAUAGAAAUCACUCAAGUUGCCCUGAGUUGGCCCCGAGCAGUGCCCGGUUUGGACCAACACUCAUGAGGAGCACUGGCCCGGGUUGUUGAUUAAGUUCCUCGGGGUAGCUAUUCCCUAUGCAGAUUAUUAUUACGUGAUUAGCAAAUGAAUACCAAUGUUGGGUCCUGUCGGACAAGCCUUAACACUACGCAAUUUAUCGAGAGAGUCCCCAUAACAACCCCGAACAUGUUAGGAGCGAUCAAUAUGGAAUCAAACACCGGUAGCCGGUAACUAUGGCGGCAGUAAUGGAACAAAGCACCCGGCAAAAGGCUAGGCCUUCCGUUAUUUACCAAGUAUAUAGGUGCAUUAAUUAAAUAACAGAAUUUAGAUAAUGAUAUCAAGCUCAUGUUAUCACACGAGUCAAAGCACCUGCAUCUAGCAACGCUAACAUUAGUAGCUGAGCAAAGCCUACUUAGCCAUUCAAGUUUGCUAGGAAGGGAUCAGUGUUUGGGUUCAUGGCAUAUCAAGAGGCAAAUAUUUCAGUGGUAGGCAGCGAGCAUAUGACAAAGGAAACAUAAUCUAGCAUAACAAGUCUAGAGAUGGGAUCAAGGUCAUAUCAUCUUGUCUGUGAUAUCCUCAGCUUGGAAUGGUUCUUGAUCGUCCUGCACGUACUCUCCUGACUCCAUGUAUUCGUUCUACGAUCCCGGUGCUACCCAACAUAAGAAUAACAUCCAAUUAACAACAGCACCUCAAGAUGCAACAAGCACAUGAUGCAUGAGAUGAAAAUGAGCAUGCGUCACUAUUUCUAUCACUAACAUAAGCAUAAGGAGUGAAUACAUGUUCCCGGAAAGAACUAUAGCCUAAGCUAUUUUGACAUGCAUGAGAUUGACAUGAUCAGAUGCGCCUCGUGAAAACGAUGCAAAACCAUAUAAAGAACAUUACAAUCGGAGCUACGGAUCAACGGGAAUCAACAAAACGAGAUAUGAAGCCCUACGUGUAAAAAUCAUCACCACACACUCAAAUGGCACAAAUCUGGUAUUCCCAGGUUGCCAAGACAUAAAACAAACCAACAUGAAUGGGUUGGAGCAAAGAAGAACACCACAACAUCAACUAAGCACUCACAAACAUCAAAAUGUCAAAACUACACAAUCUGCCAUAAAACUGCAUCAUAGCACUUUGUGAGCUACAUGCAAAGCACCUACAGCCACCCAACUAUGACAAAUAAUAUAUGUGGCUGUAGCUAGCCAAGAAUACUACAAGAACAAGCAAGAAUCACACAAAAAUGAAUUAAACACAGAAAGUUACAAGGCUGCAAACUUGCCCAAAAACAUCAGUUUUCAGGGACUUGGUGAAAAUUCCAGAUUCUCACUUUCUGUCUAUGCUCUGAAGCAUUUUUACAGCAGCCAAGACAAUAGCUACAGGACUCCAAAUGACAUGAAAUUUUACAGGGAGCUAUACAAACAUAUCAGGUCCAACUUUCUAGUUGAAAGCUAAGGCUAGAUCACAACACAAUGACCAGCACAACCUCAUCUACAGGAGAAGAAAAUAUAAACAGAUUCUCAGACUUGGUGAAAAUUCCAGAUUUUCACUAAUCUGGAAUUUCAGCCACAUGCCUACUUUGAGUGGGCAUAACUUGCACAUAUGGAAUCCUAAUCAUGACAUGAAACCAACAAGAGGUAGAGGGGGUCACCCUCUACUAGCACAACCAAGAAACAAUCACAAAGGCCCACCACAACUCAUGGAACCAAGCUCCAAACAUAGAAGAACAUGAAAAUAUGUCAUCUCCAGAAAAUGUUCCAAUGGCAAAACUGAGUUCACCAAUGGGUUCCUUGGGAUAUUCUACCCCAAAACAUAUAAAAGAUGCAUACACUUGUUUAGAGCAAGUGGCCACAAACUAGGAAGGAAAACUACAUAGAUUCCUACUAGUUAAAUAGUGCAACAUAUCAUGUGCACACACUAGAUCAACUACCACAUAGCUAUGCUCAUGUGCACAAAGACAAUAUGGACAUGAGGGUUUUGACCCCAUGUAUGUGUCAUGCACAUCAACACCACAAGCUCAUCUACCAAGUUUAUCACACACGCACAAGACAUCAUGCCCUUUCACAUAUGGUCAUGUGGAGGUGCAUAGUGACUUGCAAAGGGGCUGAUCCACACACAUACAUCUACUCCACUACACCUCUCUUAUGCUAGCUUUACCACCACUCACAUAUACAUGCACAAGCUAUACCACACAAGAGAUCCACAAGGUAUGUGGGGGAAACCACACACACUACACACCACACUAGCAUGCACUAGUGCAUCAUCAUCACCAUGAGGGAGAGCUGCUCACACACAUGCAGUACACUACGCUUAGUAAAACACCCACAAGUUAAGCACCUCACAAACAUCAUAUAGGGUAGAAGUUCCACACAUGCACUACACUACCUUGCAAAUACAUACACACUCACAUAUACACAUGCUAGCAAAAAUACUUAGCUAGCCAUACUAGCAACUCCUGCUGUUGGAGGUAGCAAGGGAAAAAAACUCACAAGAUAGAUCUUGUUGGAAAUAUGCCCUAGAGGCAAUAAUAAAUUAGUUAUUAUUAUAUUUCUUAGUUCAUGAUAAUCGUUUAUUAUCCAUGCUAUAAUUGUAUUGAUUGGAAACACAAUACUUGUGUGGAUACAUAGACAAAACACUGUCCCUAGUAAGCCUCUAGUUGACUAGCUCGUUGAUCAAAGAUGGUCAAGGUUUCCUGGCCAUAGGCAAGUGUUGUCACUUGAUAACGGGAUCACAUCAUUAGGAGAAUCAUGUGAUGGACUAGACCCAAACUAAAUAGACGUAGCAUGUUGAUCGUGUCAUUUUGUUGCUACUGUUUUCUGCGUGUCAAGUAUUUAUUCCUAUGACCAUGAGAUCAUAUAACUCACUGACACCGGAGGAAUGCUUUGUGUGUAUCAAACGUCGCAACGUAACUGGGUGACUAUAAAGAUGCUCUACAGGUAUCUCCGAAGGUGUUAGUUGAGUUAGUAUGGAUCAAGACUGGGAUUUGUCACUCCGUGUGACGGAGAGGUAUCUCGGGGCCCACUCGGUAAUACAACAUCACACACAAGCCUUGCAAGCAAUGUAACUUAGUGUAAGUUGCGGGAUCUUGUAUUACGGAACGAGUAAAGAGACUUGCCGGUAAACGAGAUUGAAAUAGGUAUGCGGAUACUAACGAUCGAAUCUCGGGCAAGUAACAUACCGAAGGACAAAGGGAAUGACNNNNNNNNNNNNNNNNNNNNNNNNNNNNNNNNNNNNNNNNNNNNNNNNNNNNNNNNNNNNNNNNNNNNNNNNNNNNNNNNNNNNNNNNNNNNNNNNNNNNGGCCAUAGGCAAGUGUUGUCACUUGAUAACGGGAUCACAUCAUUAGGAGAAUCAUGUGAUGGACUAGACCCAAACUAUUAGACGUAGCAUGUUGAUCGUGUCAUUUUGUUGCUACUGUUUUCUGCGUGUCAAGUAUUUAUUCCUAUGACCAUGAGAUCAUAUAACUCACUGACACCGGAGGAAUACUUUGUGUGUAUCAAACGUUGCAACGUAACUGGGUGACUAUAAAGAUGCUCUACAGGUAUCUCCGAAGGUGUUAGUUGAGUUAGUAUGGAUCAAGACUGGGAUUUGUCACUCCGUGUGACGGAGAGGUAUCUCGGGGCCCACUCGGUAAUACAACAUCACACACAAGCCUUGCAAGCAAUGUAACUUAGUGUAAGUUGCGGGAUCUUGUAUUACGGAACGAGUAAAGAGACUUGCCGGUAAACGAGAUUGAAAUAGGUAUGCGGAUACUAACGAUCGAAUCUCGGGCAAGUAACAUACCGAAGGACAAAGGGAAUGACAUACGGGAUUAUAUGAAUCCUUGGCACUGAGGUUCAAACGAUAAGAUCUUCGUAGAAUAUGUAGCAUCCAAUAUGGGCAUCCAGGUCCCGCUAUUGGAUAUUGACCGAGGAGUCUCUCGGGUCAUGUCUACAUAGUUCUCGAACCCGCAGGGUCUGCACACUUAAGGUUCGACGUUGUUUUAUGCGUAUUUGAGUUAUAUGGUUGGUUAACGAAUGUUGUUUGGAGUCCCGGAUGAGAUCACGGACGUCACGAGGGUUUCCGGAAUGGUCCGGAAACGAAGAUUGAUAUAUAGGAUGACCUCAUUUGGUUACCGGAAGGUUUCCGUGCAUUACCGGAAAAGUUUCGGGCUCAUUCGGUAGUGUACCGGGAGUGCCGGGAGGGGUGCCGGGGACCAUCGGGAGGGGUGUCACGCCCCAAGGGGUCUCAUGGGCUAUGGGAAGAGAUAAACCAGCCCCUAGUGGGCUGGAAUAAGUUCCCACUAAGGCCCAUAAGGUUUGAGAAGGAAAAAACACAAGGUGGAAAGAGUUUCCAAGUGGGAAGGUGGAAUCCUACUCCAAGUAGGAUUGGAGUAGGACUCCUCCACCUCCAAUUUCGGCCAAACCUUGAGGGUUUGAGGCUGCCUCUUCCCUCCCCCUCCCACCUAUAUAUACGGAGGUUUUAGGGCUGAUUUGAGACGACUUUCUCACGGCAGCCCGACCACAUACCUCCACGGUUUUACCUCUAGAUCGCGUUUCUGCGGAGCUCGGGCGGAGCCCUGCUGAGAUUAGAUCACCACCAACCUCCGGAGCGCCGUCACGCUGCCGGAGAACUCAUCUACCUCUCCGUCUCUCUUGCUGGAUCAAGAAGGCCGAGAUCAUCGUCGAGCUGUACGUGUGCGGAACGCGGAGGUGCCGUCCGUUCGGUACUAGAUCGUGGGACUGAUCGCGGGAUUGUUCGCGGGGCGGAUCGAGGGACGUGAGGACGUUCCACUACAUCAACCGCGUUCUCUAACGCUUCUGCUGUAUGGUCUACAAGGGUACGUAGAUCACACAUCCCCUCUCGUAGAUGGACAUCACCAUGAUAGGUCUUCGUGCGCGUAGGAAAAUUUUUGUUUCCCAUGCGACGUUCCCCAACAGUGGUAUCAGAGCUAGGUUCAUGCGUAGAUGUCUUCUCGAGUAGAACACAAAAGGUUUUGUGGACGGUGAUGUGCGUUUUGCUGCCCUCCUUAGUCUUUUCUUGAUUCCGCGGUAUUGUUGGAUUGAAGCGGCUUGGACCGACAUUACUCGUACGCUUACGAGAGACUGGUUUCAUCGUUACGAGUAACCCCCUUUGCUCAAAGAUGGCUGGCAAGUGACGGUUUCUCCAACUUUAGUUGAAUCGGAUUUGACCGAGGAGGUCCUUGGAUGAGGUUAAAUAGCAAUUCAUAUAUCUCCGUUGUGGUGUUUGCGUAAGUAAGAUGCGAUCCUACUAGAUACCCUUGGUCACCACGUAAAACAUGCAACAACAAAAUUAGAGGACGUCUAACUUGUUUUUGCAGGGUAUGAUUGUGAUGUGAUAUGGCCAAUGAUGUGAUGUGAUAUAUUGGAUGUAUGAGAUGAUCAUGUUGUAAUAGAAAUAUCGACUUGCACGUCGAUGGUACGGCAACCGGCAGGAGCCAUAGGGUUGUCUUUAUACUAACAUAUGUGCUUGCAGAUGCGUUUACUAUUUUGCUAGGAUGUAGCUUUAGUAGUAAUAGCAUAAGUAGCACGACAACCCCGAUGGCAACACGUUGAUGGAUGAUCAUGGUGUGGCGCCGGUGACAAGAAAGGUCGUGCCGGUGCUUUGGUGAUGGAGAUCAAGAAGCACGUGAUGAUGGCCAUAUCAUGUCACUUGUGAAUUGCAUGUGAUGUUAAUCCUUUUAUGCACCUUAUUUUGCUUAGAACGACGGUAGCAUUAUGAGGUGAUCUCUCACUAAAAUUUCAAGACGAAAUUGUGUUCUCCCCGACUGUGCACCGUUGCGACAGUUCUUCGUUUCGAGACACCACGUGAUGAUCGGGUGUGAUAGACUCAACGUUCACAUACAACGGGUGCAAAACAGUUGCACACGCGGAACACUCGGGUUAAGCUUGACGAGCCUAGCAUGUGCAGACAUGGCCUCGGAACACAUGAGACCGAAAGGUCGAGCAUGAAUCGUAUAGUUGAUAUGAUUAGCAUAGGGAUGCUUACCACUGAAANNNNNNNNNNNNNNNNNNNNNNNNNNNNNNNNNNNNNNNNNNNNNNNNNNNNNNNNNNNNNNNNNNNNNNNNNNNNNNNNNNNNNNNNNNNNNNNNNNNNCCAGAAGGUUUUGUUAAUCCUAAAGAUACUAGCAAGUAUGCAAGCUCCAGUGAUCCUUCAAUGGACUGGUGCAAGCAUCUCGGAGUUGGAAUAUACACUUUGAUGAGAUGAUCAAAGAUUUUGGGUUUGUACAAGGUUUAUGAGAAACUUGUAUUUCCAAAGAAGUGAGUGGGAGCACUAUAGAAUUUCUGAUAGGUAUAUGUGGUUGACAUAUUGUGGAUCAGAAGUAAUGUAGAAUUUCUGUAAAGCAUACAAGGUUGUUUGAAAGAAGUUUUCAAAGGAGUACCUGGAUUACGCUACUUGAACGUUGAGCAUCAAAGAUCUAUGGAGAUAGAUCGAAAGCGCUUAAUAGAAGUUUCAACAAGAUGCAUGCCUUGACAAGUUUUUGAAAGAGUUCAAAAUAGACCAGCAAAGAAGGAGUUCUUGGUUGCGUUGUGAGGUGUGAAUUUGAGUAAGACUCAAAACCCGACCACGGCAGAAUAAAGAGAAUAGACGAAGGUCGUCUUCUAUGCCUUAGCCGUAGAAUCUAAAGUAUGCCAUGCUGUGUACCGCACCUGAAGUGUGCCUUGACUCAAAGUAUGUUGAGAGGUACAGAGAGUGAUCCAUGAUUGAAUCACUAGCAGCGGUCGAAAUUUAUCCUUAGUAACUAAUGGACUAAGGAAUUUUUUCUCGAUCAUGGAGGUGGUUAAAGAGUUUGUCGUAAAGGGUUACGUCGAUGCAAGCUUUGACACUAAUCCGAAUAACUAUGAGUAGUGAAACGGAUUCAUAUAGUAGAGUAGAUAUUUGGAGCAUUUCCGAAUAGCACGUAGUAGCAGCAUCUAUAAGAUGACAUAAAGAUUCGUAAAGAACACACGGAUCUGAAAGUUUCAGAGCCGUUGACUAAAACCUCUCUCACGAGCAAGACGUGAUCAGACCUCAUAACUAUAUGGGUGUUGGAUUCGUUGGAAUCACAUGGUGAUGUGAACUAGAUUAUUGACUCUAGUGCAAGUGGGAGACUGUUGGAAAUAUGCCCUAGAGGCAAUAAUAAAUUAGUUAUUAUUAUAUUUCUUAGUUCAUGAUAAUCGUUUAUUAUCCAUGCUAUAAUUGUAUUGAUUGGAAACACAAUACUUGUGUGGAUACAUAGACAAAACACUGUCCCUAGUAAGCCUCUAGUUGACUAGCUCGUUGAUCAAAGAUGGUCAAGGUUUCCUGGCCAUAGGCAAGUGUUGUCACUUGAUAACGGGAUCACAUCAUUAGGAGAAUCAUGUGAUGGACUAGACCCAAACUAAUAGACGUAGCAUGUUGAUCGUGUCAUUUUGUUGCUACUGUUUUUCUGCGUGUCAAGUAUUUGUUCCUAUAACCAUGAGAUCAUAUAACUCACGGACACCGGAGGAAUGCUUUGUGUGUAUCAAACAUCGCAACAUAACUGGGUGACUAUAAAGAUGCUCUACAGGUAUUUCCGAAGGUGUUCGUUGAGUUAGUAUGGAUCGAGACUGGGAUUUGUCACUNNNNNNNNNNNNNNNNNNNNNNNNNNNNNNNNNNNNNNNNNNNNNNNNNNNNNNNNNNNNNNNNNNNNNNNNNNNNNNNNNNNNNNNNNNNNNNNNNNNNAGACGAAAUUGUGUUCUCCCCGACUGUGCACCGUUGCGACAGUUCUUCGUUUCGAGACACCACGUGAUGAUCGGGUGUGAUAGACUCAACGUUCACAUACAACGGGUGCAAAACAGUUGCACACGCGGAACACUCGGGUUAAGCUUGACGAGCCUAGCAUGUGCAGACAUGGCCUCGGAACACAUGAGACCGAAAGGUCGAGCAUGAAUCGUAUAGUUGAUAUGAUUAGCAUAGGGAUGCUUACCACUGAAACUAUUCUCGACUCACGUGAUGAUCGGACUUGAGAUAGCGGAUUUGGAUCAUGUACCACUCAAAUGACUAGAGAGAUGUACUUUUUGAGUGGGAGUUCUUAAGUAAUAUGAUUAAUUGAACUAAUUGUCAUGAACAUAGUCUAAUGGUCUUUGCGAAUUACGAUGUAGCUUGCGCUAUAGCUCUACUGUUUUUACAUGUUCCUAGAGAAAAUUUAGUUGAAAAUUGAUAGUAGCAACCUUUGCAGACUGAGUCUGUAAAACCGAGGAUUGUCCUCGUUGCUACGCAGAAGGCUUAUGUCCUUAAUGCACCACUCGAUGUGCUGCACCUCGAGCGUCGUCUGUGGAUGCUAUGAACAUCCGACAUACACGUUACUGAUGACUACACGAUAGUUCAGUGCAAGAUACUUGAUGGCUUAGAAGCAAGGCGCCGAAAACGUUGUAAAACGUCACGGAACAUAAGUGAUGUUCUAAAGAGAUGAAAUUGUGAUUUCACGCUUGUGCCCUUGUUGAGAGGUACGAGACCUCCGACGAGAUUCUUUGUCCACAAAGUAAAGGAGAAAGGCUCAAUCGUUGAGCGUGUGCUCAGAUUGUCUGAGUGCGACAAUCACUUGAAUCAAGUGGGAGUUAAUCUUCCAGAUGAGAUAGUGAUAGUUCUCCAAAGUCACUGCCACCAAGCUGUGAGAGCUUAGUGAUGAACUAUAACAUAUCAAGGAUAGAUACAAUGAUCCUUGAGCGAUUCGCGAUGUUUGACACUGCGAAAGUAGAAAUCAAGAAGGAGCGUCAAUAGUUGAUGGUUUGUAAAACCACUAAGUUUCGAGAAAGGCAAGGGCUAGAAGGGAUACUUCGUGAAACGGCAAAACAGUUGCUGCACUAAUGAAGAGACCCAAGAUUAAACCCAAACCCGAGACUAAGUGCUUCUGUAAUGAGGGGAACAGUCACUGAGGCGGAGCAACUCUAGAUACUUGGUAGAUAAGAAGGCUGGCAAAAGUCGAAAGAAGUGUAUUUGAUAUGCAUGAUGUUGAUGUGUACUUUACUAGUACUCCUAGUAGCAUGAGGGUAUUGGAUACCGGUUCGGUUGCUAAGUGAUUAGUAACACGAAAUGAAAGCUACGGCAUAAACGGAGACUAGCUAAAGGCGAGGUGACGAUACGUGUUGGAAGUGUUUCCAAGGUUGAUAUGAUCAAACGUCGCACGCUCCCUCUACCAUCCGGAUUGGUAUUAAACCUAAAUAAUUGUUAUUUGGUGCUUGCGUUAAGCAUGAACAUGAUUGGAUCGUGUUUAUUGCGAUACGAUUAUUCAUUUAAAGAGAAUAAUGGUUACUCUGUUUUCUUGAAUAAUCACCUUCAAUGGUUUAUUGAAUCUCAAUCGUAGUGUUACACAUGUUCAUGAUAAUGGUGCCAAAAGAUACAGUUGAUGACGAUAGUACCACUUACUUGUGGCAUUGCCGCUUGAGUCAUGUUAGUAUAAAUUGCAUGAAGAGGCUCCAUGCUGAUGGAUCUUUGUACUCACCUGAUUUCGAAUCACUAGUGACAUGCAAAUCAUACCACAUGAGCAAGGCCUUGUUUUCAUUGAGAUGAAAUAAGAUAGUAACUUGUUGGAAGUGAUACAUUUUGAUGUAUGCAGUCCAAUGGGUGCUGAGGCACGCAGUGGAUAUCAUUAUGUUCUUACUUCACUGACGAUUUGAGUAGAUACUAGAGUAUUUACUUAAUGAAUCACAAGUCUGAAAUAUUGAAAAGUUCAAUUCUGUUUCGGAGUGAAGUUCGUCGUAACAAGAGGAUAAACUGUCUACGAUAUGAUCAUAGAAAUGAAUAUCUGAGUUACGAGUUUUGGUACGCAGUUAAGACAAUGUGGAAAUUGUUUCGCAGUUCAUGCCACCUGGAACAUCAUAGUGUGAUGAUGUGUCUGAACGUCAUAGCCACGCACUAUUUGGUAUGGUGCAUACUAUGAUGUCUCUUAUCGAAUUACCAGUAUCGUUUAUGGGUUAUGCAUUAGAGACAACCGCACUCACUUUAAAUAGGGCACCGCGUAUUUCCGUUGAGAUGACACAGUAUAGACUGAGGUUUAGAGAAAUCUAAACUGUCGUUUCUUGAAAGUUUGGGGCUUCGACACUUAUGUGAAAAAGUUUCUGUCUGAUAAGCUCGAACCCAAAGCGGAUAAAUGCAUCUUCAUAGGAUAUCCAAAACAGUUGGGUACAUCUCCUAUCUCAGAUCCGAAAGCAAAGUGUUUGUUUCUAGAAACGGAUCCUUUCUCGAGGAAAGGUUUCUCUCGAAAGAAUUGAGUGGGAGGGUAGUAGAACUUGAUGAGGUUAUUGAACCAUCACUUCAACCAGUGUGUAGCAGGGCGUAGGAAGUUGUUCAUGUGGCGCCUACACCAAUUGAAGUGGAAGCUGAUGAUGGUGAUCAUUGAGCUUCGAAUCAAGUUACUACAAACCUCGUAGGUCGACAAGGUCGCGUACUUCUGCAGAGUAGUACGGUAACCCUGUCUUGGAGGUCAUGUUGUUGAGCAACAGUGAACCUACGAGUUAUGGAGAAAGCGAUGGUGGGCCCAGAUUCCGACAAAUGGCUAGAAGCCAUGAAAUCCGAGAGAGGAUCCAUGUAUGAAAACAGAGUGUAGACUUUGGAAGAACUACUUGACGGUCAUAAGACUAUUGAGUAGAGAUGGAUCUUUAAAAGGAAGACAGACGAUGAUGGUGAUUAGUCACUAUUAAGAAAAGCUCGACUUGUCGCAAAGAUGUUUCCGACAAGAUCAAACAAUUGACUAUGAUGAGACUUUCUCACUCGUAGCGAUGCUAAAAGUCUGUUAGAAUUAUGUUAGUAGUUGCUGCAUUAUUUAUGAAAUAUUGCACGUAGGAUGUCAAAACAUUGUUUCCUCGACGGUUUCCUUGAGCAAACAUUGUAUAUGAUACAACCAGGAGGUUUUGUCGAUCCUAAGGAUACUAACAAGUAUGCAAACUCCAGCAAUCCUUCAAUGGACUGGUGCAAGCAUCUCGGAGUUGGAAUAUACACUUUGAUGAGAUGAUCAAGGAUUUUGGGUUUGUACAAAGUUUAUGAGAAACUUGUAUUUCCAAAGAAGUGAGUGGGAGCACUAUAGAAUUUCUGAUAAGUAUAUGUGGUUGACAUAUUGUGGAUCAGAAGUAAUGUAGAAUUUCUGUAAAGCAUACAAGGUUGUUUGAAAGGAGUUUUUCAAAGGAAUACCUGGAUUGAGCUACUUGAACGUUGAGCAUCAAAGAUCUAUGGAGAUAGAUCGAAAGCGCUUAAUGGAAGUUUCAACAAGAUACAUGCCAUGACAAGUUUUUGAAAGAGUUCAAAAUAGACCAGCAAAGAAAGAGUUCUUGGUUGCGUUGUGAGGUGUGAAUUUGAGUAAGACUCAAAACCCGACCACGGCAGAAUAAAAGAGAAUAGACGAAGGUCGUCUUCUAUGCCUUAGCCGUAGAAUCUAAAGUAUGCCAUGCUGUGUACCGCACCUGAAGUGUGCCUUGACUCAAAGUAUGUUGAGAGGUACAGAGAGUGAUCCAUGAUUGAAUCACUAGCAGCGGUCGAAAUUUAUCCUUAGUAACUAAUGGACUAAGGAAUUUUUUCUCGAUCAUGGAGGUGGUUAAAGAGUUUGUCGUAAAGGGUUACGUCGAUGCAAGCUUUGACACUAAUCCGAAUAACUAUGAGUAGUGAAACGGAUUCAUAUAGUAGAGUAGAUAUUUGGAGCAUUUCCGAAUAGCACGUAGUAGCAGCAUCUAUAAGAUGACAUAAAGAUUCGUAAAGAACACACGGAUCUGAAAGUUUCAGAGCCGUUGACUAAAACCUCUCUCACGAGCAAGACGUGAUCAGACCUCAUAACUAUAUGGGUGUUGGAUUCGUUGGAAUCACAUGGUGAUGUGAACUAGAUUAUUGACUCUAGUGCAAGUGGGAGACUGUUGGAAAUAUGCCCUAGAGGCAAUAAUAAAUUAGUUAUUAUUAUAUUUCUUAGUUCAUGAUAAUCGUUUAUUAUCCAUGCUAUAAUUGUAUUGAUUGGAAAAACAAUACUUGUGUGGAUACAUAGACAAAACACUGUCCCUAGUAAGCCUCUAGUUGACUAGCUCGUUGAUCAAAGAUGGUCAAGGUUUCCUGGCCAUAGGCAAGUGUUGUCACUUGAUAACGGGAUCACAUCAUUAGGAGAAUCAUGUGAUGGACUAGACCCAAACUAUUAGACGUAGCAUGUUGAUCGUGUCAUUUUGUUGCUACUGUUUUCUGCGUGUCAAGUAUUUAUUCCUAUGACCAUGAGAUCAUAUAACUCACUGACACCGGAGGAAUACUUUGUGUGUAUCAAACGUUGCAACGUAACUGGGUGACUAUAAAGAUGCUCUACAGGUAUCUCCGAAGGUGUUAGUUGAGUUAGUAUGGAUCAAGACUGGGAUUUGUCACUCCGUGUGACGGAGAGGUAUCUCGGGGCCCACUCGGUAAUACAACAUCACACACAAGCCUUGCAAGCAAUGUAACUUAAUGUAAGUUGCGGGAUCUUGUAUUACGGAACGAGUAAAGAGACUUGCCGGUAAACGAGAUUGAAAUAGGUAUGCGGAUACUAACGAUCGAAUCUCGGGCAAGUAACAUACCGAAGGACAAAGGGAAUGACAUACGGGAUUAUAUGAAUCCUUGGCACUGAGGUUCAAACGAUAAGAUCUUCGUAGAAUAUGUAGGAUCCAAUAUGGGCAUCCAGGUCCCGCUAUUGGAUAUUGACCGAGGAGUCUCUCGGGUCAUGUCUACAUAGUUCUCGAACCCGCAGGGUCUGCACACUUAAGGUUCGACGUUGUUUUAUGCGUAUUUGAGUUAUAUGGUUGGUUAACGAAUGUUGUUUGGAGUCCCGGAUGAGAUCACGGACGUCACGAGGGUUUCCGGAAUGGUCCGGAAACGAAGAUUGAUAUAUAGGAUGACCUCAUUUGGUUACCGGAAGGUUUCCGUGCAUUACCGGAAAAGUUUCGGGCUCAUUGGUAGUGUACCGGGAGUGCCGGGAGGGGUGCCGGGGACCAUCGGGAGGGGUGUCACGCCCCAAGGGGUCUCAUGGGCUAUGGGAAGAGAUAAACCAGCCCCUAGUGGGCUGGAAUAAGUUCCCACUAAGGCCCAUAAGGUUUGAGAAGGAAAAAACACAAGGUGGAAAGAGUUUCCAAGUGGGAAGGUGGAAUCCUACUCCAAGUAGGAUUGGAGUAGGACUCCUCCACCUCCAAUUUCGGCCAAACCUUUAGGUUUUGAGGCUGACUCCUCCCCUCCCUCCCACCUAUAUAUACGGAGGUUUUAGGGCUGAUUUGAGACGACUUUCUCACGGCUGCCCGACCACAUACCUCCAUGGUUUUUCCUCUAGAUCGCGUUUCUGCGGAGCUCGGGCGGAGCCCUGCUGAGACAAGAUCAUCACCAACCUCCGGAGCGCCGUCACGCUGCCGGAGAACUCUUCUACCUCUCCGUCUCUCUUGCUGGAUCAAGAAGGCCGAGAUCAUCGUCGAGCUGUACGUGUGCUGAACGCGGAGGUGCCGUCCGUUCGGUACUAGAUCGUGGGACUGAUCGCGGGAUUGUUCGCGGGGCGGAUCGAGGGACGUGAGGACGUUCCACUACAUCAACCGCGUUCACUAACGCUUCUGCUGUACGAUCUACAAGGGUACGUAGAUCACUCAUCCCCUCUCGUAGAUGGACAUCACCAUGAUAGGUCUUCGUGCGCGUAGGAAAUUUUUUGUUUCCCAUGCGACGUUCCCCAACAGUGGCAUCAUGAGCUAGGUUCAUGCGUAGAUGUCUUCUCGAGUAGAACACAAAAGUUUUUGUGGGCGGUGAUGUGCGUUUUGCUGCCCUCCUUAGUCUUUUCUUGAUUCCGCGGUAUUGUUGGAUUGAAUCGGCUUGGACCGACAUUACUCGUACGCUUACGAGAGACUGGUUUCAUCGUUACGAGUAACCCCCUUUGCUCAAAGAUGACUGGCAAGUGACGGUUUCUCCAACUUUAGUUGAAUCGGAUUUGACCGAGGAGGUCCUUGGAUGAGGUUAAAUAGCAACUCAUAUAUCUCCGUUGUGGUGUUUGCGUAAGUAAGAUGCGAUCCUACUAGAUACCCUUGGUCACCACGUAAAACAUGCAACAACAAAAUUAGAGGACGUCUAACUUGUUUUUGCAGGGUAUGAUUGUGAUGUGAUAUGGCCAAUGAUGUGAUGUGAUAUAUUGGAUGUAUGAGAUGAUCAUGUUGUAAUAGAAAUAUCGACUUGCACGUCGAUGGUACGGCAACCGGCAGGAGCCAUAGGGUUGUCUUUAUACUAACAUAUGUGCUUGCAGAUGCGUUUACUAUUUUGCUAGGAUGUAGCUUUAGUAGUAAUAGCAUAAGUAGCACGACAACCCCGAUGGCAACACGUUGAUGGAUGAUCAUGGUGUGGCGCCGGUGACAAGAAGAUCGUGCCGGUGCUUUGGUGAUGGAGAUCAAGAAGCACGUGAUGAUGGCCAUAUCAUGUCACUUAUGAAUUGCAUGUGAUGUUAAUCCUUUUAUGCACCUUAUUUUGCUUAGAACGACGGUAGCAUUAUGAGGUGAUCUCUCACUGAAAUUUCAAGACGAAAUUGUGUUCUCCCCGACUGUGCACCGUUGCGAUAGUUCUUCGUUUCGAGACACCACGUGAUGAUCGGGUGUGAUAGACUCAACGUUCACAUACAACGGGUGCAAAACAGUUGCACACGCGGAACACUCGGGUUAAGCUUGACGAGCCUAGCAUGUGCAGACAUGGCCUCGGAACACAUGAGACCGAAAGGUCGAGCAUGAAUCGUAUAGUUGAUAUGAUUAGCAUAGGGAUGCUUACCACUGAAACUAUUCUCGACUCACGUGAUGAUCGGACUUGAGAUAGCGGAUUUGGAUCAUGUACCACUCAAAUGACUAGAGAGAUGUACUUUUUGAGUGGGAGUUCUUAAGUAAUAUGAUUAAUUGAACUAAUUGUCAUGAAUAUAGUCUAAUGGUCUUUGCGAAUUACGAUGUAGCUUGCGCUACAGCUCUACUGUUUUUAUAUGUUCCUAGAGAAAAUNNNNNNNNNNNNNNNNNNNNNNNNNNNNNNNNNNNNNNNNNNNNNNNNNNNNNNNNNNNNNNNNNNNNNNNNNNNNNNNNNNNNNNNNNNNNNNNNNNNNGCAUCAAAGAUCUAUGGAGAUAGAUCGAAAGCGCUUAAUAGAAGUUCAACAAGAUGCAUGCCUUGACAAGUUUUWGAAAGAGUUCAAAAUAGACCAGCAAAGAAGGAGUUCUUGGUUGCGUUGUGAGGUGUGAAUUUGAGUAAGACUCAAAACCCGACCACGGCAGAAUAAAGAGAAUAGACGAAGGUCGUCUUCUAUGCCUUAGCCGUAGAAUCUAAAGUAUGCCAUGCUGUGUACCGCACCUGAAGUGUGCCUUGACUCAAAGUAUGUUGAGAGGUACAGAGAGUGAUCCAUGAUUGAAUCACUAGCAGCGGUCGAAAUUUAUCCUUAGUAACUAAUGGACUAAGGAAUUUUUCUCGAUUAUGGAGGUGGUUAAAGAGUUUGUCGUAAAGGGUUACGUCAAUGCAAGCUUUGACACUAAUCCGGAUAACUGUGAGUAGUGAAACGGAUUCGUAUAGUAGAGUAGAUAUUUGGAGCAUUUCCGAAUAGCACGUAGUAGCAGCAUCUAUAAGAUGACAUAAAGAUUUGGAAAGAACACACGAAUCUGAAAGUUUCAGAACCGUUGACUAAAACCUCUCUCACGAGCAAGACGUGAUCAGGCCCCAUAACUAUAUGGGUGUUGGAUUCGUUGGAAUCACAUGGUGAUGUGAACUAGAUUAUUGACUCUAGUGCAAGUGGGAGACNNNNNNNNNNNNNNNNNNNNNNNNNNNNNNNNNNNNNNNNNNNNNNNNNNNNNNNNNNNNNNNNNNNNNNNNNNNNNNNNNNNNNNNNNNNNNNNNNNNNAUACGGGAUUAUAUGAAUCCUUGGCACUGAGGUUCAAACGAUAAGAUCUUCGUAGAAUAUGUAGCAUCCAAUAUGGGCAUCCAGGUCCCGCUAUUGGAUAUUGACCGAGGAGUCUCUCGGGUCAUGUCUACAUAGUUCUCGAACCCGCAGGGUCUGCACACUUAAGGUUCGACGUUGUUUUAUGCGUAUUUGAGUUAUAUGGUUGGUUACCGAAUGUUGUUCGGAGUCCCGGAUGAGAUCACGGACGUCACGAGGGUUUCCGGAAUGGUCCGGAAACGAAGAUUGAUAUAUAGGAUGACCUCAUUUGGUUACCGGAAGGUUUUCGUGCAUUACCGGAAAAGUUUCGGGCUCAUCGGUAGUGUACCGGGAGUGCCGGGAGGGGUGCCGGGGACCAUCGGGAGGGGUGUCACGCCCCAAGGGGUCUCAUGGGCUAUGGGAAGAGAUAAACCAGCCCCUAGUGGGCUGGAAUAAGUUCCCACUAAGGCCCAUAAGGUUUGAGAAGGAAAAAAACACAAGGUGGAAAGAGUUUCCAAGUGGGAAGGUGGAAUCCUACUCCAAGUAGGAUUGGAGUAGGACUCCUCCACCUCCAAUUUCGGCCAAACCUUUAGGUUUUGAGGCUGACUCCUCCCCUCCCUCCCACCUAUAUAUACGGAGGUUUUAGGGCUGAUUUGAGACGACUUUCUCACGGCUGCCCGACCACAUACCUCCAUGGUUUUUCCUCUAGAUCGCGUUUCUGCGGAGCUCGGGCGGAGCCCUGCUGAGACAAGAUCAUCACCAACCUCCGGAGCGCCGUCACGCUGCCGGAGAACUCUUCUACCUCUCCGUCUCUCUUGCUGGAUCAAGAGCCGAGAUCAUCGUCGAGCUGUACGUGUGCUGAACNNNNNNNNNNNNNNNNNNNNNNNNNNNNNNNNNNNNNNNNNNNNNNNNNNNNNNNNNNNNNNNNNNNNNNNNNNNNNNNNNNNNNNNNNNNNNNNNNNNNUGUUUCUUCUGAUAUCUUAUAUGCAUGAUUUCAUAUCCUUGUAAUUCUCUUCGAGUUGUGGCUUUUGUUUGGCCAACUUGAUAUAUGAUUCUUGGAAUGGGAGAAGUGCUUGGUUUUGGGUUCAUACUGUGCGGUGACCUCUCCUAGUGACAGAAGGGGCAGCGAGGCACGCAUCGUGUUGUUGCCAUCAAGGNNNNNNNNNNUAGUGACCUCUCCCAGUGACAGAAGGGGCAGCGAGGCACGCAUCGUGUUGUUGCCAUCAAGGGUAAAAAUGUGGGGUUUACAUCAUUGGUUUGAGUUUAUCCCUCUACAUCAUGUCAUCUUGCUUAAGGCGUUACUCUAUUCGUCAUGAACUCAAUACACUAGAUGCAUGCUGGAUAGUGAUCGAUGUGUGGAGUAGUAGUAGUAGAUGCAGAAAGUAUCAUGUUGGAAAUAUGCCCUAGAGGCAAUAAUAAAUUAGUUAUUAUUAUAUNNNNNNNNNNCGGUCGAUGUGUGGAGUAGUAGUAGUAGAUGCAGAAAGUAUCGGUCUACUUGUCUCGGACGUGAUGCCUAUAUGUAUGAUCAUUGCCUUAGAUAUCGUCAUGACUUUGCGCGGUUCUAUCAAUUGCUCGACAGUAAUUUGUUCACNNNNNNNNNNNNNNNNNNNNNNNNNNNNNNNNNNNNNNNNNNNNNNNNNNNNNNNNNNNNNNCAAGGUUUCCUGGCCAUAGGCAAGUGUUGUCACUUGAUAACGGGAUCACAUCAUUAGGAGAAUCAUGUGAUGGACUAGACCCAAACUAAUAGAGGUAGCAUGUUGAUCGUGUCAUUUUGUUGCUACUAUUUUCUGCGUGUCAAGUAUUUGUUCCUAUGACCAUGAGAUCAUAUAACUCACGGACACCGGAGGAAUGCUUUGUGUGUAUCAAACAUCGCAACAUAACUGGGUGACUAUAAAGAUGCUCUACAGGUAUUUCCGAAGGUGUUCGUUGAGUUAGUAUGGAUCGAGACUGGGAUUUGUCACUCCGUAUGACGGAGAGGUAUCUCGGGGCCCACUCGGUAAUACAACAUCACACAGAAGCCUUGCAAGCAAUGUGAGUUAGUGUAAGUUACGGGAUCUUGUAUUACGGGACGAGUAAAGAGACUUGCCGGUAAACGAGAUUGAAAUAGGUAUGCGGAUACUGACGAUCGAAUCUCGGGCAAGUAACAUACCGAAGGACAAAGGGAAUGACAUACGGGAUUAUCUGAAUCCUUGGCACUGAGGUUCAAACGAUAAGAUCUUCGUAGAAUAUGUAGGAUCUAAUAUGGGCAUCCAGGUCCCGCUAUUGGAUAUUGACCGAGGAGUCUCUCGGGUCAUGUCUACAUAGUUCUCGAACCCGCAGGGUCUGCACACUUAAGGNNNNNNNNNNAUGAAUCCUUGGCACCGAGGUUCAAACGGUAAGAUCUUCGUAGAAUAUGUAGGAUCCAAUAUGGGCAUCCAGGUCCCUCUAUUGGAUAUUGAUCGAGGAGUCUCUCAGGUCAUGUCUACAUAGUUCUCGAACCCGCAGGGUCUGCACACUUAAGGUUCGACGUUGUUUUAUGCGUAUUUGAGUUAUAUGGUUGGUUACCGAAUGUUGUUCGGAGUCCCGGAUGAGAUCACGGACGUCACGAGGGUUUCCGGAAUGGUCCGGAAACGAAGAUUGAUAUAUAGGAUGACCUCAUUUGGUUACCGGAAGGUUUCCGUGCAUUACCGGAAAAGUUUCGGGCUCAUUGGUAGUGUACCGGGAGUGCCGGGAGGGGUGCCGGGGACCAUCGGGAGGNNNNNNNNNNAAAGAUUGAUAUAUAGGAUGACCUCAUUUGAUUACCAGAAGGUUUUCGGAGUUACCGGGAAUGUACCGGGAAUGACGAAUGGGUUCCGGAAGUCCACCGGGGGGGGCAACCCACCCCGGGGAAGCCCAUAGGCAUUGGGGGUGGUGCACCAGCCCUUAGUGGGCUGGUGGGACAGCCCAAGAGAGCCCUAUGCGCCAUAGGAAGAAAAAUCAAAGAGAAAAGAAAAAAAAAAGAGGAGGUGGGAAAAAGGGGAAGGACUCCUCCUUCCAAACNNNNNNNNNNUCCGGAGGUAAAGAUUGAUAUAUAGGAAGUCCUGUUUUGGUCACCGGAAAAGUUUCGGGCUCAUCGGUAGUGUACCGGGAGUGCCGGGAGGGGUGCCGGGGACCAUCGGGAGGGGUGUCACGCCCCAAGGGGUCUCAUGGGCUAUGGAAAGAGAUAAACCAGCCCCUAGUGGGCUGGAAUAAGUUCCCACUAAGGCCCAUAAGGUUUGAGAAGGAAAAAACACNNNNNNNNNNNNNNNNNNNNNNNNNNNNNNNNNNNNNNNNNNNNNNNNNNNNNNNNNNNNNNNNNNNNNNNNNNNNNNNNNNNNNNNNNNNNNNNNNNNNCGCUUGUGCCCUUGUUGAGAGGUACGAGACCUCCGACGAGAUUCUUUGUCCACAAAGUAAAGGAGAAAGGCUCAAUCGUUGAGCGUGUGCUCAGAUUGUCUGAGUGCGACAAUCACUUGAAUCAAGUGGGAGUUAAUCUUCCAGAUGAGAUAGUGAUAGUUCUCCAAAGUCACUGCCACCAAGCUGUGAGAGCUUAGUGAUGAACUAUAACAUAUCAAGGAUAGAUACAAUGAUCCUUGAGCGAUUCGCGAUGUUUGACACUGCGAAAGUAGAAAUCAAGAAGGAGCGUCAAUAGUUGAUGGUUUGUAAAACCACUAAGUUUCGAGAAAGGCAAGGGCUAGAAGGGAUACUUCNNNNNNNNNNGAUACUAUGAUCUUUGAGUGAUUCGCGAUGUUUGACACUGCGAAAGUAGAAAUCAAGAAGGAGCAUCAAUAGUUGAUGGUUAGUAAAACCACUAAGUUUCGAGAAAGGCAAGGGCUAGAAGGGAUACUUCGUGAAACGGCAAAACAGUUGCUGCACUAAUGAAGAGANNNNNNNNNNNNNNNNNNNNNNNNNNNNNNNNNNNNNNNNNNNNNNNNNNNNNNNNNNNNNNNNNNNNNNNNNNNNNNNNNNNNNNNNNNNNNNNNNNNNAGUUCACAAAUCAACACCGAUGCUCAUUACCUGCAAAAUCUUAAGGGAUAUGAUGGCGAGGAAGAAUACUAAAAAUGCUUUAUGCGCUUACCCCACUUUUCGAUCAUUAUCCAGAUCAGCUGCUUCAAGAUCCAUGUUUGUUAUUCUCCGUGUGAGAACCCAUUUGGCCAGCAUUUUCUGCCGUCGCUCGGUGUAGAUCUCAGCAAGGUACAUGAAGAACAGCGCCAGGAUUAUGGUGCUCGUAAUUAUCCAAAAUACCGCGAAAGUGCGCCCCAAUUUGGACGAGAAGCUUUUAUCCCCAUAGCCCAGGGUAGUUAUUGUGGCACAGACACAAUAAAAGGAAUCGACAAGGCUCAGCUUUUCAACCUUCCAGAGAAAAACAGUCCCUACAACAAUGGUUGUCAUAAGAAGCAGGGCAGCCGUGUAGAAUUUGUACUUUGUCUUGUUUGUCUCAAUUUGCCUGAGCAUUNNNNNNNNNNCAGUUAUUGUGGCACAGACACAAUAAAAGGAAUCAACAAGGCUCAGCUUCUCAACCUUCCAGAGAAAAACAGUCCCCACAACAAUGGUUGUCACAAGAAGUAGGGCAGCAGUGUAGAAUUUGUACUUUGUCUUGUUUGUCUCAAUUUGCCUGAGCAUUUUGGCCUCGCUACACUUCAUGUUCAUGUGCAGUGCCUUGAAGAACAGGACCUCCUGCUUCUCCACGAGAUAAUCCGCCGACUUGCUCACAAAGAGAGCAAUAAUCGCCAUGCCUGUGAAGACGAACACACAAGCGAGCAGCUUUGCCGUGUCGCUGUUAGGGACAAGGUCUCCGUAACCAACCGAUGUCAUCGUGACAAUGCAGAAGUACAGGGCGUCAAGCACCCUGUUGGUUCUCUUGCCAGAUAACUGAUCCAUGACAAGGUAAAAGACGACGACGCCCGCUAGCAGGUAGAGAAAUAGGAGGAGCCCUGCUAGUCUAAAGCUCGGCCGUAUCACGCUGAGCAACUCCUUGGCUGGAGGCGACGAGCC
This 111523-nucleotide long non-coding RNA is filed under the name Hordeum vulgare. Its description in RNAcentral is "long non-coding RNA (HVUL_LNC013882)". The record is from RNAcentral. Lineage: Eukaryota; Viridiplantae; Streptophyta; Magnoliopsida; Poales; Poaceae.